UUUUUUUUUUUUUUUUUUACAUACGUAUGUCAAUUACAUGUCACUUAAUACUACACUAUAGUGGUAUUCUUUUCACUUAAUAUGACUCGGCCCAUUAAAAAGUUUAGCCCACUCCAUCACCCUUAGUGCAGCAAAUAAGCUUCUUCUUCUUAAAAAAAAAAGCUAAUUGUAUAUUUAUUUUAUGUUUUAAAUUACUAUGUGAAGAAUAAUAAUAGAGUUUAAAUAAUCUUUUUUGUUCAAUAAUAUUACUCUCUUAUUGAUUUUAAGUAAUUCCUAAAUUUUAAAAUAUUAUUUACUCUUAUUUGAAUUUGUUUAAGGGAAUUUUAACGAAAAGCUUUUGGUACUGUUCAUUUUAACGAAAAACCACAUUUUAACGCUAAAAUGUCAAUCCUAUUACUAUUCAUCUUACCCUUUAUUUUGUUAUUUUCGUUAAAACUCAAAGUUUUCAAGUUAUUUUCAUUAGUUUUCCUUUUGUUUAAAUGUAUAAUUUAUAGCAUGUAGAAAGAGUUAUCUUAAAUAAUGACAAGAAUUUCGAUCAAAAUAUUAAACAAAUAUGAUUUCAAUUCAACGAUUAAGUUGAGCAUGUACUGGAACUAAAAUCACCAUUAAUUCUAAGGAAAACUAAUGAAAAUGGCUUGAAAACUUUGAGUUUUAAUGAUAAGGACAAAAUAAAAGGUAAAGUGAAUAGUACUACGUUUAACUUUUUAUUGUAAACAUGUGAUUUUUCAUUAAAAUGAAUUUAAACUUUUCAUGCCGUUUUGUCUUUUGCGUGUACGCAGGCAUCUAGGAAUUUACCGUGUACUUUGUUGUGGUGAGGUUUCUCACUUCAUUUCUGUCUUUUUAUUUGCUUUGAAAGAGAUUCUUUCCUUAAAAUAUACAAAAGAAAAGGACUGAAAUAGAAUAGAAAACGGAUCCAAAUGGUACCUCUAAGUAUAUUCAUAUGAAAUUAUGAAUUAUAACGUACUUAGCACAAAUUAUAUAUAUAUAUAUAUAUAUAUAUAUAUAUAUAUAUAUAUAUAUAUUAUUAGAGAAAACGAGAGUUCGAAACUAUUAUAAUAAAUUUGGAGAGGAAGAAGUUUCGAACUGGAAAGUAAGCCAACACUUCUAUCUAUUAGGAUAUUGGACCACAUAUGUAGUGACACACCCCGAUCCUAGAAUCAAGGCGUGCUGGCCGUCACGUGAGCGUGACGUAACCAAAAGUGCGACGCGGAAGCAAUAGAUAAGAACAUACGAAUAAUAAAAAAAAACCAGAUACUAGCAGAAUAACCAAGUAACGUGCUAGAAUAAGUUUAAGUGUGCAACACACAUAUUCAGAGCCUAAGAACUAGAUGCAGUCAAGUAGGACCAUAACUAGAUUACAACACCCGUAGGUGAGUCCUACAUUUAUGUAGUCUGUCAGUACGCCGUGAGGAUCCUCGUGGGCCACCAACGCUGCUAACUAGAACCUGGAGGGGUGCAAAACAAAAUUGAGUGGGUCAGUAAAACCAAAGUUUUCCAAAACAUUUCAUUUAAAACAUUUCUAACCCCUCACUGUAAAACUUGUAUACUUUCCCAGAAAAUAACAUAAUAGUAUAUAAAUCCUCAUAUAUCUCAAAUCAUCAAUCUAUCACAAAUCCAGAAAUAUGCCAUGUCAUAAAUGUCAAUAACGAAACAUGGAUGCAUCAAAAUAACAGGUGACAUAAUGAAUCAACCGGAGACCCUGCAGUUGGUCCUGUACGGUUAAUUCCAUAGCUCAAUAUCCAACCCAGCCGGAGUCACCACGGUGACCUGUACGGCACUACUCUGCACAUAAAUCGGAACUACCUAAAGUAAUCUGUACGAUAAGAAAGGUGUAAGAAUACGCUCUAGUGCUUCUCUCAUCAAUCAUCUGCAUGCAUAAUCUAAGGUCACCUACUAGUCGGAACAACCUCUAGUGGUCUGUACGACUAGCAUGUCGGAACCCUCUCAUGGUCUGUACGACAUGCACCUACUUGGAUCCAAGGUGAGCGUGCGGUGCGGUGAAUAAUAUAAGCACUAACACCAGGGGGUGUAGGUUAUGAGCUCUCAACAAUUCACAUCAUCAAUGAUUCACAUGAAUAACAUAAACUCACCUGAUACUCACCUGUGCGUCCACAGCACCAGUUCACAUAUAUAUAUGCAUCAAUAUCAAUUCAUACAAUUCACAAUAUGCAUGCAUGGCAUUUGAAAACAUAUUUUCAUAUAAAUUCAAUUUAUAGGAAAAUCAAUAGUAUAUAGGUAUAUACGGAAAACAAAACUGCCCACUCAUUGGUAAGUCGAUGGGUCGUAACCCCCGUGACGUCCCUGGAUGCGCUCGUCCUCGGGAUAGGUGUCACCUAUAUGCGAAACAACUAUAAAAACGUUAAUUUACGCACAUAACCGACAAUUCGUAAUAACUUCUCAUACGGUGCUCAAAUUGGGUAUAUGAAUAUACCACAUCGACCUACUCGACGUCACGGACGUCGAGAAAUUUUUAGAAAAAUUUUCUGAGGCUGCACGCGCCCCCACGCGCCUGGACAGGCACGGGUCCACGCGCCCCCCACGCGCGUCUCCUACCUCGGCUCGCCGGAUUGGUUUUUCCGGUGGCCGGAAAACUGGAGAUUUUUCAAUCUCCUUGUUCUCCGUCAUUUCUCAACCAUUUUCUUCGUAUUUUAUAUCAAAAUGAAGCCCUAAGCAUGUAGUUUCACGUUACACUACUUUAAGGCUCUAAAAACUACAAAAUCUCAUCGGAGAAAUUCCAAGAAAACCGGCCAAUUUCGAACCCAAUGAUCCCGACGUCCAAAACCUUCAAACGAAACACUCCGAGCUUCCUUGGGACCUCACUAAGCUCACUAUAAGCUUAGAAUUCCCUGAAAAUCAACAUAUCACGAUUGCAUGAACAGUGAUCUCAAAAUGGGUUUCGGGUUUCACGUGAUAUCGAGGGUUCUAAGUUCUAAAAAUUGCACCAAUGAACUCACAAGGUUGCAAGGAUUCACAAACUUACCUUUUUGACGUCGAUCCGUGAAAGUUGGAGGGUUUUGGUGCCUCGUCCGUACGAGUCGAGAGGGAGAGAGGAAGAACUGAGAAGGGGAGAGAGAUAGAGGGCACGGGGAAAGGGACAGGGUGUCCCGUGUGUGUGUGUGGUCCCUCAAAACAAUUCCACCCUUAUUUUCCUAACCACAUAAAUUACAAACCAAUUUUAAUCCAACUUAAAAUAUUUUCCAAAAGCUUGAAAUAUAUGAAUUUAGUCCAAAUAAUAUGUCACACACACACAUACCUUAAUACCCGUCAAGGGUAAUUCCGUCAUUUCGCAUCCCCGAUAUAUAGAAUCCCGGGACGGGCUGUGACAUGUAGUACAAAUUGGAAUCUAUAAAUAUAUUCAUUAUAACACGGUAUAACUAAUUCACAUGAUGCUCUUAUUUUGAGAACUUGUGAGAGUGAAAUGCAUAUUAGCCACAAGAUUAUAUUAGGUUAGAUCGAAAGGAUUAUAAUACUAAAAAUAAUAUUGGUAUAAAUUAAAAAAAAGGAUACAAAUUAUAAACAGAAAUAUAUGAAGAAAAAAAACUAAAAAUAUAUAUUUAAAAAAGAUUAAUAAGUUUUUUAUUUUUAAAAUUGCCAUAUAAUGACUUGUAAAUAAUCUAACAUUCCAAUCAUGACAUGGGGAAAAGUCAAGAAACUUUUAUCAAAAAUGAAAACAGAAUAAAGUUUUAAUUAAUGAGAAAGAAAAAUGAGAAAUAAGAACCUAGUUUAUCUUAUGAAAAUGGUAAUAAGAGAAACAUUUUUGGUAUAGUAAGAGAGUAAAUUAUUAAACUAGUAUUAAUACACUUAUGGAUGAAACAAAGGGAUUUGGAUCCUCUCCUGAGCUCAACUUGCUAAGUCUCUUAAGCAAAUCACACGGAUUGUUGGAUUUUGAUCCAAUGACUACAAAUAGGGGACAUCUCUAAAAGUUAUAAUAAUUAUAGUCGUUGGAUCAAAAUCUAACAGCCUGUGUGAUUUGCUCAUGAGGCUCAGUAGGUUGAGCUCAGGAAAGGAUCCAAAUUCGAAACAAAGACAGGUUGGGGUAAGUAAAUGGGUGGGACAGUCAAUCAACUGACAUUCUCAGUUACUUAGUUUUAUAUUGAAAUAUGAGGGUAAAAAUUGGAAAGGGAUCCUCUCCGGAUCCCUUCCUUCUAAUUUACCAAGUCUGGAAAUUCGGGUCAUUAAAAUUUGAUCAAACAACUAAAGUUAUUAUAAUUUUUAAAGUGGACAUUUGUUUGUAGCCGUUGGAUUAAAUUUCAAUGGUUCGGAUCUCCGAACUUGAUAGAUUAGGAGGAAGGGGUCCAGAGAGGAUCCCUUUCUGUAAAAAUUGCUUUUUGAUUAAGAUCAGACAACUAUUAAGGAUUGACUUGUUGUGCGCAAUAUAUAAUUUAAGAAUUUGGUGUUACAAUCAUCUUAAACAAAUCUUGCUUUAUGUCCCCCACUUACGCUUUUAUUCAAUCUGGAAAACCACGGUACAAUAUGCAAUUUCUCGUUUGUCAGCUCGGACUGUACUGAUUAUUUCAGUCGGAUAGGAUAAAUAGUCGUCGGAUAAUACUGACUAAAUUAGUUGGACGUUUGGUAAUUGAAUCGGAUUAAUUUCUACAUCGGAUAAUACGUCAGAUUAUAAUAAAUUUUUAAAAGUAUUUCACAGAAUAAUUGUUGUUAAAAUGAAAAAAAUGAGAAAAACAAAGAAAAACAGAGAAAAAAUGAAUUAAACACCAUUACAGAAAAAAUUAAAAAAAUAAAAAUAAAAAAGGGAUUAAACAUCACCAUCUUCCCCACGGAGGAAUAUGUUCUUUGAAACCCAGGCAACCACUACUCCAACAACAAAAAAAAAAAAAAACCAGCCAUUACACCAACAGAAAAAAAAAACCCAGCCAGCUUUCGAUCUCGUUGCCACCUUCAAUUUCUUUCAAAUUCAGAAACCAAUUAAAACCUCCAAAUUUGCAGAAGCAACCUCCAACAGAAUCGAUGGUCACUCGUGCACCCAGCAAACUGCAAUUUUGUGCUUUACAGGGAAAUUGGUGCCGCUGCUCUCUCUCACAGCUUCUAAUCCAUUGAAACUAAAAACCCAUAUGAGAUUUCUCCCAUUCUGGUUUGAUCUGCCACUAUAGGUGUAUGAACAAGAAUGGCGUGAAGUGGUUUCGAUUCGGCACCUCUGGUUUUGUGUUUGUAUCUACUUGAUGUUGAUUGGUAGUGAGGAGGGAGAAAGAGAGAGAGCAGUAAUUCCUUGAUUGAGGAGUUUGUGAUGCGCAAGAGCGAGCGGUAGCAUGAACCCGACUAAUUAUACAAACGAUUUGGGGAGGAUAAGGAGCCGUGUGUAGGGUGUAUUAAAUAAGCAGAGGCGGACUAAUUAUCCGGUGGCUAUUUAAUCCAAACGGACACCAAACACCGUACUCCGUAGUAUUAGUACUAUCCGAUGCCUUAUACGGUGUGCCAAACAGACCUUAGGGUCUAUGAAUAGAUUUCCUGUCUGUAGUGUUCCGUUUUUCCUUUCCUCAUUAUAUGAUCACCAUCGUAUUUCAGGCUCAUUAGUUCUUGAUGUAUUUUAGUCUUAAGAACCUUAAACAUCUAAUUAAAACAUAUCAUCAUUUUUUAAGGCAUGCUUUUCUUUCUUCUGGUUCUGAUACACACACACACACACACACACACACACACACACACACACACACACACAUAUAAUAUACACAUAUAUAUAUAUACAUAUAUUUUGCUUUUCUUUCCUCUGGUUCAUAUCAUCAUUUUUUAAGGCAUGCUUUUCUUUCUUCUGGUUCUGAUAUUUUUUGGUUCUGAUACACACACACACACACACACAUAUAAUAUACACAUAUAUAUAUACAUAUAUUUUGCUUUUCUUUCCUCUGGUUCUGAUACAUAUACAUAUAUUUUGUUGGUUUAGUUAUCAUUGGUACGAAUUUCUUAAACUGGACUUUUGGUUGGAAAUUUAUAUUUGAUCAUCAAUGGAUAUUGGACAUUCAAGUCAUAAUUUCACAUACAAUACAAUAGUACUAGUUGUAGUGAAAGCGUACCAUUAAAACAUAGAAGAAGCAAGAAAUUAAAAGGAAACGCUAAAGCUUCCCACUAUCACCCUGGCCAGCUUUUAUAUACGUACCAUACUAUAUGACUAUUUUUCUUCUUAUGCACACCUCCUCUUGAUUUUGGUCUUCGCUGUAUAUAUAUAUAUAUUUUUUUUUGUGAUUACUAAAAGAGUGUGCCAAAAAUAAAAAAUAAUGUGCAUAAAUCGUUUUCAAAUUAAUUUAUUUAUUAUUGAGAAGGUGGGCAUCAAUAUUGUUCGUCAGAAGGACCAAAAAGUCCAUGUACUUAUGAGGAACCGGAACACCCUCCGUCAGCUUCUCAUACUCGACGGUCCAUUUCACGGAUGAGCUGCUGCAUCCCCCACUAACCUUUGGUGUGACUUGAACCGUAGCCUUGAAACUCUUGUAGUAUUUCGCCAACUCUCCUCCUACUGUUCGGAAAGUCACUGAUUUGUUUUUCUCAUCUAUGGCUUCAACUGUCUCUCUUGAAACCUCAGAAACAUUGUCUAUCAUGCAGGUAUAUAAUUAAUUAAGAAAAUAUCAAAUCAUUGGGUCCAGGUUAGGUUAUAUAGUCGAUCGAGUCUAGUAUAUGUAUAAAAUAUUUUAAGUUGGCAUGCAUAAAUUUUUUUCCAUGAAUUGUUAUUGUUACCUGCAGCAAAGUAAGUCCAUUGCUUGACUGAGCCCACAGAGCCCCAAUCACCUUGGAUGACCUGAAGGUCCUUUAUGACGUUAGGGCACAUCUUGGGCAACAGGUACCCUUUGCUACGAAAGAUUUCGUAGAACUUGUCGGCACUGGCUUUAAUCUCAGCCUGGACCUCCAUCUUUGCUAUUUGAGCCAUAGCGUUCGAUCUUUUUGCCUUUGUAAUUUGUAUGAAAUUAGCUAGCUAGAGUCUGGUGAAAAAAUGACUCCCCCUUGUUCUUUAUAUAGAAGAAAUAAAAUAGCUAGAUAAAGUAUAAUAUGCCUUCACUUCGAGCCAAUUGCAAUUGCGGAUCGGAAUUGGGGUGGUUUUUCUGACAAAUUUAAUUUAGGUUUGGAGUUCUGUUUGGUCCCUCGCUAGCUAGGGCAACUGGGCAAGUAGAUUUCUGUUUUAGCACUGUCUUGUUAAUUUGAUGCUCAUGGCCACUAUGUUAUGGUGGAUCAGAUGCGGAUUCUAUUCCAUCUUUUUCAUAAAGAGAUUAUAUACUUUCCUAAAUUAUACUGUUCUUUUCCUUUUUGUUGUUCCUGUGUUUCCAUCAAAAAAGGAAAAUACCGAUAAGACACUUAUUAGUACUAUAGUUAAGUAAUAUUUCUCUUAAGUAUCAAUUUAUUAUUUUUAUCCCUUAGUGUAAAAUGUGUAAAUAUAUCGUUGUAUCAACAAAACAAAAAAAUUUAUUUGAAAAGGGCAAAAGCCGAAAGCAUUUUGCCUUUGUUUUUUCUCCCACUAGCCUUUAAUGCCGAAAAUUUGAGUUUGUUUCUAAUUUUAUAUAAAUCAAACUCUUACAGUGAGCUGUAGACUUUGUGUUCUUUGAGAGUGGAUCCAAUUCUUGAGAGUUUAAUAUAUGAAACUCAUGAGUUAGAAAAUUACAACAAAAAUUCUCCACCACAUCUGUCAUUUUUCAUGAAUGAACGGUUGAGAUGAUAUUUAGUUAAAUAUCAACCGUUCGCUUUUGACCUUUCAUGAGCAUUAGAUCAAAGUUUGUAUACAAUAGGUGACCACUCAUUUGGGAGUGAAAAAAGGGAAUAACCCACCAUAAAGUAGGAAAAAUAAAAAAUAGGUGAGUCCUUACAGCAGUAAACAGAUAGAACUCAAGAUAAACUCUGAAACUCACACAGUUGUAGUAAUGGUAUUCUAGGAAUCAAACUGAAGAUGUUUCUUAUAUAAGAAAUUAAACAGAUACAAAUACAAAUGUUGUUGCAUACCAAAUACAUAUUUGCACACGCUCUGUUAAUGUACAAGAUAAUGAUUAAGACGAAAUCAUCCCUUAUACAUGGAAGACACCCAACUGACUCAAGCUUUGUGUCUUUUUUUUUUUAUGUACGUAUAAAUACAACGUUACUCAAAUCCCACAAUUAAAAAAAAAAAAAAGGCCUUAGUUAUAAUUCGAACCAUUUAUUACUAAUAAUAGCUGUGUCUCAUUCAGUGAGAAGAUGAGCUUCAAGGUCUUUGGUGACCUUCACUGCAAAGUCCUGAUAUGAUUCUGGAUCUGGGAUUUCCUCCUUCACCUUCUCAUAGUCAAUUAUCCAUUUCACCAAACUGCCCCCUCCAGUAGUCUUUUCUGUUACUUUUAGUGUCACCCUAAAGCUCUUAUAAUGCUUCAAGAUUUCUCCAUCCAGAACGUUGAACUUCACUGUUUUGUUUUCCUCAUCUAUCGCUUCAACCGUCUCCUUUACACUUAACGAACUCCCAUCUGUACAUAUCCAUCGUCACUUUCACAUUAUAAAAGAGUAAUUAUAUAUGAGCAAUAAUUUCUUCACACUUAGAUCCAGUUUUCUUUUUGCAUACCCUUGUUAAUUUUUCUUCUUCAUAUUCUUUUAAUAUAUUUAACCUAAAGAUCAUAAAUAAACAUAGAUGCGGACAAAAAGUUGUAUGCAUAAAUCACUUCCUGAUUAUAUAUAUGUGCACAUAAAUAAAUUAUAAAUAAGGGAAUCACCCUAGCUAAUUAAUAGUUAGGGCUUCAACUAAGUCAGUUCUAUUGCCUCCGGUGUGACUUACCCAACGUAUAAUCCCAAUGCUUGACAGAACCCGCAGUCUCCCAAUCACCUUCGUGCAGCUCAACCCCUUGUAUUUUGUCAGAGCAGAUGUUAGGAAGCAGGUGCAUUUGGCCCGAGAAAAUUUUGUAGAACUUAUCAGCAGCUGUACUUAUCUCUACCUCCGUCUCAAGCUUACCAACUAAAGCCAUAUCUUAAUUAAUUAGAAGAUCGAUCGGUUAAGGAUAUAAACCAAGGAUAAUUUAUGAUCAACAAUUGAUGAACUAAUAACAAAACAGGUUAGAGGUAGAAUUGGGAGAUAACACUUAAUCCUAGGAUUGACUUAAAUAGGAGAAAUUAUCAUUCAUGAAAAGCUACAACUUGCCUAUAAUAAAUAUUAAAAGGGAACUUAUUGGUGGUCCUGAACGUUUAAAAUUGACACCAAAAUUUACUUCCAUCACCUUUGCUACUUUAAUCGUUUUUACCUAUAUUUUGUUCAAUUUUUUUUUACACCUAUAUAUACAUAUGGGAUGGAUCCGUGAUAUCACUUUUUUUUAUACAAUUUUUUACACAAGUUUUGUGGGACCCACUCAGUAAUGUAUUUCAACAAUCCAACUGUUUAUUUUUUAGAACAUCAUUAAUAAAUCAUCCUUACAAAAAAUUAGACAAAUUCAAAACCAUGACAUUCAUUUAUAGCGAAGAAAGUGGACAAAUAUGUUUCUAUAAAGAAACCCUACAUGAUUUAUGAUGAAAUAUCUAAAAAUAGAUUGUUUGGAUCGUUAAAAUACAUUACUUACAAGUUACAAGUGAGCCUACAAAAAUUUGUGUAAAAGGAGUAUAUAAGUACACCGAUGGUGAAUAUAUAAUAAUUUUUGUGUUUGGUAGAUUUGGAGUGGUUAAAGGAAUUGGAAAUAAUAGGCACAUUUCUUUCAGGUGGGACACGACUAGAUAGUCAUUCCUAAUUAGGAUUUACCAAAUCUUAGUGACGUUCUUGUUUAUUGUAAACAAAAGAUAAAAGAAUUCAAAUGAAUCAGACAGUUAUGUCAAUUGUUAAUCACCAGUCACCACAUCACAUUAACAUUAUUUCGAAUUCUAUAUCUAUAAUUGACGAGUUUACGACUUGGAGCGUCAAAAAAAUAUGGCAAAGCAUUCAAGAUACUUGGGAAAUAAAUUAGAAGUUUCAGUAGUCCACAUAACUGUAACAAACACACAAACAAAUGAUAGAUUCACUUUAUUUUUCAUUUUCCCCAAAAUUACAUCCAAUGAUUAUCCUAUAUACGAUUGCGUAAAGAAAUUAUUGGUCUUUUUGACAAGAGCUGCAAACUAAAGCUGAAGGUGUUAGUCUGGAUCACCGCCACAUAGCUUUUCCUUUUCCUGUUAAAGGACCGCAUCACCACGCUGCCCUCAUCAUAAUCUCAUAAUUUUGAAGAAACUUGAAGAAUAAUCUUGUAGCAUCUGCAGCGAUCUAGAGGGUUCCUUCAAGCACCCUUAAAGUACGGACUGAUUUUCAUCAUCUAUGGUUUCAGUUAACUCCUUACGAAAUGUAGGUUUCUCAUAUGUUCAACAUUCCACAAGCAAAAAUUAUAUCAUGUUCCGAUGUAUAAGAUACUCUGAGCAUGUUAACUGUUGAAUCUUGAUUUUUGUAUAUUUGACCAAAUUUAAAAAAAAAGUAUAAAAUAUCCGAUACUUGGGAGCACCAUAGAACUCUUCACUAGCUUACUUCAUCCAACAUACAUAUCAACAUUCAUGGUAAAAAGACACUUGGAGCCGAACUUACGUUCAAGAUUAUUCAACCCAAUUUACCACCUUCUACUAAUUUAUAACUCUGAACUUUGUUGGGGGCGAUGUUGUUAACUUUGUUGGGGGCGAUGUUGAUAUCUCGUACGGUAUUGUUCGUGUGACUGUUAGCAAGGAGGGGAAAUUUGUUUGAUUUCAGCGCUCGUCCUCGCCUUAUUGUUACAAUGAUCUCAAAUCACCAUAUUGGCUUCUGUCCACCACAUGCAUUAAGCGUCUAUGACUAGAUCUAGUCUUCCACAACAAGAAACCCUUUCAGCGACGAAUUCUUCCUCUGAAAGUAGGAAAGUUGUCCCAGAAACAGUUGGCGACUAUAAUGUUUUCCUUUUUAGAUCAUCCCAGUACGUAGGGCCUUUAGUGAACUUAUAUGGCGAGAAAUAUGCUUGAUCGUUGUUGAUAAAUUAGAAUCAUCAAAAUAUUUCCUCGCUGAAAGUUCGUCAUUUUGUCGGUAAAAGUUGUUCCUCGCUGUUAGACAGGGGAAAAUAGAAAAAAUUCUGAAAACAUUGCGAGAAAAUUAGGAUCUAUUUAUUGAUUUGCAAAAACUCCCUCCAAACUUGUAUAAAGCUAGCAAUUUUUUUCUUUAAAUUUAAUAUUAACCGAUUAACUCUCUGAAUUAUUAUAAAGGGUAAAAGACUGUUUACUACCCUCAUGUUUCAUGGUUUUCAACAUUUAGUAUAUCAAGUUUUUUUCGUCCCAGAGUCAUACCUAAAGUGUUAAUUUUGGGACAGUCUCAUACAUCCGUUAGUCAAACUGUUAAGUAUGCCGUUAACUGAUGAUGUGAUGCCUAUGUGGACAAUGACUGGGUGCCACGUGUCAUUAAGGGAUCCACGUGGAAAUUAAAAAUUAAUUAUUAAAAAAAUUCAAAAAAAAAAAAAAAAAAACAAAAAAACAAACAAAAUAAAACCCAGAAGCCCUUCGUCUUCCUCACCCCCACCCGACAUCCCUCAAUUCCCAGAACCCCAUUGUCUUCCCCACCCGACACCCUUUAUCCAUGCUUCCUCAAUUUCCUUGUUAUGGCUGUCGUCUGCAAAUCACCAUCUACAUCUUCCUCCAGCAGCUGAAGACCUCGCCUCCUUGUCGUUGCUCGAAGAGCAGGUGAAGCAGGAUGAGCUUGACCGUGACAUGGCACUGAAUGACGACGCAUCUUUAAUAGAAGGGACGCAUAAGGAGAGGAACGAGGCCAUUUUCGAUUACUACUUUGAUUUGCAGGAAUGCUACUCUGAGGUGGAAGAAUCUGAAACAAUGAAGCGGAGAAAAUCGAGAAGCGCCGCCUGUGUGGCGAUGUCGGCGGUAGCUGAUGGAGUCGAAAUAGGUAAGCCGGGAGUCGAAUCGGGUCACCAUCGGCGGCUAUGGGUCAAGGACAGGUCGAAAGCAUGGUGGGACGAGUGCAACCAGUCGGAUUUUUUGAAAUCAGAAUUCAAACCGUCUUACCAGAUCUAGUCGAUGACGCAUCCUGUCUGUCCGUCCCUCACUCCAUCAUUUCUUUUCCCUCCCUUCUCUCCUCUGCACGAACCAAACCGUCCUACCAGAUCCGGUCGAUGACGCAGUCUGUCUUGGGCUGCUGCUACGAGCUAUCUCGUCCUCUACGUCCAUAUCCUGGACCCACCGCCUAUUCUCUGCCUUUCCGUCUUUUCUUUUUCCCUUAUUCUUCCUUUUUCCUUUUGAUUUUCCUUUUCUAUUUCCGUUUUAUUUUCAUCUCGAAAGAGACCCCAAUUUUUCUGGGUUCACAAAAGAAACCCAAUAUUAGUUGAUCUGAAUAUUUUUUUUCUUUUAACUUUAUAGUUUUCUGGAAAAUUGGGAGGAUUUGAGUCUCCUCCACCCGUUUUGAUUUUGCAUUUUCUGGUCCAAUUCGAAAUGGCCUAGAGGAGGAAGAAUUUGAUUUAAUGGUUUAUGCCCCAGAUCUCGUCAAGAUUAUUGAAACUUCAAUCCACACUUUUCAGCUUUUCCUGAAGAUGGAAGUCACUUGUUUCUUAAUUUGCUUUAAUUAAACUUCUUGUUUCGUUAUUUAAGAAUUGUGAUAGAUGUAGAGAAAUUGAGUAGCGAGAGAGAGGUGGGUAAGACGGAUUGAAGAACGAUUCUAAUUUAACUUCUUCUCUUUUCGUGGAAUAGGGGUCACGAGAGAGGCUUUUUCUGGCUUUUUCUUCUGGGUUCACAAAGAGAAGAUCCAUACUUGAAAAUACCAAAUUCUUGUUGAAAUAGAAUUUCUUUGGGAGGGAUUUUGUUGGGUUGGGUGUGCGGAGAUGAUGGGUACGGGUUGUAGAGGAGAGAAGGGAGGGUGGUGCAGGUGCAGAAAAGAGAAUGGAGGGAAGGGGUACGGGUUGCAGAAGAGAGAAGGGAGGGAGAGGGUGCGAGGGAUGAGGGAGGAGACAAAUGUUUGUUCUUUUUUUUUUUUUUUGUAUUUUUAAUUUUUUAAUUUUUUUAAUAUUGAAGUGGGCCUAAAUUGACAUGUGGUGCCCAGUAAUUGUCCACGUGGGCGCCACGUCAUCAGUUAACAGAAGUUCUAACAGAAAACUUAACGGAUGUAUGAGACUCUCUCAAAAUUAAUACUUUAGGUAUGACUCUGGGAUGAAAAAAAAUUGAUGUACUAAAUGUUGAAAACCAUGAAACUUGAGGGUAGUAAACAGCCUUUUACCCUAUUAUAAAUAACCAAUUUCUCCACUGCGUUUAGAUUUUGAAUUUUUUUCAUUCAAGUUUUCAUCAUCGUGGUCAUGCGGACAUACAAGGCAAAUGUAUAAGGGCAAAAAAGUGAUUUUCGUUUUGGUAAAUUGGGCACAAAGCCACUAUUUUACAGCUGCUAAUUGGACUUUCAGGACUAAUUCAAACAAAAGUACGAAGUCAACUACACUACUACAAAUUUUUACAUACAUAAUGCAGUUUAUGGGUCAUGUUAAAAGUUUAAUGACGCAAGGGUUUAGCGUCAUCUUUGUGGUGUCAUUAAAUAUAUUUUUUAUGACGUUGAAAAAGUGUCAUGUAUUACUUUUAAAGACGCCUAACAAGUGUCAUUGAAUUAAGAACUUGUGUUAUCUACUACCAUUUAAGACGCGGAAUAAGUGUCAUAAACAGAGGAAUGAGUUUCAUGGUAUACUAAUUAUGACAUACGCACAGUGUCAUGUAUAGCUUUUAGAGACACUUAACAAGUGUCAUUGAAAUAAAAAAGCGUGUCAUCUAUUUCAGUUCGAGACGCGGAAUAUGUGUCAUAAACAGAGGAAUGAGCGUCAUGAUAUACUAAACAUGACAUCUGUAUAGCGUCAUGUCUAUAGCACUACAACGUCAUUGAAUAUUAGCAACGACACACAAAGCUUGUCAUAAACCAUUCAAUGCAUGUCCUGAAAUAUGUUUGAUGACAUAUGUAAUGUAUUUUUAAUUUGAAAACAAGACUUACAUAAUUCAUCCAAGAAGUAAGAUAUUUACCUCAAAUAAAAUAAUAUUGUUUCAUAAAUUUGUAAUUCACCCACCACCAAAGUAUUACAAAAGACAAUAUAAUGUGUAGAGCUUUCCUUCUAAAAUAAAACUAUACGUUCACUUAAUUUAAAAUUUCACAAACUAGCUAAUCUAGAGUUUCAUCUAUUGGGCUGUAUUCAUCAACAUACUCAGCCCACUUUAUUCUUAAUGCAUCAAUUUCCUGUUGAGUGUAUGUAGCUUUUAUCCUUCAAACUGCUCCUGCAAAAAAUAAAUAAAUUGAAUGAGAGGAUCCUUACCAUAAGACAACAGAAAAACAAAUAGGAAAACUCUUUGUUGAUCACCGUGGAUCUUCCCGUCUCCCUUGUCCUCGUUCUUCUUUAUUUGUGCACAACUAAAUAGCAACCGUAAAUUAGUGGUUCAAUUUGCAGUUUAAAUUAGAGGUUAAAUAAAAAUAGAAUAAACACAUAUUUAUCCAAGACUUGAAAGCAAAGCCUAAACCUGAUGCAAUUUUUAUGAGGUCUGGGUGGAGGGCAAGUCUGUAGCAUACUAGCUGAGAUCGAACUUGUGGUGCUACAACUUAUCAUCUCAAUAAUUGAACUAAAAAAAAAUAAACAUAAAAUUUAUAAGAUUAUAUACUGAAUGAGCAGGAUACGAAAUUAUUCCUAUGACCAAAAUGAAGAUGAGUGAUAGAAAAAAGCAACACGCAUGCAGAGAAAGGGAGGGAGAGUGUACCUUUGGAGUGAUGUUUGUCAUCAUCACUGAACAAAAUUUUGAUUCUGAAAGACCUGUCAUGAUUCAUAUAAAAAAAAUCCAAGAACAAUUUUCAAAAGCAUAUAAAAAUCCUUUAGACAAACCAACUCUCUUAAAUACCAAUCCAUAAGAUUGCCUCUGCUUGCUUUACGAAUCUUGCAAAUAUCAGUCUAUUAAAUAUGAAUGAUGAAGACAAACCUACUCUCUUAAGCAUAAACCAGAUGCGUCACCACCGCCUGUCCAGAACCCAAUUCUAGGAGCGGACACUCGAGAAUGAAGACAUCAGACCAUAAUUGAAACAACUACAAACUAAACUGACCAAACCACUUAAAACCACACAACUAAGAUAAGAGUUUGUAUCAUAAAAGCAUAAGUUUGAGUGAGUGAAAAUUUGAGUACUGACAAUGGUUCACUUUUUCUUAGCAGCAGACUUGGUGACCUUGGCAUCGAUGGGAUCCUUCUUCUCAACACUCUUGAUAACACCAAAAGCAACAAUCUGGCGCAUGCCACAAACAACAAAGCAACCUAAUGGAUGGUACUCAGAAAAUGUCACCACAACCAUGGGCUUGGUAGGAAGCAUCUUCACCAUAACUGCAUCUCCGUUCUUCAAGAACUUUGUCUCCAUCUCAAUCUCCUUGCCAGACCUCCUGUCAAUCUUGGUAAGGAUCUCACCGAACUUCCCAACCUUGCGCAGUUGAUAAACAACGUGCUUUUCAAGCGUAGUGGCGUUAAAAAGAAAUAAUCUAUAACUGCUUGAGAGAUUUAAGGGAUAAAUCUUCCACUUUUCCUUUUAAAAUCUUCCGCAUAUUUUAUUGAACAACACAUUUUUUUUAGUUGCAUCAUAAUAUUACUUUAAUAACAUUUUUAAUAAAAGAAUGUCAUUAAAAAUUUUACCAAGUGUCAUGAAAGCCCUAUUUUGUAGUAGUGCUAGCAAAAAAGAAGACGAGAAAAAACAAUCCGUUGUACACAUUAGGAAUAAAAAAAGGAGAGGUUUGGGUGGGUGGUUGGGUCUGUGAAUCUCUUUCUCACUAAUUUAUGGCUUGUUACAAGCGUUUAGAUGGUGGUUGGACCCAUUGAUAAAAUGUGGUUAGAAUAAGUCUGGAUGGCAAGGGCGGAGGCUUGAAACAUGCUCUCCAACCCAAAAACCCUCCUCCAGCAGGCUAAGAAGAAGAGGGCAGCCUGAGCAACUUAUGCUCAGCCCUUACGCUAGCGGGCAAGGCUUUUUUGUUUUUUUUUGUGUCUGGCGAUUGCAAUGAACGCAUGAACUCAGCAAGUGAGCUAACAACUUCCAACUUCGAUUGUCGUGGGGCCCACUGCAUAAUCUAACAGCCACCAUCAACAUCUCUAUGACGUGACAAUUUGUGAGUCGUUAAAUUUUCAAUGGCCUAAUGUUCUGGACUAUCGGAUUUCCAAUUCCAACAGUAAAAAAUUGAAAAACUUAUCAUUUUGACAUGUGUCACAUUCUAAUGCAUAUGAUUUUAGAUAUGUUUGGAAAUGAAUGGCCAUGAUUAAUCCAACAGUUAAAAAUUAUAAAAAAGGGGAUUUUUUAUUAUUUAUUAUUCUAUAAAUAUUGAAUCAUCUUCUGCAUUUCUCUCAACACAAUAUUUAUUUUUACUACAAUCUUCUAAAUUUGUUUUCAACUUUUCAAAUCCUUUUAUUACUAAAAAAAAUGAAUGAGAAGGUACUUUGGUCGGUCGAGGAAGAUGUUGCUUUGCUUUGUUUUUCACUUUCCAAAUCCUUCUAUCACAAAGAAUAAUAUUGUUUAAAUAUCGUAGUUGGUUAUCUUAGGCCUCAUUUGGCUGCUCGGACUGUACUGACUAUUUCAGUCGGAUAGGAUAAUCUGUCAUCGGACUGUACUGACUAAAUUAGUCAGGCGUCUGGUGCAGUAUCGUAUUAAUAACCGUAUUAUUUAUAAUGUGUUUGGUACUGUACUGGAUAAGAGAUCGGAUUAUAUUAUUUUUACUAAAAAAAUUUGAUGACUAAUGAAAAAAAAAAUCACAACAACCAAAUGCAUCAAAAUAAAAAAUAAAAUAAAAAUAAUAUUGUUUGUGAUUUUGAACUUUGAUAUUGUAUUUUCUAUUUGUCCUUUAUUUAAACCAAAUUAUAAAAAAUAAAAAUAAAAAAUCCUUUCUUCCCCAGAUCUUCUCCAUCGCAUAGCCCCCAGACACCCUCACUCCCUUCUCCAGUUUUCCUUACCAGUUCAAGAAAAUCUUCCCCCUCUAUACAGAAGAAGCGGAUUGUCGGUGUUGGCAUCAAUGGCUAGUGAGAACGGCAGUUACCCAUAUCAAACUGCAGAUUAUCAACAUUUCCCAAAUUUAACGUACUGGAGAUUCCCAGUGAGAACGACAUUUACUUGAAGUAAUGAUAUGAACUGGAGAUUCCCAGUGACUAUAUGAUACCUGAUUUCCUAAAUUUAAUCCAUAAUUUUAUUUUCAAUUUAUCGAGAGGUUGCAUUGGAUUGUCGAUAUCGUUGAACGGUGUUGCAGCGAUGUUGGGCAGUAGGUGAAUGCAGGCAAUUCUAGUGCUCCGACGACGUGGGUUUCGGUCAGAUCUAGUUCAAAUCCAGGGUCGAUGGCACGUGAACCCGUGCGGGUCCCGCAUAAGGAACUAAAGAGGAGAGAGAGAGGCAAAAAAGAAGAAAAGAGAAAGGGAAGAAGAAAGGAGGAGGAAGAAGAACCUGAGAUUGACGAUUGAGCGAUUUGGUGAAUGGGUUUGAGGAGAGAGAGAAGAAGAAAGGAGAAGGAGGAAGAAGAACGAUGGUAACAGAAGUGAGAAGAGAACGAUGCGCCACACCGAUGAAGCGAGGACACGAACCCAACUAAAUAAUACAGAGAUUUCUGGAAGGAUAAAUAAGCGGGCAGACACCGGAUAAAAGAUGUGGGCCCAGUUUAAGUAAUACGGGUACUAUUUAGUACGUAGUUGCACCAAACACCCGGAUCCAUAUUACUUAUCCUAUCCGAUUCCUUAUAUGGACUACCAAACGAGGCCUUAGUAUUGUAAUACCCUGAAAAUUUUAAAUAUAUGAAUAUGUGGAGAAAAUCGAAAAUAAAUCGAUUUAUGAUUAUGAAGAAUUAAAUCGAGCAUAUUACUGAGCUUUUAUAUGAUUUUUCAAGAAUUUAUAAUAAUUUGUGUAAGUUUAGUUUUAAAUUAAACUAGUUAUGAGAUUUAAAGUUUGGACCUUAAUUAUUUAAAAUACGUAGACCUUUCGAGGUCAAAAAUCAUAUUUUUGAAUAGAGCUCGACCUCAUGAAUGCGUAGGCGCAAACUGUUCGUGAAACAGAGUUAGAACGAAGAAUUUAUUAACGUUUAAAGUUAGGGGCAUUUUAGUAAAAUAGUUAAGUUCAAGAUAAUUCCAGAUUUUUGAGAAAAAUCUGGAAGGCCACGUGUGUGGCCGAGAUUUAAAGACAGAAAAUGGGCGGUGUAGAUGGAAAAUAAAGGAGAGAAAGGAGGGAGAGAGGAGCCAAUCAGAAAAAGAGGGAUGAAAGGUGACCAAUGAGAGAAGAGAGAAAUGGGGAGAAAGGAGAGAAGAGAGACACGGGGGAUCGGGACCCGGGUCUUGGUGACCCGACCCGAUCGGCAUCAUACACUUUUCCGGUGGAUUUUCACCCCUUUUUUCCGGUGAAAUGCAUCAAACCACCCCUUGGAAACCCCCUCCACGAUCUUCCCUCUUCCUAUUGCAUCCCAAAAAUCAUAAAAUUUGGUCUUGAAAUUUGGAGAAAGAACACUCGGUGCCGCGACUUUCCUUGCUUGAAAUCCAUCAAAAUCUGAAAUGUUUUGGUUCAAUUACAACCACCAUUAGACUCCCCUUAAGAGCUGGAAUAAAGCCCAUUCAUUGGUUGGGGUGUCGGAGUUGCUAUGGAGUCGAAUUGAGGACACCCAAAUCUUAGGGUUCCGACGGAUUUUGAUGAAAUUGGAGCCUUUUCCAGGCCAAAUUGGCCUUGGUUGCAGGUGUGAAAGUUUCUCUACUCAUUGAGAUCUUCAUUUCUGUAAUUUUUGAGAAUUUUUAAAAAUAAUUGAAUUUUUAAGCGAACCGGGACGGCCGACCGCCACCCGCGGUGGCGGGUGCAGUAGCGCACGGCCAGGGAGCCUACAAGUGUGUUUUAUGCGAAUUUCGUUAUUUUAAUUAUGUUUUUGAGAUUUAAUUGAUGUGGUUUGAAUAUUACUACGUUUUUGGUAUAUGUUGGAUUAAAAGAAUAUUUUCAGGUUUGGUUUAAAUUUUGAAGUUUUGAACUACGAAAGGCUUGAUCCCUGUUGAGGGUACGUAGGCAGUCUAACGAGACGUUAGAUGCAGCCAUAAAAUAAAUGUGUUUAAAUAUUCAAGAAUUAGUAUAUAGAUGGAAAUUGAUCCAAGAGAGAAAAUAAAUUAGCUAUGUUUUUAGGUUGGGCCUAACAUAAUUAUUUUCCCGAAAUAUACAAAUAUUUCGGGGCAGUGGCAUUACAAAUAUGCUAUACUUUUGCCUUGUAUUUGAAAUUAGAUAAUCGUUUUAUUUUAAAAAAACAAACUUACUAAGUUCACACUUAAACAUAUUUAAACAAACUUACAAAGGUCAACACACUUGCAGAUAACACAAUUAAAAUUAAACAUACCAACAAACAUGGAUCACACUUACAAGGCCAAACAAAGCAUAUAUAUAUAUAUAUAUGUAUGUAUGUAUGUAUGUAUAUGUAUAUUAUAUUGAUGAACAGUAUUGCCCUUGCUCUUGUCUUUGCCCAACUGGUAGUAGAGUUGCACAGAGACAAAGUAUUGUUCAUAGUAAAAAGUACGGGCAAGCCAACUGCCUUGUUCUUACACUUGCAUUCUCCAAACGGGUGAAACUGCUAUUAUGAUCGGUCUGAAGUAGACGCGCUUAUUCUUGGGUGAGGAAAUUGUCAGUCUCCUUAACAAGAACAACAGCUAACUGGAGCUGAAGUUGGGGAUCCGGAACCCCAUCAUGUAGCUUUUCAUAUUGUAAGACCAAAUUCACCACGCUGCCCUCAUCAUGAACGCCUAAUUUUGGAGUAACUUGUAAAGUGAUCUUAAAGCUCUUGUAUCGAUCUAGAGGGUUUCCUUCAAGCACUGUGAAAGUCACCGAAUGAUUUACAUCGUCUAUGGCUUCAGUUAACUCCUUGGAAAAAGUUGGUUUCCCAUCUGCUAACAUUUCAUCACAAAAUCAAUUACUUGCUUCAUCCACAAAAAAACAUGUAGACAUAUACAGUAAGAGAACAAUCUUUGAGCCACACUUACCUUCAAUAUAAUCCCACAAGAAGACACAACCCACUUUACCCCAUUCACCUUCAAGUAAUUUAUGACUCGGAACUUUGUCGGGGCUGAUGUUGCAUAUUUCGUAUGGUGUUCGUGCGAAGAAUUCAUGGAACCUGUUUGCUUCAGACUUGAUUUCAACACUCGUCUCCACCUUGCUAGAAUUUGACAUUUUCCACUAGUACCAGAGUUGAAGGAAAAACGACUUUGGCCCUUACACUUAUAUAGAAGAAAAGAGGGAAACAAAAACUUUACAAGAACCUAAUUUGCCCAUCAGACAUGGAUGUAUUUAUUCACUAAAAAAAAUGCGUUAGUUGUAUUAUUUUACUAGAACCGAACAAUUUGCCCAGUAGAGAUGGAUGGUGGAAUGUCUUGAUCAAUAUUAUUCCUCGUUUGCUCUCGUCGUUUCUAAGAAAACAAUGUUUUGUGGUUUUAUUAAAUAGCUGGAGACAAAAUGUUUCGAUCUUGUUCGUUUCUCUGUUUGUAUGCUUUUAUACAUGUUAUUUCUAAACAAUUUGUUUGUUUUAUGGUGGGCAUCUUUAAAAGUAAGAUACCCAUUUGUUUUUAGAGAAAUGUUAUUGUCACCUAAAAAUUUAAGUGUGUAUUUAUAAUUAUUUAUAUUUAAAAAGAAAAAUAUUCUUACAAUAAAUGUACAAUUAGAUUUUUGUAGUGUAAAUUUUCUGUCUUCAAUUUCGACUACUCGAAAUAUAUGAUCCGAUUGACCCCCAACCAUUGAGGUUUAAAUAUUUAUGGCUGGGGAAGACGAAUUCACCCAAACCUCGAACUCCUUUUCUUAGGAAAUAAAUUGAAAGUUAUAAUCUAAGGCCAAAUUCAAACCGAAACAACAACAUUCUAUUCUAUAAUUUCUCCUAGUCCUGAUCGGUUAGGGAUUCUAGUUAGUUCGUUUACAAACUACGUUGGCUAAUAUAUUUCAGUUACAGCUUCAUAUAUAAAUGCAUUCUUCGUCGAAUUAACAAAUAAUCAGUUUGUAUAAUUAAUUAAGAACAAGAGGACUCGAAACAGAAGCAGCAAAACAUGACCAUGACCAACAACGACAACGUUUUGGAGCCGCCCAUCAAUUUCUCGAUGGUGGAUGAGGGCGUAUUCCGAUCAGGCUUCCCGCAGCUGUCAAACUUCCCAUUCCUCCAAUCCCUUCAACUCCGUUCCAUUAUCUAUCUCUGCCCUGAGCCCUGUUAGGGCUUAAAAAGACUUUACUACUUUGGAGAUGUUUAUCUCACAAAGAAGAAUGUAAUGCAGCGGAAUUGAUAGGCAAGAGAAAGAAAGAACACUCAAAGUUUUUACACAAGAUUUUUUAUUCACUCACAAACUAGUACAAGAGGAAACACUUAAACACUCUUAGAAGCUUUGUUGCCUCUUACUUCUCACUACUUGCUCUCUUGGUUGUUUCAAAUGGUGUGGAUGCCUUCUCCUUUUAUAGGCAUGGAUGGAACCUUGGAGAAACAUGGAAACAUCAUGCUAGAUAUAUGACAAUUCCACUACCUUCCUAUGCUAGAAUUAUCUACACUAAUCUUGUAUGUUGGUGGAAUCCUCACCAUUCUUCUAGACUCUUCCACCAACUUGAACUUUGCUAGAAUUCUCUAGCAUGUGCAUGGAUCUUUCUUUGUGCAUGGGCUAGAUCCAUUAUCUUUGCGCCAAGACAAGAUUACAAUUCAACAUCCCCCCUUAAUCUUGUCUUGUGACGCCGAUUGUGUUCCUUAAUCUGACAAAGUCUUUUUGCCUGAGUGGUUUGGUGAAUAUGUCGGCGACUUGGUCUUGUGACUUCACGUAUUCCACUUGCACAUCCUUUCUUGCAAUACACUCUCUUAUGUAAUGAUAGCGGGUAUCUAUGUGUUUGCUCAUGUCAUGGAAUAUUGGAUUCUUUGCUAGAGCUAUUGCAGACUUGUUGUCGACAUAGAUCUCUAUUGGCUAUUCUUGUGGCAUGUUUAAUUCUUUUAGCAAGUUUCUCAGCCAGAUUGCAUGAUAGACACAUGAGGUAGCAGCUAUGUAUUCAGCUUCGCAGGUAGAGAGAGUGACAAUCGAUUGCUUCUUCGACAUCCAUGUGAAUGCAGUGUUUCCCAUAAAGAACACAAAUCCAGUAGUGCUUUUUCUAUCGUCGGAAUCUCCUGCCCAAUCACUGUCGCUAUAUCCAACAAGUUUGUAGUUAUCAGAACUUGAAUAGAACAAGCCAAAGUUAAUAGUACCUUUAAGGUAUUGAAGAAUUCUUUUGGCGGUCUUCAAGUGUGUAGUUGUGAGAUUCUCCAUGUAGCGACUGACUAAUCCGACGGCAUAGAGAAUGUCUGGUCUUGUGCAUGUCAAGUAGCGCAAGCUUCCAACUAAACUCUUGAAAAAUGUUGGAUUUACACUUUCUCAUUCGUCAUGCUUGGUUAGUUUGACUCCGCACCCCACUGUCGUGCUUAUGGGCUUGCAGUCUUUCAUUUUGAACUUUUUCAGUAUCUCAUAUGUGUAGCUUUCUUGGGAGAUGAAAAUGCUUUCUUCGUUCUGCUUGACUUCAAUGCCUAGGUAGUAUGCCAUCAGCCCGAUGUCGGUCAUCUCAAAUUCUUUGGUCAUCACUCUUUUGAACUCUUCAUACAUGCUUGGAUUACUUCCGGUGAAGAUUAUAUCAUCCACAUAUAAGCACACAAUCAGAAUAUCUUCAUCUUUGACUUUAACGUAGAGAGCAUGUUCAUGAUGGCACUUGAUGAAGUUGUUUUCUUGGAAGUACUUGUCGAUGCAACUAUUCCAUGCUUGUGGCGCUUGUUUUAACCCAUAAAGGGCUUUCUUCAGCUUCAGAACUUUGUCUUCAUGCCCUUUGAUUUCAUAGCCAAACGGUUGCUGAAUGUAGACUUCUUUUUCAAGGACUCCAUUUAAGAAAGCAGACUUCACAUCCAUUUGUUGAAUCUUCCAUUUGUUUUGAGCUGCCAAAGAAAUUAGUAAUCGUAUAGUUUCCAACCGAGCAACGGGUGCAAAUACCUCAUCAUAGUCGAUUCCGGCUCUUUGACUAUAGCCCUUUGCCAUUAAUCUCGCCUUGUAUCUUUCGACCUCUCCGUUGGCAUUCUUCUUUGUCUUAUACACCCAUUUGACUCCGAUGGCUUUGUGUCAUUUCGGAGAAUAGUGAGUUCCCAUGUAUUGUUCUUAUGGAUUGCUUCAAUUUCUUCAUCCAUUGCUUUCCUCCACUUAGUAUCUUGCAUUGCUUCUUGGAAGUCAACUGGUUCACAAUCAGCAAAGAGACAGAAAAGUGUAGGAUUAUCAAGUCUUUCAGCUACCUCAUAGAGAUCUCGUAGACUUCUUAUGUGUGGUACUUCUCUUUCAUUUAGACUCCCACUUGAUGAUGCUGAUGCUGGUGAAUUGCCAUGAUUGGUUGAUGUUUGUGAAGCAGGUGGAAUAGUGGAUUCUUGUUGAACCCCUCUUGCUUGCUCCAUCAUCCCUUGUUCAUUCUCUUCUUCAAACUAAGGAAAAAAGUGAAGAUCACCUGCAUGAGAGCCAAAAUCCCAUUCUCAUUCUUCAUCGAACGUCACAUCUCGACUGAUUACCAUCUUCCCAUUGUUUGGAUUAUACAGCUUAUAGCCUUUUGAAUUUGAGUUAUAGCCGAUGAAGAUGAACUUCUCACUUUUGUCGUCGAGUUUGGUUCUCCUCUCGUCUGGUACAUGUACAUGGGCUAUGCUUCCAAAAAUUCUUAGAUGGGAGAUACCUGGUUUUCUUCCACUCCACGCUUCUUGCGGAGUCUUUCCCCACACACUUCUUGUUGGAGACCGAUUGGAUUGGUAGACAACACAUGAUACAGCUUCUGCCUACAACUCCUUAGGCAAUCUCUUACUUUUGAGCAUGCUUCGAGCCAUGUCGAGGAUGGUUCGAUUUUUCUUUCCGCCACACCAUUUUGUUGAGGGGAUCUUGGAACUGUCAAAUGUCGACGAAUUCCAUUGGCUUCACAGAAUUCUUGAAAUUCCUUCGAAGUGAAUUCUGCUCUUCGAUCAGAUCUCAUGGCUUUAAUCUUGCAACCACUUUCUUUUUCUAUAGCAGCUUUGAACUUCUUGAAUGCUCCAAAUACCUAUGAUUUCUACUUUAAGAAAUACACUCAGGUUUUCCUUGAAAAAUCAUCAAUGAAGAGAAGGAAAUAAUUUAUUUUUACCCAAAGAGCUUGGUUUUAUUGGACCGCACACAUCGGUGUGAAUGAGUUCGAGUGGCUUCUGGGCUCUUGUGGUUGACUCUUUUGGAAAGCUUUUCCUGAACUGUUUCCCAAGUAAACAUCCUUCGCAAGCUUGAUCAGGACGACUGAUGCACGGUAAGCCUCUCACCAUCUCCUUCUUGGAUAAUAACUCCAGUCCCCCAAAGUUAAGAUGCCUAAAACGAAGAUGCCAAAGCCAUGAUGUGUCUUUGUAACAUAUCUUGAGACACUUUGCAACAUUGUUUUGAAUGUUCAUGGGAAACAUCCUAUUCUUUGACAUUUUCACCUUGGCAAUUAAUCUUCCUUUGUCAUCUAUAAGAAAAAGGCUAUAAUUUUUCAUGUGAAUAUCAUAACCUUUUUCUAAGAGUUGACCCAAGCUCAAAAUGUUGCUUUUCAUAUUAGGCACGUAGUAGACAUUUGAAAUUAAUUGGUGACCACCAUUUUUUAAGGGAAUAAGGAUGUUACCUUUUCCUUUGAUGGGUAUUUUGGAUUUGUUUCCAAAAGAAACGUUGCCACUCUCCGAUUCAUUGAGCUCUACGAACAUGCUUUUUCUUCCGCACAUGUGGUUGCUAGCGCCGGUGUCAAGAUACCAUGUAUAGUCUUGGUCUCCAUCAUUGUUCUUGCAUGCUAGUAGCACAAUGCCAUUAUCUUCUUUCUUUUCUUUCACAUAAUUGACCUUCUCAUCAGGCCUGUUGCUUGGAGCUUUACAUUCCCAAGCAUAAUGCCCAAACUUUUGACAAUUGUAGCAUUGAACUUGAGAUUUUUCAUACCUCAAGUUUGAGUGUCCUCUUCCAUGACCAUUUGUUGAGCUUCCUCCUUUUUCGUAGUUGUUAUGAUUGUUGAAGUUCCAACCACGUCCACGUCCAUGUCCGCGACCUCGACCGCGACUUCUUUCGUACUGGCUUCUCUCAUUAUCCAAUCUUUCUUCUUUCUUCUUUGGCUGGACAUGCGUCUUGAGGAGCUGCUCAUCAUUCCCUUGCCUCUUCUUAUGUUUCUCUUCAUAUGCUUGUAGUGAACCCAUUAAUUGCUCUAUACUAAUUUCUUCCAAGUUUUUUGUUUCUUCAAUCGUCACGACAAUGUGCUCGAACUUGGGGUCCAACGAGCGUAGUAUCUUCUCCAUAAUUCUAACAUUUUCUAACUUUUCUCCGUUUCUUUUUAAUUGAUUGGAAACGGCUAAGACUCUUGAAAAAUAAUCAGAGAUUGAUUCAGACCCUUUCAUUUGUAGAGAUUCGAACUCACCUCUUAGUACUUGAAGACGAACCUUUUUCACUUGUUUGACUCCUUUGUAAGAGGUUUGAAGCUUCUCCCAUGCUUGCUUGGCAGAGGUUGCACUCGAGACUUUCUCAAAGCCAUUGUCAUCUAAUGCUUGGUAGAUGAGGUAGAGCCUUCUUGUCUCUCUUUCUUGAAUCUUUCAAACUCUCAUUCUGGGGUUGGGACAGAGUAGCUUCAUCUUCUGGCUCAGUGUAGCCUUUCUCCACGACUUCCCAUACAUCAUGUGCUCCCAAAAGGGCCUUCAUUUUGAUACUCCAAUUAUUGAAGUUGUUGUUGUCGAGCACUGGAACUUGGAAGGCUGUCAUAGCGUUGCUAGCCAUAGCUCUGGUACCACUUUGUUAGGGCUUAAAAAGACUUCACUACUUUGGAGAUGUUUAUCUCACAAAGAAGAAUGUAAUGCAGCGGAAUUGAUAGGCAAGAGAAAGAAAGAACACUCAAAGUUUUUACACAAGAUUUUUUAUUCACUCACAAACUAGUACAAGAGGAAACACUCAAACACUCUUAGAAGCUUUGUUGCUUCUUCUCACUUCGCACUACUUGCUCUCUUGGUUGUUUCAAAUGGUGUGGAUGCCUUCUCCUUUUAUAGGCAUGGAUGGAACCUUGGAGAAACAUGGAAACAUCAUGCUAGAUAUAUCUAGACAAUUCCACUACCUUCCUAUGCUAGAAUUAUCUACACUAAUCUUGUAUGUUGGUGGAAUCCUCACCAUUCUUCUAGACUCUUCCACCAAUUUGAACUUUGCUAGAAUUUUCUAGCAUGUGCAUGGAUCUUUCUUUGUGCAUGGGCUAGAUCCAUUAUCUUUGGGCCAAGACAAGAUUACAAUUCAACAAGCCCUACCCGGAGGAGAGUUUGGAGUUUCUUCCGUCGCAAGGCAUUCGGCUCUUCCAGUUCGGAAUCGAGGGCAAGAAGGAGCGGUCUACGUCUCCGCUGAUUCCAGCAGAGACUAUCUCCGAGGCACUGAAAGUUUUGGUUGAAAUUGAGAAUCAUCCGGUGUUGAUCCACUGCAAAUGCGGCAAGCAUCGGACUGGUUGUCUGGUGGGUUGCCUGAGGAAAUUUCAGAAUUGGUGUUUGUCUUCGGCGUUAGAGGAGUACCAGCGGUUUGCCGGCGAAAAAUCUAGGGGGACGGAUUUGAGAUUUAUCGAGACGUUUGACGUAUUGGGCCCCAGGGGGGAUGCCUUCACGGCAUUGUCCGCCAUUAUUAUUAAGCUUAUGCUUCCGGAAAGAGGCGGUUGUUGUACAAACAAGAGUUGCAAACCCAUAAACCCUAGGUGAUGUUUUAGUUUUUACGUGUUGAAAUUUUAUGCCCUUUUAGUUGUACCAUAAUGAAAAUUCCUUCAUUCGCUUAGUGACGGGUCCCACGUAUGGGAGUGAUUUUUUUGUUGUUGUUGAUUUAGCAUAAUCACGAAAUUUAGACAUGCUUAUAAAUUUAGUCCUCAAUUUAGGAGUAGGAAAUUUUUAUGAAUAUAUGACGUGCAUGUUUACUUAAAAAAUUAGAAUGAAAAAUUAUGAAUCCAGAAAGUCAAAAAUACAAUGAAAGAAAUUUAGGAGUAGGAAAUCUUUUGACAUAUUUUUUUCUAUUUUUAUUUUAUUUUUUAGUUGUUGAAUUAUCAAUGUAAAGUAGAACUCAAAUACUUUUUGACUCCACAUAACCACAUAAAAAUCAAGAAUUGAAACAGAGUAAUUCUAAUACUAGUUCGUACUCUAACCUAGUGCAAAAAGUUAGAAUUGUAAAAAUUUAGAGCUGAUCUUGGUGAAAUAUAGAACGUCAUAGGACCAUGAUUCUGGAACUCCUUUCCCUCCUUCAACUGUGGUCGGCCUGGGUCAGAUUUCUCGUUCAGGGAUUUACCUCUUCUGAAUAGUCCGCCCUUGAUGGGUCAACUCUAGUUAGUUAAUCCAAGCAUAGGAAGAUGAGACAAAAUACACACAAAGUUGUUAGGAUAUCUUUUCUUUUUAUAUUUGAGCGAUAUUCUAAUCUAAUCCAAAUUCAUGGGAGGAUUCAAAUUUGGCUACACUCGGAUUCACAUAUUCGGAUUGAUUUUAAAUUAAAUCCAGGUUGAAACAGAAGAUAUUGAAGUUGGGAUUGAAAUAGAAGAUAAAGCGUAAUAUAAAGUUACAUUACAAUAACAUGUUCUAUUAAAUGAAAGUGACUAAAGAUUGAAAAAAAUGCUACACUGCGUGAUCAACUCCGGCAACGAGCAUUAGCACUGCAUCCACGGUUGUAGGGGUUACUCUGAUUCUGAGCACCCGGCUUGCAGUUGUUGGAGGAAGCACCUCUCUGAGAGCAAGGCACAGUGUUUCUCUGCAGAGCUUCAUAGCUUAUGUUUCGUGAGGUGGCUAAGAUGUGUUGAAUUAUAAGUCUCUAGCUGAUUAGAAAUAAGUUGUGAUGUUAAUAUGUGUAUGCACUUAUGUUAAAAUACUAAGUGAGAAGAUAUAUAGAUGUAAAGGCCAUGAGUGCCAUGUGUGAUGAUCUUAUAGAUUAGCUAAAUGUGUGGCUGAGAUCUGUUAUUUUGAAUGUCCAUGAUCCAGCUCAGGUUUUGUAAAGCUAUAUAUCCUCUCUUGCACGUUGAGUGCAAGCUAGAGAGACAUUUAAUGAAAACAUUAUUCUUCUGAGUAAUUGCAGAAGAAAGAACCACCACCUUCUCUCUCUGUUUUCUUUUUCUCUUUCGAAUUUGCUCUCUUUAAAAUACUAACAUGGCCUCAGAGCCUAUGUUCGAUUAGAUCUGGGCGUGUUCUGUGCACUCAAACAUCACCGGUUUUGGGUUCGGUGAAGUUUGCCGGAGUUUAUUUGUGAUCUAAGAACUACGUGUUCCUGGAUUCACACAAGCUCACGAUGGCUGAAUCUGGGAGUACUGAAGUAAGGACCCCGAUCUUCUCCGGUGAGAACUACGAGUUCUGGAGAAUCAAAAUGGUUACCAUUUUCAAGUCACAUGGACUAUGGAGUCUGGUGGAAAAAGGAAUUUCAACUCCCGAUUCGAAGAAGAAGAAAGCUAAGACUGAUGAAGAUACAGAUGUUGAUACUGACGAUGAUGAGAAAAUGGCUGCAAUCUUCAUGAAAGAUGCAAAAGCUCUCGGAAUCAUUCAAGGCGCAGUCUCCGAUCAGAUCUUCCCUCGAAUCGCAAACGCAGAUUCAGCAAAAAUGGCAUGGGAUCUGUUAUAUGGCGAAUAUCACGGUGGGGAUCAGGUAAGAUCGGUGAAACUUCAAAAUCUUAGACGAGAAUUUGAAUACACUAGAAUGCGUGAUGAUGAAUCUUUGACUGUGUAUCUUACUCGUUUAAAUGAUCUGAUUAAUCAAAUGAAGACGUUUGGUGAAACUCUGUCAAAUGAGAGAUUAGUUCAGAAGGUGUUAAUCAGUCUCACUAAGAUGUAUGAUCCUAUAUGCUUAGUGAUAGAAAAUACCAAAUGUCUAGAAUCUGUUGAACUGCAAGAGGUACUAGCUAUAUUGAAGAGUCAAGAGCAGAGGUUUGAUUUGCAUUCCACCGAUGUAACUGAGAGAGCAUUUUCUUCUCUUACUGUUAAUUCAAAAUGGCAGAAUCGAGGUUAUGCUCAGUCUAGUAUUUUUAAAUCACAGAAAAAUUGGAAUAAAAAGGGUAAGAAGUGGGAUUCAAAACCAAAGUUUCAGCAAAAAUCAUUCACAAAUGUUGCACAGAAUAGUACUUCUUCACAAGUUAUGGGUCAAGAGAGUGUAAAACCUCAAUGUAAAGUGUGUUCAAAGUUUCAUUAUGGUGAAUGUAGAUACAAUGGGAAAUCGAAGUGCCAUAAUUGUGAUAGAUUUGGACAUUGGGCCAAAGAGUGUACUGUUGGAAAGUCUGUUCAAAAGGCAAACUGUGCAAAUCAAAUGGAGGUGACAGGAAAUCUAUUUUAUGCAAAUUGUGCAGUUGCUGAGACUAAGGUCAAUGGAGAUUGGUACAUAGAUAGUGGUUGCAGUAACCACAUGACAGGAAAUGUGGAUUUGCUGGUUGAUGUGAGAACCAACAUAGCUGGCAAAGUUCAAAUGCCAACUGGAGAUCUUGUGAAUGUAGCUGGAAUGGGAUCACUGGUGAUAGACACAAAUAAGGGCAGAAAAUAUGUGAGAAAGGUAAUGUAUUUGCCUGGUUUAAAAAAGAAUCUGCUAAGUGUAGGUCAAAUGGAUGAGCACGGAUAUUUUCUUGUGUUUGGUGGUGGAGUGUGCAGUGUGUAUGAUGGUCCAUCACUGGAAUGUUUAAUCAUGAAAGUGAAGAAGAAAGUGAACAUGUGUUAUCCACUGGUUUUAUUAUCUGAGAAUCAAGUAGUCUUAAAGGCUAGUGUCACUCACUCCACUGAGAUUUGGCAUAAGAGAUUUGGACACCUGCAUCUUGAUGGUCUCAAACAGUUGAGAGACAAGGAUAUGGUACACGGCUUACCUCAGCUUGAAGACUACAAUGGAGUCUGUGCAGGUUGUCAAUUUGGAAAACAACACAGAGAAGAGUUUCCAAGAAGUCAAGUACAGAGAGCAACUUCUCCACUUGAACUUAUACAUGUUGAUCUGUGUGGACCCAUGAAAAAUGAGUCAAUUGCAGGAAAUAAAUAUUUCAUGCUUUUGGUAGAUGAUAUGACCAGGAUGAUAUGAAUCUAUUUUCUGCGAUACAAAUCUGAUGCAUUCAACUGUUUUAAAAAAUUCAAAGCCAUGGUAGAACUACAAAGUGGUUUCAAGAUCAAGUAUCUGAGAAGUGAUAGAGGAGGGGACUUCAAAUCAUUCGAAUUUGACUCGUUCUGUGAAAAAGCUGGAAUUCAAAGGCAGUUUACCCUUGCAUAUACUCUACAGCAAAAUGGAGUAGUAGAAAGGAAAAACAAGACUGUGGUUGAGAUGGCUAAAUCUAUGUUGCAUGAGAAGAGUUUACCAUAUUUUCUCUGGGCAGAGGCAGUUCACACAUCUGUGUAUGUUUUAAACAGAUGUCCCACAAGGGCUUUGAAAAACAUCACACCUUUUGAAGCCUACUCGGGAAGGAAACCAGGAAUAGCUCAUCUGAGAGUAUUUGGUUCAGCAUGUUAUGUUCAUGUUCCAAGUGAGCACAGACAUAAACUUGAGCCUAAAAGUUUCAAAGGGGUGUUUGUGGGAUAUGCAACUUGUGAAAAGGGAUAUAGGGUGUUUGAUCCCAUAUCAAAGAAGUUGAUAUUAUCAAGGGAUAUUGUUUUUGAUGAAGAAGCUGUAUGGAAUUGGGAAGUGAACUCUGAGCAGCCUAUCUCUACUACUGAAAACCUUGUUUAUGAUGAAUUAAGAACAGGAAGAAAUGAAGGAAUGAUGCAGACUCCUACCUCAUCAACAGCAUGCUCACCUAGGAAUGUUCUUAGUAUUGGAGAUUCUGUCCAAUCUAAGGGACUUACAUCAGGUGAAUCUGUAAACAACUCAAACUUGAGUGAAAAGGAUACUCAAGCAUUUGAUCAUACACCAUUGAAGUGGAGAAAACUGGAUGACGUCUUAGCACAAUGUAAUCUCUGUAUUAUGGAUCCAGAGAAAUAUGAAGAUGCCAAACAAGAUGUGUCUUGGUUAAAAGCCAUGGAGGAUGAGAUGUUCAUGAUUGAAAAGAAUGGCACCUGGAUGCUUGUUGAUAGACCAACUGAGAAACCUGUCAUUGGGGUUAAAUGGGUGUACAAAACCAAAUUAAACCUUGAUGGUUCAGUGUUGAAGAAUAAAGCAAGGUUAGUUGCAAAGGGCUAUGCUCAAAAGCCUGGCUUGGACUACAAUGAGACCUAUGCACCAGUUGCUAGGUUAGAUACUAUUAGAACUUUGAUUGCCUUAGCUGCACACAAGAGCUGGAAGUUGUAUCAGUUAGAUGUGAAAUCGGCUUUUUUGAAUGGAGUUUUACAAGAAGAGGUCUAUGUUGAACAGCCCGAAGGUUUUGUUGUUAAAGGCAAGGAAGAAAAAGUGUACAAACUUCCUAAGGCUCUCUAUGGUCUAAAACAAGCUCCACGAGCUUGGUAUGGUGAAAUUGAUAACUAUUUCACACAGUGUGAUUUUGAGAAGAGCCUAAGUGAACCAACUCUAUACAUAAAGGCAAGGGGAGAAGAUGUCUUGAUUGUUUCCAUCUAUGUAGAUGACAUAGUCUACACUGGAAACUGUAAAACAAUGCUAGAAAAAUUCAAGGAAGAUAUGAAGAUGAAAUAUGAGAUGACAGAUUUGGGAUUGUUACAUCACUUUCUUGGAAUGGGGGUGAUCCAAACCGACUCUAGCAUCUUCAUUCAUCAGAAGAAGUAUGCAAGUUCUUUACUAAGCAAGUUCGGUCUGAAUGAGUGCAAAUCUGUGAUCACACCACUUGUGGCAACUGAGAAAUUAACUAAAGAUGAUGGAAGUGGAGCAGUAAGUGAAGAGUUAUACAGAAGCAUUGUGGGAAGUCUUCUAUAUCUCACUGCUACUAGGCUAGACAUCAUGUAUGCAUCUAGUUUACUUGCUAGAUUUAUACACUGUCCUACUAGCAAGCAUUUUGGAACUGCCAAACGUGUGCUCAGGUACAUCAAAGGGACUAUAGACUAUGGUUUGGAGUAUACAAAGGGCAAGAAAGCAAUGUUGAUUGGCUAUUGCGACAGUGACUGGGGUGGAUCAUCAGAUGAUAGCAAAAGUACAUCUGGAUAUGCAUUUUCUUUUGGAAGUGGAGUUUUUUCUUGGGCUUCAGUUAAACAAAGUUAUGUGACAUUAUCCACUGCAGAAGCAGAGUACAUAAGUGCAUCAGAGGCUACUACUCAAGCUAUAUGGCUGAGAUUUGUCUUGGAAGAUUUCGGAGAACUACAGACUGAAGCCACUUCUCUUCACUGUGACAACACUUCUGCCAUUGCAAUCACUAGGAAUUCUGUCUUUCAUCAAAAGACCAAACACAUAGACAGAAGGUAUCACUUCAUUAAAGAUGCACUGCAAGAAGGAAUCAUUGAUUUGAUUUAUUGUCCCACUGAAGAGCAGAUAGCAGAUAUUUUCACAAAACCUUUAGCCAAUGAUCGGUUCAACUAUCUCAGAAAUUUGCUUGGAGUGAAAUCAGCUCAAGACUUAAAGGGGAGUGUUGAAUUAUAAGUCUCUAGCUGAUUAGAAAUAAGUUGUGAAGUUAAUAUGUGUAUGCACUUAUGUUAAAAUACUAAGUGAGAAGAUAUAUAGAUGUAAAGACCAUGAGUGCCAUGUGUGAUGAUCUUAUAGAUUAGCUAAAUGUGUGGCUGAGAUCUAUUAUUUUGAAUGUCCUUGAUCCAGCUCAGGUUUUGUAAAGCUAUAUAUCCUCUCUUGCACGUUGAGUGCAAGCUAGAGAGACAUUUAAUGAAAACAUUAUUCUUCUGAGUAAUUGCAGAAGAAAGAACCACCACAUUCUCUCUCUGUUUUCUUCUUCUCUUUCGAAUUUGCUCUCUCUAAAAUACUAACAUCGCCUGCUAAUCUCCGAGUCCAUGCCAAACUCAUCAUCACGAUCAUCCAUACACUCUGCUACAGAACCCUCGCAGCGAGGUCUCACUGGAACCCAGCUCACCCCAUGAUCGCCGCCUGCAUCAACGGAGAUGAUCAGAGCGGCCACGAAGGCCAAGGAAAAGAUAAUCGCUGAGGAAUUGGCCAUAGGUUUUGGUAUGGUCUGUGUUUUUAGCUGCCAACUUGUAUUUUGUUGUACGCCUGUUUAAUUACAGAGGGAGACAGAUGAGGCGGCAAGAGAGAGAAGAUAAAGUUGGUGAAUUCUUAUGUGUAUAUUAUUGCACUCCAUUGUGUUAUUUAUAGUAGUAAAAAGUAUAAAAAAGGGAAAGUCCUUGUUCUUUAAUUAAUCCAUAGUAGUAAGAAGGGAAAAUCCUUAUCUUUCAGGUAAUCCAUCUUAGAUAAGACACAAUCUACAAGAUAUUCUGCAGUCCCAUAAGGAUUUUUUACACACAUUCCUAGUAAGUUUGGACUUUGAUAUAUUUAAAUUUGAUUAAAUGAAAAAUUGGAUGCUGAUUUCUUCAAGGAGGUGAUUGUGGAUGCAAAUUUCUCCCUUAUUGAUCUUGGACAAAAUUGCACCUACAAAACAAUUAACACCUUAGGAUCAAGGCCAAGAGCCUCACGCGCCCACGAUGAACGCCGGGGGGGGGGGAGCUUUGGCCGAAGAACCUCUGAUGCCAAAGUUAGAAUUUAGAGAGAAAAGUGUUUAGAGAGUAUUGAGAAUUUUGCAAGUGUGUUGGACCUAGGUUUUGGUGAAAAUGGGAGUCAAUACAUAGGGCAUAGGGUGUAACUUAUGGUUUAAUGUGUGAUUUAAUGGAUUAAUUAGGCAAUUAAUCCAUUGAUUGGUUAAUCAACACAUUUUUGGAAUAAAUAUUUUGGGGGUUAUGUAAUUUAUACCUUGUGGAAAAUAUAGAAUGAGGAUGGAUGAAAUAACUUUGAAUUUGUUACUUAUUUUGGGCACGUUUGAUUUGGUUGAAGGAUAAUUAACCGCUGCUCGCACGUAGGAAUGCCGUUGUAACUCAAGAGUAUUUUGUCUUCUUUUGUCCAAAAAUCCAUGUGUUGCCUUGUGAUUAUUUUUGGCUCCAUAGUGAUUACUUAAAUGACUUGCACUAAUUAGCCUUAGGGCUAGUUUGGUAUUCCUGUGCUUUGAAAAAAAAACUGCUUCUGCUGUGAAAUAAAGCGGUAGAGUGUUUGGUAAACUUUUUUGUAAAAGUGCUUUUAGCAAAAAAAUCAGUGUUAAAGUGCUUGGUAAAUUUUUAUAUAAAACUGCUAUGAUUAUGUUAAAUGACUAAAAAUGAUAUAAUGUUAAAUUUAAUAUAUAAUUUUUUAUUUUUUAAUCUCUAUAAUUGUCGAGUCAUCCAAACUCUUCCAUUUUCCAAAUCCCAUUUAUAAUUCUAGAGUCAUCCUUUUCGCCUAAUUUUUUUUUUCAUUUGACUUUCAGAUCCGAUAUGUUAGCGUUCCGUUGGUCAUCAGACAGGAUCACACUAAGCGUAGGCUGUUUCCGGAUCAGAUCUAGCCGAAGAGCUCUCCCCCUAUAACUUGAAUAUGGCAGUUUCCCACUAGCCGCUUAAAGGAGUACUCAAGGAUUACCCUAUUACCAAUCUCGAAUUGGCCUCCUACUGUCCUCGCUAAGAAAGAGUCUGCCCGCUUAAUUCAAUGAAGGAGUUGAUAUUUAUCUAUUAAAGUAAUUUAUCAAUUACGGAAUUCAAGGUCGGAUGAUAUCAGUUCUCUGUACCCAAGAAGUUCGGGGAAAGGAAAUAGAAGCAAUGCAGACUGAAUUUGACGAACUCCCCACCCAUACUAAAAAGCAAAUAAAGACCCAUGUUUAGCGUCCUCCACUCUAAGGACCACAUUAUUGAAUAUGAUAGUAGACAGAUGGCAUUAUCCUGUAUUGACAAAUGUCAUAAUCGUGUGAGAUCAUUGUUGAGAUGUUAGCUUAGUCAAUAAGCUACUAUGUUUACUAUAAAUAGGAGAUUGCACCACCAUGUAACUAAGUCUUUUGUAAUUCAUUACAAUCAAUAUACAAAGAUAUUUUCUCUCUAUCUCUCUUUUUCUCUAUUUCUUUCUUCCUUGUCGAUGGGUUUCUUGAUUUCUACUUCCGCAACUCUGUUAUCAUGGUAUCCAAAGCCAAGUUCUCAAUUCGAUCUUCAGAAUUAAUGCUGGAAUUCAAAGCGGGGGAUGGUCUUGUGAAGGGAGUUAGAAUUUUUUUUGAGGUGGUGGAGAUUUCUGUUCGUCGGUGCCGUGUCGGUGUACUUCAAUCUCAUCUUCAUGCUGAUUUCUUUGAAGAUUUGAUGGUAUCUGUUCUUAUUCCUCUAUAAUUCAUACUUUGUUGAUUUCAAUUCAAGGCACGAAGCCAUUCUUGAGCACGAAGCUGAUUGUCUUUUCCGGUGAAAUUGAUCAUGCAAAAUUGGUGUUCUCUUGAGUGUAUAUUGGACAAUUGUUGAUUGUAUAAGCAAGAAAUGUUAGGGCACAAUGCCAUACUCUUGAAAAUUGUUUCCAAUUGUUGAUAUUUGUUGAGUUCUGAGAUAAUUGAAAAGUUAGGGCACGAAGCCAGAUUGUUGAGAAAACUUUGGGGCACGAAGCCAGGUUCAUUUUGUAAAUCUUGAAGGUUAUUGUUGAAUUGGUGUGUAUUGAUUCUGUGGUUCAUGAUGGCGUCUUCGUUUAAGAUUGAUGGUUUGUUAGGCAUGUUUACCAUUCGUUUGCAAGAAGACAAUUUUGCCAAAUGGUCAUUUCAAUUCUGUUUUGUGCUUGAAGGGUAUGAUCUGUUCGAUCAUUUUGAUGGUACUAAUGUUUGUCCGCCUAAGUAUCUGAUUUCUUUGGAUGGUGGUGUUACUAAAGAACUCACACAAGCUUAUAAGGAAUGGAUUAAAACUGAUAAAGCUUUGUUGAGUUUACUCAUCGCCAUACUUGGUGACGAGGCUAUUGAAUAUGUUGUUGGUAGUAAGACUACAUUUGAAGCCUGGACUAAUCUUACUGAUAGAUAUGCUACAGUUUCUAGGGCUCGCAUUAAUCAUCUCAAGACUGAAUUCUAUACAAUCAAGAAAGGGUCCGAUUAUAUUGAGAAAUAUUUGCUUCGGCUGAAGAAUUUGAAAGAUCAAUUGCUUUCUGCAGGGGAAGUGAUUUCUGAUAAUGAUUUGAUAGUGGUUGCUCUAGCUGGUUUACCUUCUGAGUAUAAUAUCAUUCGUACUGUAAUUGUUGCCAGAGAAACACCACUUACUCUUAAAGAAUUUCGAGCACAGUUGCUCAGUGCUGAGAGGACUGCUGAAGAUUUACCAAGUUCUCUUCAUUAUCCAAUAGCUGGAAUGUACUGUCAAGGAGAGUCUUCGAAUUCUGGUGGCUAUAAUGGUUUUCAUGAUCACAAUACAAGUAAUGGGAGGCAGUUUUAUCAUGGAGAGUCUUCGAACUCAGGUGGUCAAGUUAGUUCUCAUUCUACUGAAAACUAUGGUUUUGUGGGGCAAUACAACAUCUCUAAUCCAAGGGGUCAUUCGAGUGGGAGCUUCUCUCAAGCACAUAUUCCUCAGCAAUAUAAGUCUCAUAGACCUAAUAGUAAUAAUGGUGGUUCCAAUGGUUCUCGGUAUAAUUCCAGAUCAAGAUUCAAUGGGGGUUUUAAUACCAGACACAAUGGAAAUAAUGGUUUUUCUAGUAGCAGUGGUUCAAACAGUAAAUGGGGCUCUUCAUGGAACAAUUGGAAUGGCAAUACUGGACAGAAAUCUCAUGUGAUACCCGAAUGUCAAAUUUGCAGUAAGAGAGGGCACACUGCUCCCAACUGUUAUUAUAGAAAUGAACAGCAGCCUAUGGUUAAUCAAGGUAUUCCUGAGUGUCAAAUUUGUGGCAAGAGAGGUCAUGUUGCUCUUAAUUGUUUCCAUCGAAGCAACUAUGCAUAUCAAUGAGCAAAUCCACCUGCAACAUUGACUGCUAUGACUGCUCAAUCUUCCUCUGAUUUUAAUGCAAACCAAGCCUGGAUUAUGGAUACUGGUGCUACCCACCACAUGACUGAGGACCUUCAUGAUCUGAAUGUUGUCACACCAUUUGAAGGAGAUCAACAAAUCACAGUUGGAAGUGGAGAAUGUCUUCCAGUGAAACAUACUGGUUCCAAUUCUCUUCACACUUCUUCUAAAACUUUGAAUCUUCUUACUGUGUUACAUGUUCCUAAUCUUGCAGCUAGUUUAUUAUCCAUUUAUACCUUGUGUAAGGAUAACAAAUGCUAUGUAAUCAUGGAUGAAUUUGGUUUUUGGGUGCAGGACAAGGCAAUAAGGGCAAUUCUAAUGAGAGGAAUGAGUAGUGGCGGUCUGUAUUACAUACCAAAGAGUUUGUUCUUCAAGCACAAUCAAUUGCGACAGUCUGAAUCUUUUCCAAAAGCUUAUCUUGGGAAAUUGGUGCAAGCUUCCUUAUGGCAUCAUAGACUAGGUCAUCCUAGUAAUGCAGUGUUACAUAGUAUGCUUUCUCAUUCUCAGAUUGUGUAUAGGUCUGAUAAAAAUCAACAUGUAUACAGUGAUUGUUUGAGUGGCAAGAUGUCUAGACAAAGUUUUUCUUCUAGUUCUCAUAUCUCUGUAAGACUUUUUGAAAGGGUUUGUAGUGAUGUAUGGGGACCAUCUCCGGUUGUAUCAAUUGAAGGCUAUAAAUACUAUGUGAUUUUUGUUGAUGACUUUACUAAGUUUACUUGGUUCUUUCCUUUGACUUAUAAAUCUCAAGUUGCAUCAGUCUUUGAGCAGUUUUAUGCCUUUAUUCAGAACCAUUUUAAAACCUCAGUACAAUACUUUCAAUCUGAUGGAGGAAGUGAAUACAUGAGUUCAAAUUUUCAGAAGUUUUUGAAAGCUAGAGGUAUUAUACAUUUAGUUUCUUAUCCUUAUACCCCUCAACAAAAUAGGAUGGCUGAGAGGAAACAUAGGCACAUAAUUGAGACUGCAAUCACACUGUUGAAUUCAGCUAAGUUACCUCAUAAUUUCUGGACACAUGCAUGUAUUCAUGCUAUCUUUCUCAUAAAUCGAAUGUCAUGUUCUUCUCUGGACAUGAAUUCUCCUUAUUUUAAACUCUUUGGAAGUCAUCCUGUGUUACAUUCUGUUAAAGUGUUUGGGACUGCAGUUUAUCCUUAUCUUAGACCCUAUGUAAAGAAUAAAUUGGAACCAAGAACUGAACAGUGUGUUUUUCUGGGAUAUAUGUUGGGUUACAAAGGUGUGGUCUGCUAUCACAGGUCCAGAAAGAGGUUGUUUAUCUCUAGGCAUGUUUUUUCCUUUUCACAAACCAUGCAUAGUUCAAAGCAGACAUGAUGUUUCAUCUUCUUCUACGAUCCAUCCUAUCAUUGUUCCUUCUGUAUUUUCUGUUCAAUUUGCAAAUUCAGCUAGUAUGGUAGAAUUGGGUGAUCAUCACGAUUUUGGUCUACUUAGAUCUUCUGCAGUACAUACUUCUCAUUGUGCACAUAACAAUGGCUCCUCUUCCAGAGUAACAUCUGCUAGUUCAUUUUCUUUACAGGCUUCAUCAAAUUCCACUACUCCACUCUCUUCAUCAGCAUCUUCACAUGCCCUGUUGCCUGUCCCAAGUUUGCCUCACCCUGAGGUACAUUCCCAUCCUGUUACUUAUGCUAAUGUACCAGUUAAUGAUGACAAUAUUGUUGCUUCUCCUCUAUCCUUGUCAACUCAUCCAAUGCAAACAAGAUUGAAGACGGGAACCAUUUCUCGAAAAGAUUACACUGCAUGUUCAGCUAGUACAUCUCUUGAAUCUUCUGACAAUUCAUUUGGUUCGAGUGUUUUUCCUUGUCUUGGUUUCACUGAUGUCUUUGAUAUUAAGGAACCUACAGAACCAUCAUCAUAUAAACAGGCUGUUACUUGUGAACAAUGGAGAGAAGCUAUGAAAGAGGAAUUCAAUGCUCUUCAUAAACAAGGAACAUGGGAACUUGUUCCAAUGCCUACUAACAAGAAUGUCAUUGGCAGUAAAUGGGUAUAUAAGAUCAAACGAGAUCAGAAUGGCAAGAUAUCAAGGUAUAAGGCGAGAUUAGUAGCUCAAGGUUUCAGUCAAGAACAUAGUUUGGAUUAUGAAGAAACUUUUAGUCUAGUGGUCAGACACAGUACUGUUCGGAUUGUUCUUGCUUUAGCUGCUACAAAUAAAUGGCCUUUAAGGCAAUUUGAUGUUAAAAAUGCAUUUCUCCAUGAAGAUUUGCAGGAAGAGGUUUUCAUGAAGCAUCCUCAAGGUUUUACAGAUUCAUCUCAUCCUGAUUAUGUCUGUAAAUUGAUUAAGUCCCUUUAUGGCCUUAAACAGGCACCUCGGGCAUGGAAUUCUAAAUUUACAACAUACUUGCCUUUUCUUGGUUUUGUGGUUUCCGAAUCAGAUACAAGUUUAUUUGUCAAGACCCAAGGUGAUGCAGUUGUUAUUCUUCUUCUCUAUGUUGAUGAUAUAAUCAUCAUUGGAUCUGAUUCAGUAUUGGUUCAACAAGUUAUUUCCAAUCUUAGAGAGGUAUUUGAUAUGAAGGAUAUGGGGGCUCUCACAUUUUUUCUUGGAUUACAUAUUACUUACCAAGUGAAUGGCGAUUUGUUUCUUUCUCAAUCGAAAUAUGCCAAAGACUUGAUAAAAAAGGCGGGUAUGACUACUUGUAAGCUUUCUCCUACUCCUUGUAAACCUCAUACACAACUAUUGCGAAAUGAAGGAACUCCACUCAUUGAUCCUACUAUUUUUCGAAGUUUAGUGGGUGCACUGCAGUAUCUGACUUUUACCAGGCCUGAUAUUGCGUUUGCUGUCAAUUAUGCAUGUCAAUUCAUGUCCAAUCCUACUGAUGUACAUUUUGAGUUAGUCAAACGCAUUCUGAGGUAUUUACAAGGGACUGUUGAGUGUGGUGUUACUUAUUCAUCUGCUGAUACUAUGGAUCUCACUGCAUUUAGUGAUGCUGAUUGGGCAUCGGAUAUCAAUACCAGAAGGCCCACAACAGGAUAUAUGGUGUUCUUGGGACAAAAUCCAGUGUCUUGGCAGUCUAGAAAACAAGGUAGUGUUUCAAGAAGUUCGACAGAGGCCGAAUAUAAAGCUCUAGCCAAUGCUACUGCAGAAAUAGCUUGGAUUCGAUUGAUUCUUAAAGAUUUGAAAGUGUUUCUGCCUUCUCCCCCACUUUUGCAUUGUGAUAAUGUUUCCACUAUUGCUCUGUGCUCUAAUCCUGUUUUUCAUACCAAAAUUAAACAUCUCGAUACGGACUUUCAUUUUGUUCUUGAACGGGUUCAAAAAGGAGAUUUACAAGUGGAGUACAUUUCUUCUACAGAUCAGGUUGCUGAUAUUCUUACAAAAUGACUUCAUGGACCUGUUUUCUUACAUCAUUGUCUUAAUCUCAAACUGGGUUCCCCAGUUGCGAUUGAGGAUGGGGUAUUGAAUAUGAUAAUAGACAUAUGGCAUUAUCCUGUAUUGACAAAUGUCAUAAUCGUGUGAGAUCAUUGUUGAGAUGUUAGCUUAGUCAAUAAGCUACUAUGUUUACUAUAAAUAGGAGAUUGCACCACCAUGUAACUAAGUCUUCUGUAUUCAUUACAAUCAAUAUACAAAAAUAUUUUCUCUCUAUCUCUCUUUUUCUCUAUUUCUUUCUUCUUCCUUGUCGAUGGGUUUCUUGAUUUCUACUUCCGCAACUCUGUUAUCACACAUUAUCCAGAAGUUCAUUCUCAUUUACCUCAAGAUCAUCGACAAGAUCGAUCUUCCAAUUUCUGAGACUGAGAUUUCUACCUUUUUUCCCCCUAGUUAUAUAACUUCCACUACCACUAGUUUCCCAAUUUCAUCUCCCCUACCAUCCAUGGCGUCUGCAAGCUCUCACAAACACCCAUCUCCUCUGUCAUCCACUACUUUCCCCAUCACUUUCCCACCUUCCUCUUGGAGUUGUAGAAGGAGCUUGCUAUGAAGAUCUGUUGUGUGAAAUUGUGCAUCUUGGAUUGAAAACUUUUUUAACACUGGGUUUUGGAUUUGUUUCCUGGUCUGCAAUGCGACGACGAGUUGAAAAAUACUCUGAUCAGAUUUCGAUUUCGAAAAUUAAAAUCUGGUAAAACAAGAAUAUCAACGAUGAAGAUUCGAUCUCAACCCAAUGAGAAGGAGAAACGGAGGAGCGUAUUUUUGAGAUUGUGAAAGUUUCAUUAAAAUCUACUGUUCACCCGCCUUCUUGAAAAAAUAAAAGCUGGUUUUGAGAAGCAGCAAAAAUGCAACUUCUGAUUUUUGCCACUUUUCAGCUUAUAAUGACCUGUGAUUUUUAAAAUAAGCAGAGUUACCAAACACAAAUUGUACUCCAAUUUUUUUUCAUCCCAGCUUUUAAAAUAAUUUAAGCAGUACCAAACCUUACCUUAUUCUAAUUGCAACAAAGAAAGCUGAAACUGGAAUAAUUCGUGAUUUGUUCAAACCAAGAAUACGAAAUCAACAACCUACUAGAAAAUAUGCUCGUAGAGAUUUACGGGUUGUUUCAGCAAGUAAUUUUGCUAAAAGCGCUUUUAUUAAAACAACGUUGAUAAAUCACUUUUAUAAUGAUAUAAGCAUGCCAAAAGAUUAAACUAGUUUACAACAUCAAUAUUAUAAUGAUAGUACUCUCAGUUCAUUCUUGCUCAUAGAAUUAAAGAGAGAAACCGAACUAAACAACAAUGCGGACUAGCUUGGUCAACUCUCAGGCCUUUAUUCUUGAAGAUAGCAAAAUUACUCAAAGUUCCAUAUCAUAUGUAUGCAUAAAUCUUGUGCUUGGCACUUAUUCCUUGAGAAGAUGUGCAUCAAUAUCUUUAAUGACAUUGACCAUAAAGCUGAGGUACUUCUGUGGAGGCGGAUCGUUCUCGUUGAGUUUUUCAUAUUCUAAAGUAAUUUUCACAAAACCUCCUUCACUCUUUGGAGUGACCUGGAAAAUGAUCUUGUAGCUUUUGUAAUUGUCCAGCACAUGUGAUCCUUCCAGAGCUGUAAGACUCACCCACUUGUUUACUUCAUCUAUUUCCACCUUUUCCUUGAAUGUCUCGACAUUUCCAUCUACACGUCACAUGGAAAAUUACAAUGAUACAUCUAUUCAUGGAGAGAUUUUUCAAUGCUCAGAACACUAGGUGGUACGACACAUUAUUAUACAAACGAAUGAAAAUUAUUUUCAAGUGUCUUUUCACUUAUAUAAUGAAAUAUAAUUUAUGUAUCCAUGUUCCGAGCACACUAAAAAUUCUCUCAUGUCCAUGAUCCGAUUCUUUAUAUAUUCAUCGUCAGGUAAUGCAAACCUAAUGGCGCAUGGAUGGCCUGGUCAAUAUAUUUCAGUUUUAAUUCUAGAAGAAUCUUAUACGUACAUAUACAUAUCACGUUAGCAUGUUUAUUUCAUAGCAGGUUAGUUUGUGUUAUUAAAAAAAAAAAAAAAUAAUAAUAAUAGUAAUAAUGUUACAGUAUUAACUAUAAACGUAACAUUAUUAUUAUACAACUUUUUUUAACAAACAAUAUUAUCUACAUUAAGGGAAAGAGGUGAGCUUAGCCUCACAAUGUUUGAACGAUGGAAAUAAAUUUGGACUUUUGACAAAAUUUAGAAUUUAUAAAUUAACAUGCACCAAUUCUCUUGUCUAGAUUCAUAAACAUAGAAAUUUAGAAUUUCCGCGUGAAAAAAGGGAGAAUUUGAGACCUCCAAUUCCCAAGUUUAAAUUUCAUGUAAAUAAGUCACUCAGUAUUACAGUCUUAUAGUAUUUCUCUUCACUUGAAAGUGAGAGGUUAUAGGUUCGAAUCUUGUUAAUGACGAAUUUGAUACCAAAUUAGGCUACCCAUUGUGUGGCUUUGCCGAACUCCCCCUCCCCUUAGUGUAAAAAUAUCGAUGUACUAAAAAAAAUCAUGUAAAUAGGUGUUAUUCCAAAUUUUUAUGAGUGAGAGUUUAAAGAUAACAAAUUCUAUAUUGAAUUUAUAUUAUUCUUUUAAGUUAGUCAAACAAGAAAAUUUACAAAUUCUAGAAAUAAAAUUUCAUAGUAAUUUUAAAUUUUCUCAUUCAAACAUAAUGUUAGAGUCAUGAUGUAACACCCGUCGCUUUUUAUUUAACAAAAUUAAUUAUUAGUUUAACUAGGUUAGGAGGAGAGAGGAGGGUGAUUAAUUUCAUAUUACCUAGGGUGUAUUUCCAGAGCUUGACAGAGCCAGAAGUUUCCCAGUCACCUUCAUGUACUGCAACAUCGUGUAUUUUAUCAGAGGCUGCUUUGGGGACGUCGUGGUGCUGGUUGCUGAUGACUUUGUACAACUUAUCAGCGUUGGCUUUGAUCUCUACCUCAACCUCCACAGUCAGCUUGCAAGCACCAGCUCUGUUGAAUAUAUCAGUCCACCUCAUCAUUCCAGCUCAGCAAUAGUUAGUUAGGCUGUUAUCAAAUUAGUUAGUUAAAUAGCUUAGGCUGUAAACUAGUCAUGAUGGCUAUAUAAACUGUAUUCUCAUAGUUGUAAAGAUUAAUUCAGUAUCAAUGUAACCAAUUACUGUCUCUCUCUCUUAUUCCCUUUUCUCUCUUCUUCUUCGGUACAUGCUCUUUCUGCAACUCUUCAUUUCUGUUAACAUGGUAUCAUCGCCAUGGAUGAUCUUUUGACUUCCGUUGUAGUACCUCUGAUGGGUAGCUGAUCUCUGUGUAAGGUUGAUGACGUUUUGCUGUUCUUGGGAGGCUUCGAUACUUGUCUAUGGAGUUUUCGUUGGUGAUGAAGAUCUGUGCGCUCCAGGUGUUUGAUAAUUUGUGUCAGCCAAUUGUCGGAGUUUGCGAGGAUUCUGGUAUAGGUGUGUCAUCGCCGGAGGUCGGUUCUUGGUGAUUUGUUGCUCUUCCGCUGUGGGUGAACAAGCUUGGAUGUUCGAGUGCGUUUUCUGGGUUUCAAGAUUCAAGUUCUCAGGUUUUGUUUCUGAUUACUAGUUUUCUUUCCAGCAUAUCAACUAUUGUGACUCAGUGAGAAUUUUGUUGGGAAUUUCGGAAGUGUCAAGGCCAAUAGCCGUAUACUUCAGAUUUGUGAAGAGUUCAAGGUCGAAUGUCAUAUUUGAGAAUCUUUAAGGCAAAUUGCCAUUUCUCAGUUGCUAUAAAAUUGUUGAUUGUAUUUCCCUAAGGCCGAUUGCCGGGAUUUUAUGUUGUCUAAAAGAUUGUCUGUUAAUUGGGUUCUCUGUGAUUGUAUGCUGUACUCCCUUAAGGCCGAUUGCCGGAGUAUAAAGCUGUCUGAAAGUUGUUUUCUUGAUGCAAAGUGUUUGUUGGGAUAGAGAGGCCGAUAGCCAUUUCCCUUUUAUGUUUCACUUCAGAAAGGCCGAUAGCCAGAAGUGUGUGUAGAACAUUAACUGAUUUAGAAGAAUAUGAAGGCCGAUUGCCAUUUCUUCUAAGAGAAAGAUUGUUUAGUAGGAUUUGAAGGUCGAUUGCCAUUGUUGAAAGAUUGCUGAAAGAUUGAAUCUUUGAUUCAUUAUUGGGUAUUGUUUGAUUGUUUGUUGGGUAUUGUACACUCAAGAAGGCCGAUUGCCAAGAGUGUCUUAGUUCAAGAUUCUGCAAAGUUGUUCAUAUUCUAUCUGCAAAAGUGAUGUGUGAUGAUAAUGGGAUGAGCAACCUGUUUUAGUUUUGGCAAGUUUGAAAGGAUGAUAACUAUAUGUGGUUGUACCUUAUCGCAAAAGAAAAUAGUAGCUACAGAGGUGUAGAAAUCAGUUUGAGGGGCUGAAAUUCUUUGGGCAGUUGAUGGAUGAGUAUGAAAUUGCAUCGUUCUUAAGUAAUUUUCAAUGCUUGCAGCCAUGGAGGAUUAAUUGGUGAGGAGCAGCAGAGCUAGGAGUAUAUGGACAAGAAGGACUUCCUAAGUUCUACAUUUCUCAAAGCACUCAUUCAAUCUCCAACUAGGAAACUCAGUUGAGAUUGAGGGGGGAUGUUGAAUAUAUCAGUCCACCUCAUCAUUCCAGCUCAGCAAUAGUUAGUUAGGCUGUUAUCAAAUUAGUUAGUUAAAUAGCUUAGGCUGUAAACUAGUCAUGAUGGCUAUAUAAACUGUAUUCUCAUAGUUGUAAAGAUUAAUUCAGUAUCAAUGUAACCAAUUACUGUCUCUCUCUCUUAUUCCCUUUUCUCUCUUCUUCUUCGGUACAUGCUCUUUCUGCAACUCUUCAUUUCUGUUAACAAGCUCCACUCACUGCCAUUUUCUUUUAUUUGUUAUUAGUAAUAUGUGAUUAGUCUGGGGAAAUUGUAGGAGACGUAUACUAACCUACAGGUUUCAACUUCUUAUAUAGAGUCGCAAAGUUGUAAAUUAACAUGUUAUAAACUGAUAGUUAUGGAGGCAGCGUGUGGAUAUGAUCCGAUCACUUAAUUAAAUAGUUAUAUAAUAAUAUUGUGUCUGUGGAUCUUCCACGCAGAGUUUUAUUAUUACACCUACCAAACUUAAGAGCACCCGCAAACUUGAUGAGACAUAUAUCAACACGUGAGAACAAUGAUUGAUCAACAUUACCUCCAUAGUAUUAUUAGAGUGAAUGAUUGUAUGAUAUUAAUUAAGCAUUAAGAUCUUGGGAACUUUAAUGAAAAAUUUCUGGUAUUAUUCAUUUUAAUAAAAAAUUAUAUUUUUACAUUAAAAAGUCAAUCUUAAUACUAUUCACUUUAUUCUUUAUUUUGUCCUUAUUGUUAAAACUCAAAAUUUUCAAGCCAUUUUCAUUAAUUUUCUUUAAGAUCUUUUGAUUUGGCAUGCGGAAGUGUGUGUUUGUAUAUUAUAUAGGGAUAAUACUAAGUUAGGUUCAUAUUAUCUUAACUAGUGAUAAAUUAAGGGUUCUUUCGAGUUAUUCGAAACAGUGGUUUAUAUUAUCUUGACAUACGUGCAACCAAACACAAAAAAGAGAGGCUGUAUUGGCUUCCAAAAUAAAACUAGAUGCAAACAAUAAUGUGGAGUUCCGGUUACUCUUUUGGAAUCAACCAAAGCUGAAUCAUUGAUGCCUACUUUCAGAAAGUUUUCCUUUUCUGCAUGCAGAUCUUUUCAAUGGAUGUAGCUCGUUUUGGGAGGUAACCACUUACUUCUUCGAGUUCAUUAAUUUUAGUCAAUCUAAAGUAAUUUAAUUAAGUUUAUUAACCUUACAAUUUUGAGCGUUAAUACUCAAUUUUGGAGGAAUUGCAUCACGUUUACGUAAAGGCAAUCGAAAUAAUAGAGUGGAAUUAAAUUUCAAUUACGGAAUACUCCAGUAUUUACUAAAUAUUGGAGAAUAAAAAAUUUGAUAGCACCCACUCAAUUUUUUUAAUCCAAUACUAAUUCAUACUCAAAUUUUGGAAUAAAAAAUCUAAUACUAAUUCGUACUCAUCAAAUGAAAGUAAAAUCUAAUUCUUCAUUUUUUAAGUACUUAAUUAUUGUAAUGUGAGUAAACGCAUGAAAAUCAUGAUUUAGAAUAUUUUCUAAUGCAGACUCUAAGUCUGAAAUUGAAAUAUAAAGAUAGCCCUUGAAGGGUCGAUUCUGGUUAAUCUAGGCAUGAGAAUACGAAAAAAUACACACAAAGUUAUUAAGAUAGCUUUCCUUUUUUAUAUUUUAGCGAUAGUCUAGUCUAAUCCAACAUUAGACCACAUUCAGUAAUUCAAACUAAGAGAAGGGGGAUUCAAACUUGGCUACACUCGGAUUCUCAUAUUAGGAUUGAUUCUGAAGUAAAAGAAUAUAACCAAGUUGAUCAAGAAAUUUCAAAAUUUCUAAUGGAAACUUAUUAGAAUUUUUUUGUGAAUGUGUUGAAGUUGGGAUUUUUUUGUUUUCGUAUUGAAGUUGGGAUUGAAACAGAAGAUAAAGCAUAAUAUAAAGUUUCAUUACAAUUAACAACAUGUUCUAUUAAAUGAAAGUGACUAAAUAUUGAAAAACAUGCUACGCCGCGUUGAUCAACUCCGGCAACGAGCAUUAGCACUGCAUCCACGGUUGUAGGGGUUGCUCUGAUUCUGAGCACCCGGCUUGCAGUUGUUGGAGGAAGCACCUCUCUGAGAGCAAGGAACAGUGUUUCUCUGCAGCGCUUCAUAGCUUAUGUUUCGUGAGGUGGCCAAGAUGCGCCUGCUAAUCUCCGAGUCCAUGCCAAACUCAUCAUCACGAUCAUCCAUGCACUCUGCUACAGAACCCUCGCAGCGAGGUCUCACUGGAGCCCAGCUCACCCCAUGAUCGCCGCCUGCAUCAACGGAGAUGACCAGAGCGGCCGCGAAAAUCAACGAAAAGAUAAUCGCAGAGGAAUUAGCCAUAGGUUUUGGUACGGUCUGUGUUUUUAGCUGCCAACUUGUAUUUUGUUGUACGCCUGUUUAAUUACAGAGGUAGAGAGAGGGGGCGGCAAGAAAGAGAAGAGAUAAUCGGUGAAAUUUUGAUGUGUAUAUUCUUUCACCCUAUUGUGCUAAUUAUAGUAGUAAAAAGGGAAAAUUUUUGUCUUUCAAGUAAUUCAUAGGAGUUAGGGAAAAUCCUUGUCUCUCAAGUAAUCCAUCUAAAAUAGGACAUUAUGUAAAAGAUAUUAUACAAUUCCAUAAGGAUUUACACAAUCAUAUUCCUAAUUAAAUUAAGACUGUGACAUAUUUAAAUUUGGUUAAAUAAAAAUUGGAUGUUGAUUUCUUUAAGGAGGUAAUUACUUAAUUGACAUGCUUUAAUUCAACCUUAUUCCAAUUGCAACAAAGACAGCUGAAAUUGAAAUAAUUCGUGAUUUAUUCAAAACCUAACAAGAAAACAAAAUCAACAACUACUACAAAAUAUGCUCGUAGAGAUUUCCGGGAUGUUUCUGCUCUUAAGUGUUUUUGCUAAAAGCUCUUUUAUCAGUACAAGGUUGAGACUUUAGUUAAAAAACUAAGUUGUUCUCGAAAAAAUAUAAGCAUGCCAAUAGAUUGAACUUGUUUACAACAUCAGCAUUAUAAUAAUAUCACACUCAAUUCAUUCUUGCUCAUAGAAUUAAAGACAAACCAAAUCAGAAACCGAAAUAAGCAACAGUGCUAACUAGCUUGCUCAGCUCUCAGGUCUUUAUUCUUGAAGAUAGUAAUAUUACUCAAUGUUCCAUAUCGUAUGUAUGCAUAAAUCUUGUGCUUGGCGCUUAUUCCUUGAUAAGAUGUGCAUCAACAUCUUUAAUGACAUUGACCAGAAAGCUGAGGUACUUCUGUGGAGGCGGAUCGUUCUCGUUGAGUUUUUUAUAUUCUAAAGUAAUUUUCACAGAACCUCCUUCACUAUUUGGAGUGACCUGGAAAAUGAUCUUGUAGCUUUUGUAAUUGUCCAGCACAUGUGAUCCUUCCAACCCUGUAAGACUCACCCGCUUGUUUGCUUCAUCUAUUUCCACCUUUUCCUUGUAAGUCUCGACAUUUCCAUCUACACGUCACAUGGAAGAGUAUAAUUAUACAGCUAUCCAUGGUCCGAUCCUUUAAAUAUUCAUCGUGUGGUAAUGUAAACCCUAUGCAUGGAGGUCUUGUCAUUUUUAAUUCUAAAAGUACAUAUAUAUGAGGUAACGCAAACCCCUAGCUUGCUAGGUUUCAAGUUAGCAUGCCUAAUUAUUUUGCAGCAGGUUAGUCUGUGGUAUUAAAAAAAAAAUGUUAGUCAUAAGUAUAACCUUAACAAUGUUUGGUUGUAAUUUGCUUGCUCCUUCAUGCAAUCUCACAGUCUCACUACCACCUCCACAAGUUUGCGGAGUAAGCAUCUUCAUUCGCCCCAAAAGGGCUUCGUUUCACUAUCUUUUACACAGCGGAGGCUGUAUAAAGCUACGACAGAACAAAAUUCGGCACCCGGGAGAGGGACGAUCUCCAGAGAUUCUUUAACAUUUUUUGUAUUUCUUUUUUUGUUGAAUCAUUUCUUGUAAUUUAAACAUUUAGCGUCAUCUUGUAAUUUAAAUAUUACCUAUGGUGUAUUUCCAGAGUUUGACAGAGCCAGAAGUUUCCCAGUCACCUUCAUGUACCGCAACAUCGUGUAUUUUAUCAGAGGCUGCUUUGGGGAAGUCAUAGUGCUGGUUGCUGAUGAAUUUGUACAGCUUAUCAGCGUUGGCUUUGAUCUCUACCUCAGCCUCCAUAGUCUCCAGCUUGCAAGUACCAGCUCCACUCACAGCCAUUUUAUUUUAUUUGUUCUUUAUAAUAUGUGAAUAACGAUAGUGUAAGUCUGGGGAAUUGUAGGAGACGUAUACAAACCUAUAGGUUUCCACUUCUUAUAUAUAAAGCCAUGUUAUAGUUACGGAGGCAGUAUGUGGAUAUUAUCCGAUCACUUAAACAGUUAAAUGAUAACAAUGUGAGAGUGGAUCUUCCACGUAAAAUUUUAUCACCACUACACACCUACCAGAAUAAAACUUUUUUCUUUUUUUUUUUAAUUAAAAGAAGAAAUGUCAAUUUCAUUCCGCAUUAUUAUCAUGGAACAAGACAUUAUUUUGAAUACAUUGAAGAAGAAAAAAAAAUAUAUAUAAUAAGUUAGAGGGGACAUGAAGCCUAGCCCUAACAAGAAGUAGAAAACUAUUUGAAACAACAAUCAAUUAAGACAACUCCUAAGAGAAACAAGAAUUUGGAAACACCGAAAGAUUAUGAGCAAAAGUCAUAACUGCACAUGACGGAUAAGAAUCACACAAAUAAUGAAAACUAACAUGAUCAACAUAAUAGUUUGCUAAACAAUUUGUUACAUGAUUUCCUUCCCGAUUAACGUGAGAAAACUGAACAUGCAUGGAAGAGAGAAUGGUAUAGUAAUUUGUCAAAUCAACCGAUAAACUAUGGUGCAUUGCCAAACAAGAAUUACACUCAUUUCAAAGAGAAUGCUGCUAACCCCUUUCGAAAGCAAUAUAAAUAACAUGAAUAAUAGCUUUAAGUUUCACUUCCAAAGCAGUAACAAUGCCAAAAAAAUCUUGUAUUAAAGCAUCAAAGAGACCCAAGUGAUCACGAAAAAUACCACAAAAACCAGCAAACUUGAUGAGACAUUUCAACACGUAUAUAUAUAAGAGGAUCAAUGAUUGAUCAACUUUACCUCCAUAGCAUUAUUGGAGUGAAUGAUUGUACGAUAUUGAGGCGUUUGUUUGGAUUUGGCACGAGGAAAUGUGUGUAUAUAUUGUAUAUAUAGUGAUAAAACUAAUUUAGGUUUAUAUUACCUUAACUAGUGAUAAAAUUAAGGGUUCUUUAGAGCUAAUAGAAAUCAAUGGUUUAUAUUAUGUUGACAUAACCUAGAGAGAGAAAAAAAAGAGGUUGUAUUGUCAUCAAAAUAAAAUUAUGACACAAACAAAUAAUGUGGAGUUCAUGUUACUUAUUUGGAAUCAAUCAAAGCUGAAUCAUUGAUGCCUAAUUUCAGAAAAGUUUUUCUUUUCUGGAUGCAGCAUCUUUUCACAGGAUUUUUUUUUCGGUUGUUGUAUUGUGAAGGAACUUCUUGGAUAGUUUUUUUUCCCUUUUACACUAGCUUAGUGUCUUCCUGCCAAAAUAAUGACACAGAAAUUUUCAUCAAAAGGGUUGGCGAUGUCGGGCAGCAAAUGUAGUUUCCCGUGAAAUUGCAAAACUUGCUCACAAUCUGAUGAUUUUGUCUCUUGGGUUGGCUCUCCCUUCUCCUAACUGCUGAAGACUGAUGAAGCAGAAAUUUAAUCAUCAAUGAAUUUCCUUGACUAAUCCAUUAUCUUUCCGUUGCCCGUUCUCUUUGAUUUGUUCAUAAUCCGAUUAUUGUUCAUUCCAAUUCCAAGCGCGUAAACGUGCCCUCAUAGUUAUGGACUUGUUCGCAUCGUUUAAUUUUCCUUGAAUACCUGACUUUGUCGCCUAUGGUUUCACAAGAAAAUAAUCUCUUUGUUAAACCAGAAAAUUUAACGGUUCAUUAAUUAGCAACUAUUUCAUUUUUUAACAAUAUUUGGCUACUCAAAGGAUGAGUAAGAGUUCCUACUCAAACCUAUUUGUUGCCGAUCCAUAGAACUUCAUGUUUAUAAUAGAGCAGUUCAUAUUAGAAAUCACUUUAUAAAAAUUGUCUCUACAAAAAAUCAAUUAGACUAAGGUCGUUUAGUAGUCGAACUGUGAAAAAACAAAGGAAAGAAAUUGGUGAAAACAUUACAAACCAUUUAUGUAUUUACUAGAAUAAAUUGACUAAAUGACCUUAAUUUUAAUUCAAUUUUUGCAGAAAUGAUCUCCACAGUGUGAUUCAUAAUAUGAACAGUUCUGUUCAUAAGCACAAACUUCAGUGAUUCGAACAUGAAAAAUUUUGAGUGGGAGUUCUUACUCAUCUUUGAGUAGCCAAGCAUUGUUCUUCAUUUUUUUUUAUGUCAGUAAUAGUCUGACAAAGAACAAUAAUAAGUAAACUGUGAAAAAAAAAAUAUUUUACAAAUGGAAAAACAAACAAAAUGAAAAAGAAAAUAAAUUAAUAUUUUAAGUUGUUUUCACUUUGAAAAUUUUGUUUUAUUCAUUCCCUCUUUAUCUAAUUCUUAGCCUUCAUGUAUUGAAUUAUGCAUUGUAUUGUAGAAUCCAAAAAAAAAAAAAAAAAAAAACUUUUUUGGAAUCCAUAUGUGUAUAAGCAUGAAAUUAUAGCCCACCCAUAUGAAAAUUUUGACUCCGCGGUUGCAUGUAAGGAUAAACAUGCCAAUAGAUUAAACUUAUUCACACUAUAACAUAAAAAUGCUAUUACACUCAAUUAUAGAAGUUGCUCAAAAGACUAAAGACAGUCCAAGUCGGAACUAAACAACAAGGCUAUAGCUUGCUCUUCUUCCAGCCUUUAUUCUUGAAGAUAUAAGAUUAUCUCCCCUCUUAAUCUCUCUUUCCAUUCCUCCUCUCCUAUUUAAAUGUUUACCGCGUCAACAUCUUGUUUUAAAUUUAUUAUAUAGAGAAAAAGACAAAAAGAAAAGUGUAAGAUGAGGAGGGAGAAUGAAAUGGUAUUGGAAGGUAGAGAAUCCUACUCCAAGUGUUCGUUAGGGGAGAGGGGGACCCUGAGAGCAGAAGACUCUUCAUCUUCAGGUUUGAGAGUAAACGCUUUACUGUUGAAGAUAUAUAGUGAUUGACACAUCAUCAUAAGUGCUACAUCAGCUAUUGGAGUUAGUUAGUUUUUUAAGAAUCAGUUACACAAGUGGCUUAGCUGAUAAGCUACAUGUGCAGACUAUAUAAAGGAAUCAGGGGUCUUUUGUAUCUCUCUUCAUCCUUAUGAAAUAACAAAACUUUUACUCAUUUCUUUCUCUAGUUCUCUCUCUAUUCCUUUUGAUCUUUCUCUCUCUAUUCCUUUGAUAUUGCUUGCAUACAUUCAUCUGUUAGUUGUUAGAUGAAUGUUAUCAUGGUAUCUUCGCCGAGGGUUCGAUCUCGUGGUGUGUAUUUCCGCUGUGUUGUGCCAAAAGAUUGUCUUGAUUGCUGUGCUGUGCUUUAGUGGGUUAAUGAGCUUUUGGCGUUUGGGAAGUCAGACUUCGAGUUUAUCAGGUGUUAUUUUUCUUUUUGCACUCCAAGUGUGUGUGUAAUUGUCGCAAUGAUGAAUCUUUUGUGAAAGACUAAAAGUUGAAGGCCGAUAGCCAUUUCUUGAUGUUUGGAAUAUGAUAUUGAAUGUCAAUAGCCAUUUCUUGAUGUUUGGAGUAUGAUAUUGAAGGCCGAUAGCCAUUUUUCUGAUUGAAUAAUUGUUGAAGCGUUUUCUGUCAAAGCAUAAAGGCCGAUAGCCAUUGCUUUUGUUUGAGUGUUUGUUGGGUUUUUUCACAAGAACAAGGCCGAUAGCCAGUAAUGUGUGUUCUUGGAGUUAUUAUACUUCUUGAAGAUUGUUUGAGUACUUGAUUUCUUGAUUCAGUUUCUAUCAACAAUAUGGCGUUUAGUUCUAUCAAAAUUGAAAGUCUUUUGGGCAUGAUCACUGUUAAGUUGAAAGAAGAUAAUUUUGUCAAAUGGGAUUAUCAGUUUCAAUAGGUGCUUAAGGGGUAUGAUUACUUUGAUUUCUUUAGUGGGGAGUCUCAGUGUCCUCCAAAGUUUGUAAUUAAUACUGAGACUGGGGUCACUAAAGAAAUUACUACUGCAUAUAAAGACUGGGUUAAAACAGAUGUCUCUCUAUUGAGUUUGUUGAUUGCUACACUUUCGGAUGAAGCUAUAGACUAUGUCAUUGGGUGUAAAACUUCUCAAGAAGCUUGGAAAUCUUUUCAGGAACGAUAUGCAUCUGUAUCUGUUGUCCGGGUUAAUCAACUCAAGACUGAGUUUCAUACUGUACAUAAAGGUGCAGAUUAUGUUGACAAGUAUUUGCUUCGAUUGAAGGUUAUCAAGGAUCAACUGGUUGCUGCAAGGGAGAGAAUCACUGAGAAUGAUUUGGUCAUUGCUGCUUUGUCUGGUUUACCUCCAGAGUUUGAAAUGAUCAGGACAGUAAUCUUAGCAAGAGACACUCUGAUUUCAAUGAAAGAUUUUCGAGCUCAACUAAUUGGGGCUGAAGGCAGUAUUGAGUCUCGACUGACAACUUUAUCAAGUUCUAUGGCUGCCAUGUAUGUUCAGGGCAAUGGCUCGAAUACACAGGGAUCUCAGGGAAAUACUCCAAGUUAUGAACAAUGGGAGAGUUCAAAUGCACAAAGGUCUCAAGGGAGGAAUAAUUACAAUAGUGGUAAUAACAACAGGAGGUAUAAUGGGAAUAAUUUCAACAAUCGAAAAUUCUCUGGUGGUUAUAAUGGUGGGAAUAAUAAUUACAGGCCAUAUUCUACUUUUGGGAAUAAUGGGAAAGGUGUUCAAAAUGGAGGUUCUCAAAGUUAUUUUUCUGGUAAUGGAAGCAAACAAGGAAACACUUGGAAUGGUGAUACAAAUUACAGAAAUGCUAUAUCUCCUGAAUGUCAAAUCUGCUAUAGAAGAGGUCAUACAGCACCAAAUUGUUACUUUGGAGCUGAUAACAAUCAAUCAUCUGGAGGGAUCUUGGUAUGUCAGAUAUGUGGGAAAAUAGGUCAUCGGGAUUUGGAAUGCUUUCAUAGAAAUAACUUCUCAUAUCAAGGCAGUGCACCACCCACAUCUCUUGUUAGGAUGGCUGCUCAAGGCUCAAAUGUUGCAACUGAAGACUCAAAUAUCCAUGGUUUUUCAGCUGCUGAUACAUAGGUAGUUGACACAAGUGCAACUCAACCACAUGACAUCACAUGUCGAAGUUUUAAAUCAUAUCACUCCUUAUAAUGGUGAUGCCACGAUCACUGUUGGUAAUGGAGAAGGUUUGGUGGUUAAAAAUAUUGGUUCUUCUGUUCUUAACACUCAACAAAAGUCACUCAUUUUGCAAAAUGUGCUACAUGUUCCACACAUUACAAUGAAUUUGUUGUCUGUUAAGAAAUUAUGCAGAGAUAAUAAUUGCUGGUUUGUAUGUGAUGAUCUGAUCUUCUUGAUACAGGACAAAGCAACUCGAAGGAUUGUGUACCAAGGCCAGAGUGAUGAUGGGGAGCUCUUCAAGAUACCAAUAACAGUGCUGUCGAGAUCCAGAGUACCAAGUAUUGAAAGAUGUGCUGCUUUUGUUAGAAAGAAGCUAAAGACUGCAGUUUGGCAUAAAAGGUUGGGUCAUCCAUUUGAAGAAGUGCUUACUGCAAUGUUGAAUAAGUCUAAAGUAUUAGCUAGUAUAGAUUUGUCUCCAUCUAUAUGUACUGCUUGUAUUCAAGGCAAAAUGACUAAGUUGCCUUUCUCUGUAAGUCCCGAUAGGUCAAAAGUUGUAUUUGAAAGGAUACAUUCAAAUAUAUGGGGUCAUUCACCGCAUAGGUCAAUAGAGGGUUAUAGGUAUUACAUAAGCUUUGUAGAUGACUGCUCUCAAUUUGUAUGGAUUUUUCAGAUGGUUAAUAAAUCCGAUGCUUUUCCAAUCUUUACCAAGUUUCUUACAUUUCUUGAGAAUCAGUUUAAUGCUUUUGUUAAAGUUCUUCAAUCAGAUGGUGGAGGUGAGUAUAUGAGUAAUGUGUUUAGACAGUUGUUGGAGAUAAAAGGAAUUAUACACCAAGUUUCAUGUCAUCAUACACCACAACAAAAUGGUCUUGCUGAACGAAAACAUAGACAUUUGGUUGAGAUUGCUAUUAGUUUGCUAUCAGAUGCUCAAUUACCUUCAGCAUUCUGGUAUCAUGCUUGUUUUCAUGCUGCAUUCUUAAUCAAUAGGAUGCCAUCUAGAACUUUGAAGAUGUAGUCUCCCUAUCAAGUUGUGUUUGGUUGUGUUCCUGAAGUGCAGCAUCUUAAAGUCUUUGGUACUGCAGUUUAUCCUCUAUUGAGACCAUUUAAUAAAAAUAAAUUGGAGCCAUGGUUAGCUCAAUGUGUAUUUCUUGGUUUUGCUCAUGGAUAUAAAGGAGUUAUUUGUAAUGAUAUCAAGACUAGAAAGUUCAUUCUGUCAAGGCAUGUAGUACAUGAUGAAGAUGUAUAUUCGUUUAAACAAGUUUUGCCAUCUAAGGAUUCUACACCUACAAAUAGGUGUUCUCAGACACUUGUUUUGAUUCAGUUACAAGUUCCAAGUGAAAAAGUCCUGCCUCAUACACACAUACAACAUGAUUCACAAGCAGCUAGUUCUAUACAUAUAUCAGCAAGUGAUACUGGUUCACAUCACAGUAUUCCUGUAAAUGGUGACAGUAUAAAUAUGGUUGGUGAAUUGAAUGUUUCUAGUUCGGACAAUACACAGGUGAUUCAACCUAGUGAUCAGGAUACAAAUUCGACUGAUACCACUACUCUACAUGCAUCUCCAAGCUCUUCCCAUCAUCACUCUGGUACACAAUCCUUGUUGCAUGUCCACUCCGAGUCACAACUUGAGGUAAUCCUUCCUGAUUUAUCUCCAUUUGAUCUCAUUUUACAUACUGCACCAUCGACUUACUCAAUGGUCACUAGAUUGAAGAGUGGAACAAUUGAGAGACAAAAUUAUGCUGCUUUAAUAGCACAAUGUCCUGAGCUUUGUUCUCUCCAAAUCACUAAUGAAGAACCUUUCACGGGUGGCUAUUCCUUUCUUUCUGAGAUCACUGAUGCUUCAGAACCGAAGACAUUUCGGAAAGCGGCUACUAAUCCACAGUGGCAAAAGGCAAUGCAGGAGGAAUAUGAUUCACUUCGAGCACAAGGAACUUGGCUAUUGGUUCCUGCACCUGAAGAUAGAACAAUUGUAGGAAGCAGAUGGGUGAAGUGAAGAAAAACCCCGAUGGCAGUGUCUCUGAUGUGAAAAUUACUUGACACACAAAUUAAACCCUAUUGAUGACAAUUGUAGCAAAGAUGUUAGUAGGGAUCGUUCUAAACCGGGAAUUAACUAGGGCUGCUAAUCUACUCAAAUUAAACUCUAAAACACUAAACUAGACUUAAAAACACAAGAAUAGACUCUAUAGACUCUAAACUGACCUAAGACACUCAAAUCUGCAAAACUAAGUGAAAUUGACUCAAUUCUAAACCUAACAAGUGAAUUGGACGAAAUUAAAACUUACUUUGACUCAAAAGAUUAAAAGAAAACAGAUUGUAACUUAACUAACUUAGAAAACACUUAAAAGACUCAAAACAGCACAAUACUAACAAUUAGACUCAAAACAGAUUCUAGAGAUGAAAUUGGACGAAUUUAAGACUAAACUAAGACCCAAACAAUGGUUAUGGACUAAACCUAACCUAUAUUGACUCAAAACACUCUAAAGAACCUAAUUAGGACAGAUUCUGACCUAAUAACAUAAAACAGAAAAGGGUGUUUGAUUUCUGACGAAAUUGAAUUAAAACUAAACAAAUUGCAAAUCAAAGUAAACUAAAACGAAAUUAAGAUGAAUUCAAGGGUGAAAAGCUAGUUAGAGGAUCCUUCUCCACACAUGAACAUAUGCAACAUAAAUCGAUUUCCAGUAUUGUUUCUUUAAACCAUGAACGACAAUGCCCCAAAUUAAUCGUGAAUGCACAAAUUAACUCUCAGAUUUCCCUAAAUUCAUUGAAUUGGAUGAAUGCAUGCAACAACCCAAAUUAUUCUUCUCAAGUUCCCUAUAUGAACAUCAUGAUAGAGAUACAUUCAAAGAUCAUUAAAUUCCAUGGAAAUCAUAAGCAUUGACAAGGCAAUUAUAACUAUGAACUGCAUGAUACUUUUGCCAAGAAUCUACUUAACACGAUUGUGACUAACAAUCUCCACUACUUGUAAUUAUAAGUUUCUAACGAUUAGGUGAAAGUCCCUUAUAAUUUAGCAUCAGAUUCAAGCAUGCAAACUAAGUAGGCCUCCUUAAUCAACACACAAGAAUAAGUUAUCAAUCAAAUAGAUAAGUAAAUCGCAUUCAUGUUUUACGAAACAAUAACUGAAAGGAAUCAAUUCAUAUUAACAUAUGUCCAUGGCUUCAAAUUCACCACUAACUAAUAAGAGUUUAGUUCCACAUGUUCAUAACAAUUGAAACGCAAAUUAAAAUAAACAUCGAAACUGAAACGAGGGAAGAAAAAACUAUGAAAACUCCCAAGGAUGCAGAUGGCUUGCGCACAAGGCCCUCCUUCAUCAAUGGAAUGCACGACAAGGUUCUCCUUCUUCUCCAAAAGGUGCGGCAGAGAUGUAUAUGGAUGUAGGAUGGUGUUUUGUGAUGUAGAAUGGUGAUUAGGGUUGCGGCAAGGUGUUUCUGAAUGGUGAAGGGUGGUGACAAAUUUAGGCCUUAAAAACACAUAUAUAUAGGCAUGGCAAAGCUAGGGUUUUCACAAAAUUUGAUGGGAAAAGGUUAGGGUUUUGGAGAUAAAAGGCUUGGCCCAUUCAAAGGAGAAAAGAAUUAGGGUUUUAUGCAGAUUCCUAGGCUUCUAGAACACUAGGUGCGGCACAACCCUAGGGUGGAUGGACUAGGGUUUAAAUUUAGCAGAAAAUAAAGGAUUAGGGCCCUAGGGUGCGGCAUGGGCUUAGAACAAAGCUGAAAAAGGAUUAGGAAACUUCAAAUUCAAGAGUAGAAACUUUCAAGAAUGGAAACCUCCAAGAAUAGCAACUUCCAACUUUAGAAACUUUGGUUUCCAAUUCUGAACUCUUUGCUCUUCAUGUUCAUUUCUUCAUUUCUUCCCUCCUUUGAUCUUCAAUUUCGUUCAUCCCUUUGGCUCCAAGCAUGUGAUAUCCAUUUUAUGCUCAAAACUGCUUCAAAAGGCUCCAAAUUGCACUUUCUCGCCAACUUUGUCAUUUGGACCUAAAAACACACGAAAAUAGCUUAAAACACUAUAAUAACCACAAACUAACUAUAAAAGUGCAAGAAAACAAGCUAACUAAGUUGCAUAAAUAUGCUCCUAUCAGUCUCCCAGUAUAAAGCAAGGCUUGUAGCUCAAGGGUUCUCCCAAGAACAUGGUAUUGACUACUUGGACACAUUUAGUCCUGUUGUUCGACAUACUACUGUAAGGAUUAUUCUUUCUUUAGCUGCCAUGAAUCAUUGGACUCUUCGACAAUUAGAUAUCAAGAAUGUUUUUCUACAUGGAGAUUUACAAGAAGAAGUUUAUAUGCAGCAACCACAAGGGUUUAUUGAUCCAUCAUAUCCUUCUCAUGUUUGCAAAUUGGUCAAGUCAUUAUAUGGCUUGAAACAGGCUCCACGCGCGUGGAAUUCAAAGUUUACAAGUUAUUUGACAGUUAUGGAGUUUCAUGCCUCAGCUUCUGAUACAAGUUUGUUUGUCAAGAAGGAUGACUCUGAUAUCAUCAUCUUAUAACUUUAUGUUGAUGAUAUCAUCUUAACUGGUUCUAAUCCUUUGAAGAUCCAAAAAGUGAUUCAAGAAUUAUCUGAGGUAUUCGAGUUGAAGGAUAUGGGACAGCUUACAUAUUUUUUGGGUUUACAAGUUCAAUAUAAAGCGGAUGGCAGUGUUUUUGUUAAUCAGUCUAAGUAUAUCAAAGAUCUUGUCCAUAAAGCAGAUAUGGAAUCGUGUAAACCAGCAACCACUCCGUGUAAACCUCAUCAUCAAAUGUUACACUCUGAGGGACAAUUGUUGACAUAUCCAACUUCCUAUAGAAGCAUUGUGGGAUCUUUACAAUAUCUGACCUUUACUAGGCCUGAUAUUGCCUUUGCUGUAAACACAGUAUGUCAGUUUAUGUCCUCACCAACUGAUGUUCAUUUUGGCGUUGUUAAACGCAUCAUUCGUUAUCUUCAAGGAACCAUGAAUAUUGGUAUUACUUUUUCUGCAAACACAGUUUCAAAGCUUACUGUGUUUUCUGAUUCUGAUUGGGCUGCAGACUUGAAUACUUGUCGGUCUAUCACUGGUUAUGUUGUGUACUUAGGCAAUAAUCCAAUUUCUUGGCAAUCGAAGAAACAAAACUCGGUAUCCAGGAGUUCUACUGAGGCUGAAUAUAAAGCCUUAGCACAUACUGCUGCAGACAUAGCUUGGAUUCGCAAUAUAUUGAAGGAUUUGGAUGUACUUUUGGAUGCUCCACCAACAAUUCACUGUGACAAUAUGUCCGCUAUUGCCUUAAGUGCCAAUCCGGUGUUUCAUUCAAGAAUCAAACACCUUGAUACAGACUACCAUUUUGUACGCGAACGAGUGCAGCAAGGCGAUCUGGAGGUGUUGUAUAUCCCAACUGAGGAGCAAACUACCGAUGUUCUUACCAAAGGUCUUCACAGUCCUUCACUUGUCAAACAUUUUUACAAUCUCAAGCUGGAAAAUCCCGGUUGAGAUUGCGGGGGGAUGUUGAAGAUAUAUAGUGAUUGACACAUCAUCAUAAGUGCCACAUCAGCUAUUGGAGUUAGUUAGUUUGUUAAGAAUCAGUUACACAGGUGGCUUAGCUGAUAAGCUACAUGUGCAGACUAUAUAAAGGAAUCAGGGGUCUUUUGUAUCUCUCUUCAUCCUUAAUGAAAUAACAAAACUUUUACUCAUUUCUUUCUCUAGUUCUCUCUCUAUUCCUUUCGAUCUUUCUCUCUGUAUUUCUUUGAUAUUGCUUGCAUACAUUCAUCUGUUAAUUCUUAGAUGAAUGUUAUCAUUUACAUCCUACACCAUGCUAAUAAUAUCCACCAAUUCUCUAUUUUAUUUAAAAAUAAAUAAAAAAUAUAUAUGAGGUAACGCAAGCUCUAGCUAGGUUUCAAGUCUACCAUGUUUAUUUUGUAGCAAGCAAGUGGAAUUAAUUAAGAAAAAUUUCAGUUUGGGUUAGGAGGAUAGAGGAGGGUGAUUAAUAUUACCUUUGGUGUAUUUCCAGACUUCACAGAGCCCGAAGUUUCCCAGUCCCCUUCAUUUACUGCAACAUGGUGGUACAGUAUCAGAGGCUCGGGAAUGUACACGUGGUGCUGGUUGCUAAUGACUUUGUACAAACGAUUUAUCAGCGUUCGCUUUGAACCCCCCAGUCUCCAGCUUGUAAUCACCAGCUCCACUCACAGCCAUUUUUUAUAAAGGAAAUUAAUGAAAAUGAUUCGAAAAUUUUGAAUUUUAACUAUAAUAAUAAAUAAAUGGUAAAGUAAAUAGUACCAUGAUUGAUUUUUAGUGUAAAUAUAUUAUUUUUCCUUAAAAUAAACAAUAUCAGAAGUUUUUCGUUCAAAUUCUCUUUUUUUUAAUUAGUAAUUAAUAUUAAAGUUCAUCUAAGAUUAUUUUUUAAAGGAGAUAUAUAUUAAAAGUAUCAAAUAGAAAAACAAGACAGCAUCAUUUAAAAAAAGGAAAACUAAUGAAAAUUGCUUGAAAACUUUGAGUUUUAACGAUAAAGACAAAAUAAAAAGUAAAGUAAAUAGUACCAGGUUUGACUUUUUAAUGUAAAAAUGUGGUUUUUCGUUAAAGUGAACAAUAUCGCUGGUUUUUCGUUAAAACUCCCUUCAAAAAAAGGGAAAGGGAUCAUUUUCGGAUUUGUUCUACCUAAUCAUCCUCAUCAAAUAAUCCGAGCUUUUAAAAUUUGAUCUAACGGCUAAAGUUAUUAUAACUUUUAGAAUUAGCCCGUAUUUUUAACCGUUUAAUCAAAUUUUAAUGAUCUGAAUUAUUUGAUGAUGAGAAUUAGAUAAAAAAGAUUGAAUGAUCGCUUUUCCAAAAAAGGAAAAAGAAAAACAAGACAGCAAGUUUCUUUUAACAGAUGAAUUUUAUUAGAGGUGGAACUGGUGUCCAACAUCCCAGGUGUUUUCUGAUAGCAUAACCCAAUAACGUCAAAUCCAUUAAUUUGAUUAUUUAAUAAAUGGCUCCCACAAUAGGAUUUGGAUCCUCUCCGAGGCAAUUGGUCGGAUCCUUCUGAUCAAUGUUUGUGGACUGUUAGAUUUUUAUUCAACGACUAUAAAUAAGGGGACAUUCUAAAGUUAUAAUAAUUGUAGUCGUUGGAUAAAAAUUCAACGGUCCAUAUACAUCGAUCUGGAGGAUCCCGACUCGAAGAGGAUCCAAAUCCCCCACAAUACACCAAUCACGUACCCCACCCAACCAAUUUACACAAUUUUUAACAGUAGGUCCCACAAUAUAUAAGAAAAAAGAAAUUUGACUCAUCAUUUGAAAAAAUAAAAAAAAAUUAACAUUUAACUUCAAAUACUCAUUUUAGUCAUUAAAUAAAAUUUAACAAUUUAUAAAUGAGUAAUGUUAGAGAAGCUAAUUUUUUAGACUAAAUUUUAUAAAUUAUAUGUAUUUGUUAACGAUUAAAUUAUUAUUUAAGUGUUGCUUAAUGUUUAUAUAGAGCCACAACCCACAAAGUCCUAGACAAAUAGCAUGUUUUAGUUAUGGAGGCAGUUGUGGUGGAUAUGAUCUGAUCACUUGAAGAAAAUGACGAGUCUGCGGAUCCUUGUGCAUCUUCAUCUUUGACAUGGGAGGUUUUAUGACUAGACCUACCAAAUUUAAUCACAACAGCGAACUUGAUAAUGAGACAUCAAUAAUUCAACGAUUCAGAAAACUUCAAUUAAAUUGGGACCCAUAAAUAAAUAUGCUAUUACUUCUUUUGUAAUCAAAGCUGGAUCAUUGAUGCCUAAUUCAGAAAGAGAAGUGUUAUUGGCACUUCAAAAGUCUCAUUGUACACUCUUUACAAGUGUAUUUUUCUUUCUUAAUAUAGAAAAUUUGGAGUGUAGAAUAAGAUUUUUGAAAUGCUACUAACAAUUCCCUUAAAAAAAAAAAAGGUUUUUAUGUUUUGCAUGCAACAUUUGGACACAGGAAUAUUCUUUGGGAUUCUAAUUGCGCAUACGUAUUAUCUUUCAAAUAUAUAAAAUUUGAAGUGCAAUUAAAUUUUUAGAAUGUAAAUAAAAGGGGAAACUUGAUAUAACUUCAAUUUUUUGAGCCAAUAGUAAGAAUAGUCCAAUUUAUUAAAAUAAGUCCAAUUCUUUAAAUUUAAUUAUUUUAUUAUCAAUAAUUAUCUCUUAAAAGAAAAAACUUAUUGUAAAAAUCAAAUUUCUUCCUAAUUAUCUCUUUGAUUAUUUCUUUUUAUUUAUUUAUUUGUUAUUUCUUGUUCUUCCUCCUGCUUUAACCCAUUUAUAGAUUUUUUUAAAUUUUUAUAAUCAACCUAUAUCAUAGGUUAAUUGUAUUUAUCUACCUAUAUGACAUAUUCUCUUUCAUAGUCAACAUGUCACAUAUUAAUGUGUCUUGCUUGUAGGUAUAUUAUAUUUUUUUCUACUUUUUAGUUAGGUUUCAUAUCUCACUUAUAGGUAUAAUAUACAUUCAUAUAUUUGCUACUUGAGUUAGGGUUUACUGUUUUGCAGAUAGAUUUAUGUUAGUAUAUUAAUUUUUUUUUGUUUAUAAGAUAUUAGUUAGAUAUUUUGGAGUUGAAAAAUGCAUAAUAUUAAAAUAUUUUAAUUGAUUUUUAAUAUUUUUAGAAAAUAUAAAAGGAGUAUAAAAGAAAUAAAAACAUAUAAUUAGAUAACUGGAGUCACUUCUAAAAACACUCUAUGUUUUUUGACCUGGAUCUAAAAGCCCCUAAAUAAAAUUACCUUCUUUUAUUGGUUUUUUUUUAAGGCUCGCAAAAAUGGUUGUCUUUGUUGUUUGGCGAAGGAACUUCAUGGAUAUCAUCAUAUUGUGGUCUUCUUUUUCACUUGUAUUGCUAAAAAAUAACUAAUUACAAAUCAAUUUUCAUCAAAAGGGUUGUUAAAUAAGAUAUUAAUUAAUGCUAUUUUUUUUCUUGAUACUGUUUGGGUCUCUCAACCUCGAUCUAUUAUUUUGCAUUUUAUUUCUUCCAUGAUCAUAUGUGUCUCCAUUGUUUAACAACAACUAAAAAUACUAUUGUUUCUUUAAAAAAAGUACUAUGUAUUUGACUAAGGCGAUUUUAUAUGACGAUGAGCAACAAAGUGGAGAUGGUGCACUACACCUUUUAUUUUGCAUACCAUAGUUCAUACAUUACAAUCUCACAUAUGAUAUCCCUUCACGUACAUUUGUUACAAGGCAACUUACAAAGCAAAGCAUUUUAAUUACUUGUAAUCAAGCAAAAGGCACGCAUUAUUAACACAAAUAUUAUAUACUAACGAUGGACGUCACACUGUUUCACCAUUGCAUUCUUUUCCUUUCCUUAAUUUAUCAUGCCUUGAUAAAGUGAGCAUCAAGAUCCUUGACGAUGUUAACCAUCAAACCGACGUAUUUGUCCGGACUGCAACAUCCUCAGUCAGUUUCUCAUAUUCAGUCGACAAUUUUGCAAUGUUGUCUUCAUUCUUUUGAGUGAAUUGAUAGACUGGCUUGAAGCUCUUGUAAUACUGGAAGACAUCUCCUUUCAGUCCAUUCAGUGUUAUGGAUUUGUUCUCGUUGUUUGACUACACUUUUUCCUUGAAUACUCGAACUUCGUCCCCUAUGUAUUCACAAGAAAGUGGUCUCUAUAUUGACCAAGGAACAAUAUAAAGGGAGCGUUUGAUAAAUAAUUUGUUUUAAGUUUUCACAAAAAUGAAAAUUGAAGUUAUUUUUGUCAGUUUUCUAAAUUUAUAUUAGUAAUUUUUAUUUUUUGAAGACUGAAAUAACAUGAGAUGGUUGAAUUAUUGCGGCACACCUCGAUUCUUUACCAACAUAUUUUGUUCUAAUUAUCCAUUAUAUCAAUAUAUAUUUUUCACGUAUGGGUUAAAAGUUGUUCGCUUGUGAAUCAGGGUUUAGUUAUUGCGAUCCUUCUAGUAUUGCUGGAUUAUGAUUAACAUAUAAUUGUGUUCUGAUCUUAGAGAAAAAAGGUACAUACCAUGUUAAAUACAUGAAGGUAUUUAUAUAUAAAUAUAGAGCUCGUUUGGAUGUGCUUUUAAAAUGGUUAAAAACACUUUUAGAGAAAGAAAAAAAUUUGUUCCAAAAGCACUUAAAUUGCUUUCUGCAAGAAGCAACAGUUAUGUGCUUUUCCAGGAAGCACUUUAAAUGCUUUUCCAGAAUUAACUUACAUUUUUACCAAGGAUUGGUUUUAAAAACAUUUUCACAAAAAAUGUUUUCAAUCAUUUUAAAAACAUAUCUAAACAAACACAUAUAUUAUGCACGUAUACUGAAAUUCCAACUUUUGAUAGAUCGAGCCAUGAGUUUCCUCCUUCAUGCACGUGAACUCCCUGGAUACUUCCAGAAUAAAUUUUUGGGACGUGUGGCGAGCCUGGCUAUUGAAGAUAUUGUAGAACUUCUCAGCAGGUGCCUUAAUUUCAAUCUCUGUUCGUGCAGAGUCAUGUUUAUGAUCAGUUGGGAUGGUGCUCAACAAUGCGUCGCCAAGGCCUGUUCUAAAGAAAACUUAAGGUCACCCCUCUACUGCUACAGUUAAAUUAUGCAAUAUUAAUUUAUGCUAUAACUUUGAAAAAGUAGUGCUUCGAACGAUCGCAUGAAAAACAUUCGUUUAUUAAAAAAAAGGUAAAUCGUCAAAAUGGUCCUUGAGAUUUGUAUAACUUAUCACUUUGAUCUCUAAGAUUCCAAAUCGAUAAAAGUAGUCCCUGAGAUUGUCUACCAUCCAUCAUUUUGGUCAUUCGGUUAAAAAAUCCGUUAAGUGUCCCGGAGCUCUUAGCCGGAGGUUUGGACAAUUUUCAAAACUUCGUAACUCAAUCGUUUCUUAACCAAAUUUGACCCAUAAUAUAUCAAAAUGAAGAUAGGAAAGUGUAGAAUAAGAUUAUACCUAUUUCAAAGCCCAAUGGUUGCCGAAGAUUGUCAGAAAAUAGCCUCAAAGUUGACUGGUUCGAGUGAAAACUUGAAAACUCGCUGGAAACUGAGUAAACUUUAAACGUUCAUAACUUCUUCAAUACUCAACGAAAUCAAGUGAUUCAAAAACAAAAAUCAUACUUCUCGAUGAGAUGAAGAGAAUGAUACCUUUUUAGAUGGCUAAAUCGUCGUGGUUUGGCCGGAAAGCAGCUCGAAAGUGGCUAACUCGAGACCAAGAUAGCCACUUUCAAGCCGUUUUCCGGCCAAACCACGGCGAUUUAGUAGUUAAAAAAGGUACCAUUCUCUUUGUCUCAUCGAGAAGUAUGAUUUUCAUUUUUGAAUCACUUGAUUUUGUUGAGUAUUGAAGAAGUUAUAAAGGUUUUGAAGUUUACCCAGUUUCCGGUGAGUUUUCAAGUUUUCACUCUGACCAAUCAACUUUGAGGCUAUUUUCUGGCAAUCUCUGGCAACCAUUGGGCUUCGAAAUAGGUAUAAUCUUAUUCUACACUUUCCUAUCUUCAUUUUGAUAUAUUAUGGGUCGAAUUUGAUUAAGAAACGAUUGAGUUACGAAGCUUUGACAAUUGCCCAAACUUCCGGCCAACAGCUCCGGAACACUUAACAGAGUUUUUAAUGGAAUGACCAAAAUGAUGGAUGGUGGACAAUCGCAGGGACCACUUUUAUCGAUUUGGAAUCUCAGGGACCAAAGUGAUGAGUUAUGCAAAUCUCAUGGACUAUUUUGACGAUUUAUCCUUAAAAAAAAUUCAGAUAAAGAAAAUGAGAAAUUAAUUUCUCAUCCCUCUUUUUUCUAUUACAUUGAUUAAAAUCUUAUUUUUGAUCAAGGUCCUAACUUUCAAUGAACGUCAUUAUUUCUGUUAUAAAUUAUUUAUAUAUCAACAUAAUUAAAUUUUAUUUUUGAAAUAUAUUCAAUUAGUAUUAGAAACAUUACAUUUGGUACAUUUAUAUUUAUCAUUAAACUUUGUAUCAUAUAUUUCUAUUUUUAGUUUGUACCAUUUUUAAUUGGCAACCCUUUUUUAAUUUGUAUCAAUUUUCUUUUUAAUUUUAAUGUGUACCGAUAUAUUAAUUUCAUUUUGUGCCCAUAAUUUUUUUUAAAUUUUUUUAUACUCAUAAUUCAUUUAUAAUGUACCCAUAUUUCAUUAAAACUCUUUUUUUUUCUUUAUAAAUGUACCACUUUGUUAUAUGUAAGAUGUACCAAAUUGUUUUUUUUGUAAAUGUACCAUUUUUAUGUAAAAUGUUCCCAUAUUUAAUGUAAAAUCUAUUUAUUUUUUUAUUAAGAAUGUGUACAUAUUUAUAAUAAAACGUUCCCCUUUUCAAUUUUUUUGAACACUAUGGGUACAUUUGUUUGACAUUUAUUAUUUCAAAGGUAUAUUGUUACCUAUUUUUAUCUAUUUAUUCAAUCAAAAUUUUUGAGUAUUUUUUUUAUUGUAAUCGUUUUUAAUUUAUAUGCUAUAUAAUAUGGGAUUUUAAAUCUCAUAACAUGUCAAGUAAUUAAUAUCAAACAAUGAAAAUACAUAUUAAUAGCCAUAAUGAGGUGUACCUUUAAAGUCAAGGGACUUUGAUAAAAAAUUGAAUACUAUUAAAGGUUUAGUCAAAUAAUGUUAUUGACUAGGGACUGAAUCCAAAGUCUCUCUAAAAAAUAUAUAUAUAUAUAUAAGACAAACGUACGUAAUCACUUUCGGUUCGAUUAAGAACAUGAUUUGGAUCAAUAAUAUUAGGGUGCUAAUAUUGAUAUCAUUAGAUUUCAAUUACUAAUCACUGGUUUUUUUGCAAUAUUAUACUUUUACUCAACUACCACAUUUUUUCCCUUCUGGAUGUAUGAAAAUUUAGGUAUUGCGUUCGUUCUUUUUUGAGAAGUCAUCGCCAACUCCCUUGCCCUACUAUUUUUAUCAAGGAAAAACUCCCCAUGUUUAAAAGCUGUAUAAUUAACCAGGAUGAAUGCUGGACAACUGUCGAAAGCAAAACUCAAAGUUCAUUGUAUAAUUAUAACAGUGAGACUACAGCCUGACGAAGAACAUGAUUGUCAAAAGUUAUAUAAAAAAAAUGAUAUCAGAGUAAAUCUCCAAUGAAUCGGAAAGUGAGUCUUUAAAAUAUAGAGUCUUAAGUGGAUUAGUGUAGAAUAUCUUUUGUACUAAAAAAAAAGUUAUGUAUAUAAUGUUGAGAAUGAAUCCCACAUUGAUAGGAGGAGUGAUAAGGAUUUUUAUCACCUGCAAAUAUAAGGAUAAAAACACUUAAAAAUACUUGCAAAAGUACAAGGUUGUCGUAGUAUAGCAGUUCAAGCAAGGUCAUUUUUCACAGGAAUUGAAUGCAUAGUUUAUGUUUAUACUAAUUCUUAGCUAAUUAUUUAGAACAAAGAUUGGAAAAGGUUGAUUUUGAAUUUAAAAAUAAUAAAAACGAAUUUAAUUAAAAACAAUUAAAGGAAUUUACUAGAGAACAAUUUAAAGAAAGUCAAUUUGUAAAGAUUAGGGUUCCGCCGUUCCCUUAACAAUCCUACGCAAUUUUACCAAUUACUUAUGAAUUUCCACACACAUGCUUUGAAGGUUAGGUUUUCCUAAUGCAUAUUUUUCUCGUGAUGUUCAAGCGAAAACAUAAAUCUAACAUGCAACCCUUUUGUAAUGUUCAGAUCAAAUAUAAACAUGCAAGACUCAUUAAGCUUUGUGAAAACCCUUUGAAAAACCAUGGAACCCUUAAGAGCGUGAUGUUCGCCUUAAGUGAACUUACAAUUACUAAUCAUAAGAAGCCCUCCUCAAUUUCAGGGUGAUGUUCUGUCACAUCCCGGCAUCGUGCUAGGUAGAUAUGAGAAUAUACAUAUAAGGAUCACUCCCCUGGGCGAUGUGGGAUCUUACAAUCCACCCCCCUUAGGGGCCUGACGUCCUCGUCGGCACACCACAACCAGGGUUAGGCUCUGAUACCAAAUAGUCACAUCCCGACCUGGGCCCCCAUCACAUCCCGGGCUCGACUCCACCGUAGCACGAUAUUGUCCGCUUUGGGCCCCGACCACGCCCUCACGAUUUUGUUUCUGGGAACUCACACGAGAACUUCCCAGUGGGUCACCCAUCUUGAGAAUGCUCUCGCGCGAACUCGCUUAACUUCGGAGUUCUUAUGGAACCCGAAGCCAGUGAGCUCCCAAAAGGCCUCGUGCUAGGUAGAGAUGAGAAUAUACAUAUAAGGAUCACUCUCCUGGGCGAUGUGCGAUCUUACAUGUUCCAACCGAAAUUGCAUCAAAUUACUUGUCUAAAAAUCCUAAUGGUCGCAAAUUACUAAGACAAUUAGAUAGCUUUAAUCGCAAUGAUUAAUAAUUCAAAGCAAGCAUGCAUCCAUUCAUAAGGAAAUUAAUAAAAUCACAUAUUCAUGCUAAGGCUCAUGGCUUCGCCCUAGCAAACAGAAAUUAGUUACGAACUAUAAAAACUAAAGAAAAUAUAUUAACUAGAAAAAGGAUUGAAAACACCUUGUAGGUAAAAAGUCUGAAAUUCUCCAAAAUAAUGUGUGCCUUCUCCCCCUAACCUUAAUGGCUAAAAAGCCUUAUUUAUACUACUCCAAAUUAAAACCCUCAUAGAAAAGGUUUUCUAAAAACUAGGAAAUAAAAUAACAAAAGGAUAACUAAGAAUUGCAUUCCUAUUAUGACUAUGAAAUCUGCCCAUAAAAAAGAUAGCCAUGUUUCUGGAUCUUCAGGGUUCCAAAACAGACCCAAAAUGGCUAGAAUUAAAGAUUAGGACCUCCUCUUCAAGUUAGAAGAAGAACCCAAGUCCAAAAUCCAUCAUCUUCCAACCCAAAAGUCACAAAUAAGCUCUGCAGCCCAAUCUGCCAGCACUGCACGCUGGGCAUAAAUUAAUUCACCACGAUCUGAUGCUUUGAGAUAAAAUUAUGAAAUUCUGAUACAAUCUUCUUGACAGACUCACGAACCCACUCCAAUUGGAAUCACUAAAAAAUUCCACCGUUUGAGUACUUUAUGAUCAAAACAAGUUCGCAUGUCCUACAAUAAAAACAUAGAGCAAAGCCUCAAAAUCUCACUAAAAUAAUAACCAAAAUAUACCAAGAAUAGGGAAUAAUAUAUAGUAUAAAAUUGACUCAUUAGGACAUUGCAUGAACUUAUAAGUAAGUUGGGCUACUUUCUAUAUUGCCAAUUGGUUUUAUGGUGUAACCUUAACUUUCUUCAUACCCAUGUGUGAAGCCAAAAGACCACGCACGCUCCAUGUCACCCAUUUGUGUUGUUCACGUAUUAGACUUGAAAAUUCGCCACACGUGAGGGCGCGUAUUAAGAAUGAAUCUCACAUUAAUGGGAGGAUAAAUCUUGCAUGCACCUAUAAGUAGGUUGAAAAACAAUAUUGGACAAAUAUUGUAGAGUACACCACAUUUUAUUUUAUAGAUGCGAUCGACAACCAUAAUCUAUUACAUCACAAUGUCAUAUAUGACAUCCUUCGUACAUCUUUUACAAUACACACAAACCUAAUUAAGAAAAGCAUUUUAUUUAAGUAGGUACGCAUUGAUGAACAUAUGCAUGCAUGAUUACAUAUAAUUGAACCCUUUUUAACAAGACCAGCAAAAGCUCUUUCCAACCGUUGCAUAUGACGUAUGGUUUUUAUUCAUUAAUUAAUUAAUUUAUGCUCCCAGAAGGUGAGCGUCAAGAUCCUGGACGAGUUUAACCAUCAAACCGACAUAUCUAUCUGGAGCUUUAACAUUCUCAUGCAGUUUCUCGUAUUCGAUCCACAGGUUGGCAAUGCAGGUGCCUUCAUCUUUUUGAGUGAAUUUAUAGACACCCUUGAAGCUCUUAUAAUACUUGAACACUUCUCCUUCCAAUCCUUUCAGAGUUGCGGCUUGUUCCCAUCGUCUAGCUCCACCUGUUCCUUGAAUAUCCCGACAUGAUCCCCUAUAUAUAUGCAUGCAUGCAUUCAUGGUUAAUUUCAUAACAACAAAAUAUAUAAACUUUCUCACCCUCUCUUAUUAGGAUCUUGUUUCCACUGUAGCAAAAAGGGGGCAAUAUGACUUAUUUAGGAAACAUGUAUUUACUGUAUAUGACUCUCAUUGUCUAGAACAAAAAUUGAAGGAAGCAUUGAAAUAUAUAUAAGAGGUCAUAUAUGGUAAAUACAUGAUUUCUACGAUUGUUCUAUCUCGACCUUGUUUUUGCUACAAUAAAUCAGAAUUUCUGCGAAAAAGCUGUAAACAUUGAAACUCGUGCUAUGAACGUAUGAUGAUUUGAGCGCAUCUGUUAAGGUAUACAUACAUAUAAAGUGAAUAAUUAAACAGGAAAAUUGAAUUAAGUAGCGGUACCUAGUUCAUAUUUCCAAAUCUUAACAGAGCCGUGUGUUUCCCAAUCUCCUUCAUGCACAUCAACUCCUUUGAUAUGGGUAUUAGAGAUGUUUGGGAUGAGGUGGGCGCUCUUGAACAUGUUGUACAACUUGUCAGCUGGUGCCUUAAUUUCUAUUUCAGUCCCAAUUUUACCAUGCAAAACCAUGUUUAUGAGCAGUUUUGAUGGGUGCUACUCAGAAAUUAUAAGAGAAGAAUGUUAAAGGAUAUGUAUAAUUUGGGCUCCUACCCUCCUUAAAUAGAAGCGACUAGAGUUAAAUUGCGAGAUAAAACUUAAUAUAUCCGGAACACGAUACAGUACGCCAUAUAUAUAUAAUAUGUAAUAUAAAUAUGGAGGGAAAGUUUUUUUUUUUUUUUUUUUUUUUUUUUGCAAGUGUUUCUCUACUUGUGUAGACGUAUGUACCCGUGUUCUAGAUAUUAAAAAUUCUCCCGUAAUAUUUUAAUAGUGGGUAAUCCAAUUUAAAAACCAAAUCAUGCAACACGUGAUAAAGAUUAAGUCAUAUAUUUUUUAAAUCAUACUUCUCGGAUAAUUGGAAUCCUAUGAAGUAAUGAUCACAAGUUCACAAUAUGCAUGGAUAGAUGAAGGGUUUGCUCAUGAUUAAUGUUAGGGAGACCAAAUUUCUAAAUCAAAAUUUGUAAACAAAAUAAUGUGGAGGUAAAUGAUUGAAUUAUUAUUUAAGUGUUAAUUAAUAUGCUUGUUUCUUAUUAAUAACAUAUCAUUUGAUUUGCAUUCACGCAUGCGAUAAAGAUUAGAUUAGUACGAUCACACUAAAAAUUUAUAUGUAAAUGUUUUAAAAUAAAAUGUAAUUUAUCUGCAAAAUGUUUUUUUUUUAAAAGGUACGAUAUUCUUUAAUAACAAAUUUAUACGUACAUCAAUGAGGAUAGGGUGUAAACAAAUGGCCUCGAUAAAAACCUUGCCGGGGUUUUUAACCCGAUCGAAGAGAGAUUUUUCAAUGUGACCGUCACACAAGGAGGUACACCACGUGUCUCUAUGUAAAUGGUUAGAUAUGUGUGUUAAAAGAUUAAUAACUUAAAAAUUAAAAUUUUCCACCACUUACAUAAAAAUACGUGGUGUACCAUCCGUGUUCCUGUCACAACUAAAAAUUUUCCCCGGUUGAAGGGAAAAAGAGUGUCCCACACCAACAUAAUUAAUUAAGAAUUGCUAUCCUAAAAAAGAAGAUCAAGAAUUACAUUAGGAAGUUCCUCAGACCAAACCACACAUUGUUACCAUAACUCAAGCUCAUACGUGCUAGCCUGUGUGCCACCUUGUUCGUCUCCUUUUGACUAAAUUCAACCUUCCACUUGGACAAUGAAUGAAUAAUUGCGUGUGUCGUUUAGAAUGUUUCCAAAGUGUGAGGUGUCAAUACUUCCUUCUGCAAAAUGUUUUAGAAUAAAAAGUUUUAUAUCUUGUAGGAUCACAUCUAUUUAUUUAUUAUCAUUAUUAUAUUUUUGGAAAGAUCGAUACGUAUGGGCCAUGGCGUCUGGUUCUUUUGUUAAAAAGCCAUCAAAUGGGGAGGCAUGGAUGAGGUAUUAGGUAUCCACAAAUGUCAGUUCACAAAAUAUUAUACUAAAAGUAAUUGAAAAGAAUCAAACAAAUAUUAAUUCUUUUCCCAAGAUAAUCCACUAAAAUGAGGGUCCACAACAUAGUUUUUCGGGAACUUUAACGAAAAACACCCGGUACUGUUCACUUUAACGAAAAACCACAUUUUUACACUAAAAAAUCAAUCCUGGUACUAUUCACUUUACCCUUUAUUUUGUCCUUAUCAUUAAAGCUCAAAGUUUUCAAGCCCUUUUCAUUAAUUUUCCUUAGUUUUUUCCACUAGAGUUUAUUGAUCCUUGAAGACUAUCAUUGACGAUUGAUCAUCCAACAGGUGCAUUAUUUAUUUUUUAACAAACGGUAAUAGUUACUAUUUCUUGAAUUGGAUAGGGGUAUCGAUACUAUUUCUUAAAUAAAACAUUAAUACUAUUAUUAUUCUUAAACUGAAUACUGGCACUAUUACUAUUUUUUAAACUGAACAUUCAUUAUUUCUUAAACCGAGCGCUGGUACUAUAACUAUUUCUUAAACUGAACAUUCAGUAUUUCUUAAACUGGACAUUCACUAUUUCGUAAACUGAACACAAAUAUUAUUACUAUUUCUUAAACUGAAUAUUCAUUAUUUUGUAUACUGAACACGGAUAUUAUCAUUAUUUCUUAAACGUAACACUAAUAUUAUUACUAUUUCUUAAGCUGAAUACUGACUAUUUCUUAAAUUGAACAAUAACUAUUUUUAUAAUUGAAUACAAGCACUGUCCCUAUUUCUUAAACCAAAAAUAGUGAAUUAGGGUUUAGUUAUUACGAUAUAUUACUGGAUUAUGAUUAACAUAUAAUUGUGUUCUGGCCUUAGAGAAAAAAGGUACACACCAUGUUAAAUACAUGUAGGCAUUUAUAUAUAAAUAUAUAUUACAUACGUAUAUAAUUCCAACUUUUGAUAGAUCAAGCCAUGAGUUUCCCAGUCUCCUUCUUGCACCUGAACUCCCUGGAUACUGCCAGAACAAAUUUUUGGGACGUGUGGCGAGCCUGGCUCUUGAAGAUGUUGUAGAACUUCUCAGCAGGUGCCUUAAUUUCGAUCUCAGUCUCAACCUUACCGUGCAGAGUCGUGUUUAUGAUCAGUUGGGAUGGCACUCAACAAUGCGUACAAGGCCUGUUCUAAAGAAACUUAAGGGCAGCCCUUUUCUGCUACAGUUAAAUUAUACAAUAUUAAUUUGAGGUAUUCAUCAAUUUACCUCCUAACUUAUAAGAAUUGGUCAAUUUUCCUUAUCAACUUUCAUAAUUAAUCAAUUUGCACCAUACUAUUAAUUUUUUAAAAUUUUUCAUCCUUUCUUCUGUUAAGUAUGUCAAGUGUUAUCCGCAUGACUGCCUUUAAAGGGUAAAAAGGUCAUUUUACCUACACCUUCCGUCUUCUUUCUCUUCUCCGAACUUUCUUUUCUUCUUCUUUUUCACCAAGCCGAGCCCGUACUGUUCCACCGUGCUCCACAGGCACGAUUUUCCCGGCGAACACCAAAAGAAACAGUGGGAGGGAUCUGAGCUCGUAGAUCCGCGUUCACUACAUCCCCUUCUUGCACUCCUCGCAAACCCUACCCUCCGAUUCUAAUGGGACACCUCCCCCGUCGCCACUGAGUUCCUGAAGAAGAACCGCGCAUACGACUUGGCCACCACCGCCGCCACUCCAACCACUCCCAGAGCCACAGGCGCGUGCUCCCCCGAAGACCCGCACCUGAAGUUGGCGCCCCCAAUUAUGAUCGAGUACUUGGACUUUCUCUUUCCCGGAUCCACGAAGCGCGUGGAGUAGGAGGCGGGGAGGUUGCAUAGCGUGUAAGACCCUAGCUUGGCGAUGUGGGGAGAAGAUGAGAUGGAUUUGAUCAAAGACUUGCCGAAGAAUCUGGGGAGAAGAUGCGGGGACUUUCUCUCCCGUAUUACUUAUCCUAUCAUUUUCCUUGUACGGGCUGCCAAACGAGGCCUUAGUAUGCUAUUGCCUUGUAUUUGAAAUUAGACAAUCGUUUUAUUUAAAAAAAAACAAACUUACUAAGUUCACACUUAAACAUAUUUAAACAAACUUACUAAGGUCAACACACUUGCAGAUAACACAAUUAAAACUAAACAUACCAACAAACAUGGAUCACACUUACAAGGCCAAACAAAGCAUAUAUAUAUAUAUAUGUAUGUAUGUAUGUAUAAUGUAUGUAUGUAUAUAUAUGUAUAUUAUAUUUAUGAACAGUAUUGCCCUUGCUCUUGUCUUUGCCCAACUGGUAGUAGAGUUGCACAGAGACAAAGUUGUUGGUAUAUGGUCCAGCCCAUGAUCAAUGUUCUAGAUUAUUCUAGUAAGCAAGAGAUGAGGCUGAAGCUUGCUAGACAAUUCUAGAAUGUUAUUAAGUUGAUGGAAGAAGCUAGAGAGUACUAGCUUCCUUGGUUGCAAAUGGAAAGAUCUAGAAGCUACAAGUAUAUGGCUAGUCUAGAUUUUUCUAUACUAGAGGUUUGAAGAAGGAACUAGAAACUAGUAGAAUGCCAAACCCUCACCUAUAAAUAUGGGUGUGAUGUAACCAAUUGAGAACCAAGAGUGAGUAGCAAAGGAUCAAGUCCAAAGCUAGAGUUCCACUCCAAGAGUGAGAGUGAGAGUGUUCCACUACACAUUGUGUGAGUGAAGUUUAGAGUGAUAGAAAGUGUGUGUUAUACUUUCUUGUAUCCAUCAAGCCUUGUCUUUGGCUUGGUAAGACUACUCUUGUUGUAUUCAUCUUUUUCAUAUAGUGAAGAUUGAUCCUUGUUUGGUGGACGUAGGCAUAAAUUGCCGAACCACAUAAACUUUUCUUGGCGUCCAUUUUCUACUUUACCUUGUGCAUUCUCUAUCUUGUAGUACCGACAUUCCUAACAAGUGGUAUCAGAGCCCGGUUGGCUCGUACUACGAGAUGGAAGGAAGUGGCACUAUGAUCAAACUCACCAACUCCAAUUGGGUAACAUGGAAGCCAAGGAUGGAGGACAUUCUCUAUUGCAAGGAUUUGCAUGAGCCAAUUGAAGGAGAUGCCGCUAAGCCCGAGAGCAUGUCCGAUGCCGAGUGGAAGAAGAUGAAUCGCAAGGCUAUUGGCACAAUUAGACAAUGGGUGGACGAUAGUGUUUUUCACCAUGUGUCUAAUGAAACCAAUGCUCGCGAGUUUUGGACAAAGCUUGAGUCCUUGUUCGAGAAGAAAACUCCAGCUAAGAAAGCCUUCUUGAUCAAAGAGCUCAUCAAUGUGAAGUACAAGGAUGGUUUAAGUGUAGCAGAACACUUGAACAAUUUCCAGAAUAUCAUCAACCAGUUGGCUACUAUGAAAAUGAUGAUCGAGGACGAGCUACAAGCGCUCUUGUUACUUGGAUCCUUGCCAGACAGUUGGGAGACCUUUGUGGUGAGUAUAAGUAACUCUGCUUCUAAUGGUGUUCUUACUCUUGAUAAUGUUAAAAAUAGCAUGCUCAAUGAAGAAACAAGGAGAAAGACUUCUGGCACAGAUAGCAGCCAAGUAUUUGUCACAGAGAACCGCGGAAGAAGCAAGAGUAGAGGGCCUAGAGGUCAUGGCAGGAGUCCUAGCCGAUCCAAGUCAAAGUUCAGGGGUGCAUGCCACCACUGUGGCAAAGAAGGCCAUAUGAAGAAAAAUUGUCGAGUUUGGAAGAGAGAGCAAAGGGAAGGAAACAAUCAGAAGAAAGAUGAUACUGGCAAUACCACCGCUGUCAUCUGUGGUGAUGUACCAGAAAUAUUGUCUGUUGGUGAAUGUCUGCAUAUGGGCAACUCUGACAGAGACAUUGAAUGGAUCUUUGAUAAUGGAGCUUCCUUCCAUGCUACGUCCAAACGGGAGUUCUUCAGUACAUACAAAGAAGGUGACUUUGGCAUAGUGAAGAUGGGGAAUGAAAGCUAUUCCAAAAUUCUUGGAAUUGGUGAUAUCUGCUUAAGAACUAAUCUCGGCUGCCAAUUGAUGUUGAAAGAUGUGAGACAUAUUCCUGAUAUACGUCUCAAUCUGAUAUCCAUCGGUACCCUUGAUCGACAAGGAUAUUAUCACCAUAUUGGCGAAGGAAAAUUGAAGCUUACUAAAGGCUUAAUGGUGGUAGCAAAAGCACGACUUUGUUGUACGUUGUACCGGUCAAAUGCACAGGUUUUUGAAAGGUGAGUUGAAUGCUGUGGAGGACUCAUCUCUAGACUUAUGGCAUAAGAGGCUGGGCCACAUAAGCGAGAAAGGCCUACAAGUUUUGGCAAAGAAGUCUCACAUUCCCUUUACCGAAGGUACGUCGUUAAACUCUUGUGAGCAUUGUUUAUUCGGAAAACAAAGAAGAGUUAGUUUUUCUGUUCCAUCUACAAAGAAAGGAAACUUGUUAGAUCUUGUUUAUUCAGAUGUGUGUGGUCCCAUGGAAGUCGAGUCACUUGGAAGAAAUAAAUAUUUUGUUACUUAUAUUGAUGAUGAUGCUUCACGAAGGGUGUGGGUGUAUUUGUUGAAAUCCAAAGACCAGGUGUUUCAGACAUUCCAGGAGUUCUAUGCCAUGGUGGAGAGGGAAACUGGGAAACCUCUCAAGUGCCUUCGUAGCGACAACGGCGGCGAGUACACAUCUCACCAGUUUAGAGAGUAUUGUGUAAAACAUGGCAUACGUCAUGAGAAGACAGUUCCUGGAACUCCACAACAUAACGGUGUUGCUGAAAGAAUGAACCGAACCAUCAUGGAGAAAGUCAGGUGUAUGUUGAGGACUGCAAAGUUAUCUAAGCAGUUCUGGGGUGAAGCUGUAAGGACAGCCUGCUAUUUGAUCAACCGAUCUCCAUCAGUACCAUUAGGUCUUGAUGUUCCAGAGAGAGUAUGGACUGGUAAUGAUGUGUCUUACUCUCAUCUGAAGGUGUUUGGUUGCAAAGCUUUUGUGCAUGUGCCCAAAGAGCAGAGAUCGAAGUUAGACUACAAAGCUACACCGUGCAUCUUUCUUGGUUAUGGCGGUGAAGAUUUUGGUUACAGAUUAUGGGACCCAUACCAGAAGAAGUUUAUCCGAAGUAGAGACGUGGUCUUUUAUGAAGAACAAACAAUUGGGGAUUCGGAUAAAGAGGCACAACCAGAUGGCGCAGUCAGAGGAGUUGAUCCAUUAGCUUCAGAUGAAGAAAGUCACGAUGACAUCCCUGAAGCAACUGCCAAUGAAGUGCCUGCAGAAUCAGAUAAUGCUAAUCAAGAGGAGCCUGAUCAAGAUGUGCCAAACCAUGAGAUUGCUCAUCAGGGGAGCCUAGUCAAGAAGAGCAUAUUCAAGGAGAACCCAAUCAGGGGGAGCCUCCAGCCCUACAAGAGAAUGAAGAUCAGGUCAGAAGAUCCAUCAGAAGUCGAAGACCGUCUACCAAGUAUUCUUCAUCAGAGUAUAUCAUGUUGACUAAUUAUGGAGAGCCCGAAACAUAUGAGGAGGCCAGAGCUCAUAACGACAGUGACAAAUGGAUGAAGGCAAUGGAGUCGGAGAUGGAUUCCUUAUCAAAGAAUGAUACCUAUGAGCUGGUGGAGCUUCCAAAGGGCAGGAAAGCAUUGAAAAACAAGUGGGUGUUCAAAUUGAAAAGAGACGACAACAUGACAAGGUACAAGGCUCGUUUGGUUGUCAAAGGUUUUGGUCAAAAGAAAGGAGUUGACUUUGAUGAGAUUUUCUCACCGGUGGUGAAGAUGACUUCCAUUCGAGUUAUCCUUGGUAUGGCAGCAAGCAUGGAUCUUGAGCUCGAGCAGUUAGAUGUUAAAACUGCAUUUCUCCACGGCAAUUUAGAAGAGGAGAUAUACAUGGAGCAACCCAAAGGCUUUGAAGUCAAAGGUAAAGAAAAUUUGGUGUGCAAGCUCAAGAAAAGUUUAUAUGGUCUUAAGCAGGCUCCGAGACAGUGGAAUAAGAAGUUCAACUCACUCAUGGUGAGUAAUGGGUACAAGAGAACUCAUGCUGACUCUUGUGUCUAUAUCAAACAAUUUUCUGGAGGUAAAUUCAUCAUCUUAUUGCUUUAUGUUGAUGACAUGUUGAUUGUCGGACAAGAUACCUCUAUGAUUAAAAAGCUCAAAGAAGAGUUAUCUAAGUCCUUUGACAUGAAGGACUUAGGGCCAGCCAAGCAGAUUUUGGGCAUGGAUAUAAUUCGUGACAGAAAAUCCAAAAAGUUGUGGCUGUCACAAGAAAAGUAUGUUGAACGGGUGCUUGAAAGGUUCAACAUGAAAGCAGCCAAAUCGGUAAGCUCACCUUUAGCCAAUCAUAUCAAGUUGAGCAAAGAGUCAUGUCCAAAAACAUAUUGAAGAAAAGGAGAAAAUGGCAGUUGUUCCCUACUCUUCAGCAGUAGGAAGUAUCAUGUAUGCAAUGGUGUGCACACGGCCAGAUAUUGCUCAUGCAGUAGGUGUGGUGAGCAGGUUUCUCUCUAAUCCAGGGAAGGACCACUGGGAAGCUGUUAAGUGGAUUCUCAGAUAUUUGAAAGGGACUUCUAAGAUGUGCUUGUGCUUUGGCGGUUCCAAACCAAUCUUGGAAGGAUUUACAGAUGCUGACAUGGGAGGUGACCUGGAUGGUAGAAAAUCUACGUCUGGGUACUUGUUUACUUUUACAGGGGGAGCCGUGUCUUGGCAAUCCAAGUUACAAAAGUGCAUUGCUUUGUCCACAACCGAGGCUGAAUACAUAGCCGCUACAGAAGCAUGCAAGGAGUUGUUGUGGCUGAAGCGGUUUCUCCAAGAGUUGGGUUUGAAGCAAAGUGAUUAUGGCGUUUAUUGUGAUAGUCAGAGUGCUCUGGACUUGAGCAAGAACACUACAUAUCAUUCACGCACUAAGCACAUUGAUAUUCGUUAUCAUUGGAUUAGAGACGCUAUCGAGAACAAGUUGCUGCAGCUGAAGAAGAUUCAUACCGAUAAUAAUUCUUCAGACAUGUUGACAAAGGUAGUCACAAAAUCAAAGUUGGAAUUCUGCAUUAAGGCUGCUGGGAUGAACUCCAGGUAACUUGGAGUCAUGAUCGGAAUUCCUCCCUCAUGGACUGGAGGGGGAGAUUGUUGGUAUAUGGUCCAGCCCAUGAUCAAUGUUCUAGAUUAUUCUAGUAAGCAAGAGAUGAGGCUGAAGCUUGCUAGACAAUUCUAGAAUGUUAUUAAGUUGAUGGAAGAAGCUAGAGAGUACUAGCUUCCUUGGUUGCAAAUGGAAAGAUCUAGAAGCUACAAGUAUAUGGCUAGUCUAGAUUUUUCUAUACUAGAGGUUUGAAGAAGGAACUAGAAACUAGUAGAAUGCCAAACCCUCACCUAUAAAUAUGGGUGUGAUGUAACCAAUUGAGAACCAAGAGUGAGUAGCAAAGGAUCAAGUCCAAAGCUAGAGUUCCACUCCAAGAGUGAGAGUGAGAGUGUUCCACUACACAUUGUGUGAGUGAAGUUUAGAGUGAUAGAAAGUGUGUGUUAUACUUUCUUGUAUCCAUCAAGCCUUGUCUUUGGCUUGGUAAGACUACUCUUGUUGUAUUCAUCUUUUUCAUAUAGUGAAGAUUGAUCCUUGUUUGGUGGACGUAGGCAUAAAUUGCCGAACCACAUAAAUUCUUGGCGUCCAUUUUCUACUUUACCUUGUGCAUUCUCUAUCUUGUAGUACCGACAUUCCUAACAAAAGUAUUGUUCAUAGUAAAAAGUACGGGCAAGCCAACUGCCUUGUUCUUACACUUGCGUUCUCCAAACGGGUGAAACUGCUAUUAUGAUCGGUCUGAAGUAGACGCGCUUAUUCUUGCGUGAGGAAAUUAUCAGUCUCCUUAACAAGAUAACAGCUAACUGGAGCUGAAGUUGGGGAUCCGGAACCCAUCAUGUAGCUUUUCAUAUUGUAGAACCAAAUUCACCACGCUGCCCUCAUCAUGAACGCCUAAUUUUGGAGUAACUUGUAAAGUGAUCUUAAAGCUCUUGUAUCGAUCUAGAGGGUUUCCUUCAAGCACUGUGAAAGUCACCGAAUGAUUUACAUCGUCUAUGGCUUCAGUUAACUCCUUGGAAAAAGUUGGUUUCCCAUCUGCUAACAUUUCAUCACAAAUCAAUUACUUGCUUCAUCCACAAAAAAACAUGUCGACAUAUAUAGUAAGAGAACAAUCUUUCAGCCACACUUACCUUCAAUAUAAUCCCACAAGAAGACACAACCCACUUUACCCCAUUCACCUUCAAGUAAUUUAUGACUCGGAACUUUGUCGGGGCUGAUGUUGCAUAUUUCGUACGGUGUUCGUGCAAAGAAUUCAUGGAACCUGUUUGCUUCAGACUUGAUUUCAACACUCGUCUCCACCUUGCUAGAAUUUGACAUUUUCCACAAGUACCAGAGUUGAAGGAAAAACGACUUUGGUGGUUCCCAACGUGAAAAUGGCGGGGUUUAGUGCAGCAACAAAGAAAAUGGCGGUGGCUGCUGCAAAUGGAUGUGGUGAUUCCCUCUCCCGCAGAAAAGAAGAUAAGUUUUUCUUACAAUAUUCUAAUUAUUCUCCAUGAUGAUGUCUGCCAUCUGCAAUAAAAAAAUAAUAAAAAGAAAAAAGACAGCCACUGAUGAUUGGUGAAGUGACGAGAUAAUCAUCAACUAGCUCAGCUCCACCCUCAGCACAACUGUGACGAAACCCACUUUUCUGAGAAAAUCACGAGAAAAGCAGAAAGCAAAAGAUAAAGCAAAAGGAAGACACAUGGGGACACUGCAAAAGUAAGGAAUAAACAUCCCACCAGAAUGAUGUAAUUUAUUUUUAUUAUCUUUCGGAGACAUCUGUAUAAACCCCAUCAGAGGGUAAUUAAAAAAAAAAAGCCCAAAAUAAUGGGCUGCAAACCCAAAAUAAGGGGCUACAAUGUCAUGGGCGAAGGCCCAUAUGCCCAAAAGACCCAUACCCUCUAUUACCACCAACCAGGUGAUCAAAAGUACGCCCAGUACUCCACAAUUAUUCGACAACCUGCCGCUAUUACCACCAACCAGGUGAUGAAAUGUACAACCCGUACUCUAAAAUCAUUUGGCAACUAGUCAUUCAUGCCACCAACCAGGUGAUGAAAUGUACAACCCGUACUCUCCUUCAUGCCACCAACCAGGUGAUCAAAAGUAUGCCCAGUACUUCAUAUUAUACAUGAACAUUACUCAUGUCAAUCAUACACAAACAUUCAUGAGUAUCACUCAUAUCAAUCAUACAUAUACAUUCAUGAGUAUCACUCAUGUCAACAUUCAUGAGCAUCACUCAUGUCAACAUCCAUGAGCAUCACUCAUAUCAAUCAAACAUUCAUGAGCAUCACUCAUGUCAAACAGCUUCAAAAGCUUCAUUUACAAAAGCUCUAGCUUCAAAAGCUUCAUUUACAGAGCUUCAGCUUCAAAGCUUCACUUAUAAAGCUUCAGUGCAGGGUAUACAAAUACCGCCUCCGAACAACCGCCACUUCGGCCCAUACAUGGAUUCAAUUUGAAGUCUCCAGCUAACAGACUCUAUUGACCGAAAAGACUUGGGGGACUACAUUAUAUACCAUAUAUUGGGCCUCAACUGGGCCUCAUAAAAAAUACUUGGGGGACUUAGCCCAUUAUCUAUGUACUGAGGAGCGAACCCUUAUUCUAUAAAAGGGACUUCCUCACUUUCAUUAGAGAGCAUCGCCGCCAGCUGAGCAACCGCCUCGCCGCGAGCAUCACUCCUAACCCAUCACUUAUGUAUUGAGGAGUGGGCCCUUAUUCUAUAAAAGGGACUCCAUCACCAUCAUUAGAGAGCAUCAACUCUAGCCCAUUAUCUAUGUACUGAGGAGCGAGCCCUUAUUCUAUAAAAGGGACUCCAUCACUUUCAUUAGAGAGCAUCGCAGCCAGCUGAGCAACCGCCUCGCCGCGAGCAUCACUCCUAACCCAUCACUUAUGUAUUGAGGAGCGGGCUCUUAUUCUAUAAAAGAGACUCCCUUACCAUCAUUAGAGAGCAUCAACUCUAGCCCAUCAUUCAUGUAUUGAAGAGCGAGCCCUUAUUCUAUAAAAAUGACUCUCUCACCUUCAACGCCACAAGCCGAGCCAACCAAGGCAACAUAAGCCACGAGCCGAGCAGCCUCGCAGCAUGUGCUACUUCUAGUUGAGCAUCAUCUCAGAUUGAGCACCGCCUCAUAUCGAACAUCAGUUCAAGACAACGUCUAGUUACUUCGGCCCACACAUGGACUGAAUUUCAAGUCUCCAGCCAAAAGACUCUCUUGACUGAAGACUUGGGAGACUACUGUUUAUACCAUAUUUAGGGCCUCGUAUUUAGAUCUUGUACAAAUACUCAGGGGACUUAAAUGUAAUUAUGUGAUAAAAGAAGGGGCAAAUAUGUAAUAAGUGAGGAGUCCUUAUUCUAUAAAAGGACCCCUCACCCUCACAAUUAGAGGAGGCCAAUUCCUAGGCCCUCUCACCCCCUCUCAACGCUCUCACUAUCAGUGCUCCCUCUCCCUCAGAUAAAUACAUAAUCAAAGUGGACGUAGCCCAAACCUUGGGGUGAACCACGAUACAUCUUGUGUCAUUUACAUUACUUGCAGAUUCACGGUCGGAUUUACGUUGUUCCAAAACCUCCGGUUUUGUGCAUCAACAGCCCUUACAUUUAUAUAGAAGAAAAGAGGGAAACAAAAACUUUACAAGAACCUAACAAUUUGCCCAUGCCAUCAGACAUGGAUGUAUUUAUUCACUAAAAAAAAUGCGUUAGUUGUAUUAUUUUACUAGAACCGAACAAUUUGCCCAGUAGACAUGGAUGGUGGAAUAUCUUGAUCAAUAUUAUUCCUCGUUUGCUCUCGUCGUUUCUAAGAAAACAAUGUUUUGUGGUUUUAUUAAAUAGCUGGAGACAAAAUGUUUCGAUCUUGUUCGUUUCUCUGUUUGUAUGCUUUUAUACAUGUUAUUUCUAAACAAUUUGUUUGUUUUAUGGUGGGCAUCUUUAAAAGUAAGAUACCCAUUUGUUUUUAAAGAAAUGUUAUUGUCACCUAAAAAUUUAAGUGUGUAUUUAUAAUUAUUUAUAUUUAAAAAAAAAUAUUCUUACAAUGAAUGUACAAUUAGAUUUUUGUAGUGUAAAUUUUCUGUCUUCAAUUUCGACUACUCGAAAUAUAUGAUCCGAUUGACCCCCAAACAUUGAGGUUUAAAUAUUUAUGGCUGGGGAAGACGAAUUCACCCAAACCUCGAACUCCUUUUCUUAGGAAAUAAAUUGAAAGUUAUAAUCUAAGGCCAAAUUCAAACCGAAACAACAACAUUCUAUUCUAUAAUUUCUCCUAGUCCUGAUCGGUUAGGGAUUCUAGUUAGUUCGUUUACAAACUACGUUGGCUAAUAUAUUUCAGUUACAACUUCAUAUAUAAAUGCAUUCUUCGUCGAAUUAACAAAUAAUCAGUUUGUAUCUAUAUAUAUAAAGUGAGAGCCCUAGUUUGGUGAAGCAUUUGAUAAACCAAAAAUGCCCUCACUUCAUACACUAUACCAACGUUAAUUGUCCAAUAAAAUUAGGGUCAAAAUUGUAAUAUAAUACAACGAAAUUCUACUGUGCGAAUAAUACAUGCACUCAUCUGAACAAUGACAAUUUUCAACCACUAGAUAAAAAUAUACACACUUAAAAUUCAUUGUGACCCUUAGAUCAAUCCUCCCACAAAUACUGCAUCACAUUCUAUCUUUCCACCAAAACCAAAAUAACAAAUAAAUUGAUAAAAACUGACAAACACUCCCUCCAAAUUAGAGUAGAACUGUCAAACACGUUGUCGCACAAAACAGAACACCGGUUGCAGCAGUUGCAAAGAUCGGAGAUAGAACCACCAAUCUACCACACGUUCUAGAGGGGAUAGCGAUCAUUCCAACCCCAAAUGCACAGAAAAGAGGAAGAACUCAUUUUCGUCUUCUGCACAAACCUCUCAUCCACGUGUUUUUCCAGAGUUUCUUCUGCAUCCACACUCAAUUUACACAAAUUCAGGUGAUUUUUUUUUCAUAAUUUCUACCCUCCAAUUAAGUAAUAUUACCCACAUGAAUCUGCUUUUCCGCUUGUUUUGUUUAUUAUUCUAUAUAAUUUAAUAAGGAAAUUCGAAUCAUUGAUGGCGUAGGAUGGGAUUGCUGGGCGUUCAAAAUUGCUCAGUGAUUAGUACUUAAUCGACCACACUGCUUAUAUUAUUUAAACUUAAUUGUUGUCAUAUGGGUUUUUCUGGAUUCCAUUUCUCUUAUUUAUGUGAUUUGAGUCAGUGGUAGUCAGGUGCAUGCAAUGAGAGACAUUUGAGGCUAUAGCUGGGAAUUUGGUUUCUAUAAAAUUACUUCUGCAAUUGGUCAGAAUUUAUAGGAGUUACUAAAAUUACCCCAUUACCAGUUUUUGUUUUACUAUAGUUGGUAAUGAUUUGUAAGCAGAUUGUACAUUGAGGUAAUGUGUGAAUUGAAUUCUGAUGGUUAAACUAAUACGACAAACUGGUAAAAAACCAUCACUGAAAAAAGAUAAAGCAUCACAACUGUAGAGUUUUGCCUAAUGAAGAAUUAGAACCGCGACGUGGGAUUCAACCACCCUCCACGUUCUGCAAACUACAAACCAGAUUGACAAAGACUCUUCCUCUACAGAAAACGAGGGGAGGGAGAAAUAGAGAUACAUAUUGACAAAGACUCUUCCUCUACAUCGACUGAUUCUUAUCGCAGGUAACUUUCAAACUUGAUUCUCAAUUUUCUAUGUAUUCCUUCCAGCGUUUGUUCAAACUUUCAAACUUGACUCUACUCGCCGUGAUCAACAACUGCAGCUUCUUGAAACAGCCUUUCACUCGUCAUAAACGACAAGUGUGGCUUCUUUACCAGUAUGUUUAUUAGUCUCUUUUCUAAUCAAAUUCAUUGCCAUUAAUUAACUGUUUCUCAUCGAUCAUUCAUUUCUGAUCAUAUUUUCAAUUUCCGUUCUAUUCCCAUUUAUACAUCUUUUUCAAUUGUGUAUGAAUUAUUUGCUUUGAUGAAGCAGAAUUAGAUUUGCGUUCAUAUUCAAUUCUAAUUAAUUGACGAUGUCCUUUGAGAGCGAGCCCAAACUAUCUAGCGAUUCGAUAUAAUCGGAGAAAGAUUUUCCAGGGUGAACCAUAUCCUUUACCUGACUAUUGAGCCGUAAAGUUUCCGGUUUCUUAAGGUUUCGGAUAUCCACUCAAUCUAUUGGGACCUGUCUGGAAAUCCCCACAGCCAUGUGACUUGCGAUUCUUCUUCUUAAUAAACGACUUAGUUUUUGCAUUUUUUGUUCGAAUUCAAAGUUUUUUUUAUACAAAUUUGAAGCUUUUCUUCAAGCUUAUUCAUUAUAUAGAUUCCAAAAUUUUUAAAUCCUCUCAAAGUAGUAGGGAUUUGGAAAUGAACUCUGCUAGAGAAGGUGGCUUGCGUUGAAAUUACCAUAAUAACAGUGUUGGGUUGGGAAUUUUUUACUGGUUUUUUAUUUAAUAUGUUUUGAAUCUUAUCUUGCAACCUGUUGUUUUUCUUCAUGGGGUUCAGGAGGAGGAACUUCACCAAGUAUUCAAAGUAAUCAAAGAUUCUUCAAUCCCGAGUUUUACCGAUCAUUCUGUUUGAUCAGGUUGCUACUUCACCCUUUAUGAUAAGUUAUUAGAUGCAUUUCAGUGUGUCCUGCAUUUGAUAACUGAGUUAUUUCGUUAUUGCUAGAAAGGUAAAUUUUACGCUAGAUUGCAAUGCAAGGUAUGUAACUCGAUAGUUUGAUGAGUUUGAAUUAUUUUUUUUAUUAGGGCUGUUGCUACUUAUUUAAUUAUGCUUGGCAAUUAGCCUGCUUGAUCGGGGGUAUGAUCGUUGUGAAUGCCGUAUGAUUGCAAUGGCAAAAUUUUAUUGAUUCAAGUGUGAAAUAGAUAAACAAAUAAGAAAAAACCAUGUUCAUGCGUAAACCAUGUCAUUGUCAUUGAAAAAACUAUAGGUAACCCUCUAAAAAUUAAUAGAUGAAGUCAAUGGAAUUGAGAGCUAUGUAAUCCAAGUCCCAGUUGCAUAUGUUAUUGGUGCAUUCAAGAGCUAGCUAAUUGAGGAAGAAAUUCAGAGGUUGAUGUAAGUUGUCUGCAAAGCAUCAUAACCUAGGGUUGAAGCACUUAGCUUUUCUCUACCCUCUUCCAUAUAAUUAGGAUUACAAGUUGUUUUAGAUAUUCAGUUAAUUUUGAAGCCAUUGGCAAUGUUUCAGUUGCAGAGUUUGAUUUAUCAAUUAUCUGCUAAAUGCAUGGAAUUUCAUCUUUUUUACUUUCAAUUUUGGGUCAAAUGUUGGGAAAUUUUUACUGGUUUUUUUAUAUAAUAUGGUUUAAAUCUUAUCUUGCAGCCUGUAGUUUUUCUUCAUGGGGUUCAGGUGGAGGAACUUCACCAAGUAUUCAAAGUAAUUAAAGAUUCUUCAAUCCCGAGUUUUACCGAUCAUUCAAUUUGAUCAGGUUGCUACUUCAUCCUUUAUGAUAAGUUAUUAGAUGCAUUUUAGUUUGUGAAACUAGGAAGGGCAUUCUUUUUGCUUAGUUGUAAGAUACUUGAGAAGCCGAAUAUUACACUUAAUCAAAGAACCGAAAUGGCAAUGUGCUAUUUCACUUUGUUUCUUUGAUGACUCAAAAUUGUAAUAUGAUUGAACUGAAUGAUUACCUGUUUUCAUCUGCAUCUCCAGAUUCAUUUCUUUCAUUUUUAGAAUCAUCAACUCCAUGAUUACCUGUUUUCUUUCAUAUAUGUUUUUCUUUUACUAAUUUAUGUUUUAACUUUUCGUUCUCUUUCAAUUUUCGUAAAUCUGAGUUUUAGAAAACACAUACAAUUCAUGUUACUAACAAAACUUUUGAUGCUUUUACACACUCAUUGGGAUUGUGUAAUGGUACAAGAUUAUUGUGUCGUGGUAAUUACCAAAAUCUUAUUGAUGCUGAAAUUCUAACUGGACAAUUUGUCGGAUCCAAAGUUUUCUUACCAAGAAUCCCUCUCAAAAGUACUAAUACUGCUGGGCUUCCAUUUAAACUUACAAGAAAGUAGUUUCCAGUGAAACUAAGUUUCUCUAUCACUAUAAACAAAUCUCAAGGUCAGACAAUACCACAUGUAGGCAUUUACCUUCCAGAUCACAUCUUCAGUCAUGAACAAUGAUAUGUGGCUUUAUCGAGGGGGGUCUCAAAGUCAACCACAACCGUGUUAGUAAAAAAUGGCUCCAUAAUCAGCCAACAAGGUGUAUUUACACGGAAUGUAGUAUACAAAGAAGUCUUGCUUCAUUCCAGCUAAUUAUGGUGAUUUCUAAUAGGUAACAAUUUUAUUAUCGAUAACCUUUCAGUAUGCAUUUCUCACUUAUCAAUUAACUCUUUUUAUUUGAUUUUUAAUUUUCUCACUAUCAUUUGUAGAUUGGCAAUGAAAAUUUGAAGCAUCAAUCAUGAACAAAUGGGUGGAAAUUGCAGCAUUGAUAUCAAAAUGAAAACUUUUUUUUCAAAAGAAACGGUGACAUAUAGACUCUAUGGGUAUUGUGAAUAAUGUACAUAUUGUUAUGCAAGAUUUAUAUUUUGACAUUUAAGUUGUUUUGUAUUUUUCUACGAGUAAUGUUUUCAUCUACUCUUUUUUUUACAUCUACUUACUAUUGUCCAUGGACUUUAGGUAGGAACUUGCGUCUAAAAUCCCAUGUUGUUUGACAAGUGCAUGAAUAACAUUUAAAUCAUUACUUUACGCAAAGUAAAAACGAAAAACAUGAUAACUUUUUAGGAUAUGCAUGAUAAAAAAAGAGUUCCUCUUUGCACAAUACAUUUAAAAUAUAUCUUGACAAUUACGAUGGGAAAAACUAACACAAUACACAUUUAGGGGCGCGUAGCACCCGUGAUGUAAAAAUGCCUCUCGCACGCACAUUAGUGGGUGCGGAGAGGCUAGUAAUUAAUUAAGAACAAGAGGACUCGAAACAGAAGCAGCAAAACAUGACCAUGACCAACAACGACAACGUUUUGGAGCCGCCCAUCAAUUUCUCGAUGGUGGAUGAGGGCGUAUUCCGAUCAGGCUUCCCGCAGCCGUCAAACUUCCCAUUCCUCCAAUCCCUUCAACUCCGUUCCAUUAUCUAUCUCUGCCCCGAGCCCUACCCGGAGGAGAGUUUGGAGUUUCUUCGGUCGCAAGGCAUUCGGCUCUUCCAGUUCGGAAUCGAGGGCAAGAAGGAGCGGUCUACGUCUCCGCUGAUUCCAGCAGAGACCAUCUCCGAGGCACUGAAAGUUUUGGUUGAAAUUGAGAAUCAUCCGGUGUUGAUCCACUGCAAACGCGGCAAGCAUCGGACUGGUUGUCUGGUGGGUUGCCUGAGGAAAUUUCAGAAUUGGUGUUUGUCUUCGGCGUUAGAGGAGUACCAGCGGUUUGCCGGCGAAAAAUCUAGGGGGACGGAUUUGAGAUUUAUCGAGACGUUUGACGUAUUGGGCCUCAGGGGGGAUGCCUUCACGGCAUUGUCCGCCAUUAUUAUUAAGUUUAUGCUUCCGGAAAGAGGCGGUUGUUGUACAAACAAGAGUUGCAAACCCAUAAACCCUAGGUGAUGUUUUAGUUUUUACGUGUUGAAAUUUUAUGCCCUUUUAGUUGUACCAUAAUGAAAAUUCAUUCAUUCGCUUAGUGACGGGUCCCACGUAUGGGAGUGAUUUUUUUGUUGUUGUUGAUUUAGCAUAAUCACGAAAUUUAGACAUGCUUAUAAAUUUAGUCCUCAAUUUAGGAGUAGGAAAUUUUUAAGAAUAUAUGGACAUGCAUGUUUACUUAAAAAAUUAGAAUGAAAAAUUAUGAAUGGAGAAAGUCAAAAAUACAAUGAAAGAAAUUCAUAUAAAAUUAACUACCCCUGAUAAAUUUGAUACCUGGAAUGAGAAUAAAAAGUCAUGAAUUGAGAAGUUGGAAAUAAGAUAGAAUAAAUCCGUACGAAAUCAACUACUCCCUGAUAAAUUUGAUUCUUGGCAUGAGAAGUCAUGAAUUGAUACGAAGUCUAAUUCUAAUUCUUUUGACAUAUUUUUUUCUAUUUUUAUUUUAUUUUUUAGUUGUUAAAUUAUCAAUGUAAAGUAGAACUCAAAUACUUUUUGACUCCACAUAACCACAUAAAAAUCAAGAAUUGAAACAGAGUAAUUCUAAUACUAAUUCGUACUCUAUCCUAGUGCAAAAAGUUAGAAUUGUAAAAAUUUAGAGCUGAUCUUGGUGAAAUAUAGAACGUCAUAGGACCAUGAUUCUGGAACUCCUUUCCCUCCUUCGACUGUGGUCGGCCUGGGUCAGAUUUCUUCGUUCAGGGAUUUACCUGUUCUGAAUAGUCUGCCCUUGAUGGGUCAACUCUAGUUAGUUAAUCCAAGCAUAGGAAGAUGAGACAAAAUACACACAAAGUUGUUAGGAUAUCUUUUCUUUUUAUAUUUGAGCGAUAUUCUAGUCUAAUCCAAAUUCAUGGAAGGAGGAUUCAAAUUUGGCUACAAUCGGAUUCACAUAUUAGGAUUGAUUUUAAAUUAAAUCCAGGUUGAUAAAAAUAUUUCAAAAUUUUUAAUGGAAACUUUUUUGUGAAGGUAUUGAAGUUGGGAUUGAAACAGAAGAUAGAGCGUAAUAUAAAGUUACAAUAACAUGUUCUAUUAAAUGAAAGUGACUAAAUAUUGAAAAAAAUGCUACACUGCGUGAUCAACUCCGGCAACGAGCAUUAGCACUGCAUCCACGGUUGUAGGGAUUACUCUGAUUCUGAGCACCCGGCUUGCAGUUGUUGGAGGAAGCACCUCUCUGAGAGCAAGGCACAGUGUUUCUCUGCAGAGCUUCAUAGCUUAUGUUUCGUGAGGUGGCCAAGAUGCGCCUGCUAAUCUCCGAGUCCAUGCCAAAUUCAUCAUCACGAUCAUCCAUACACUCUGCUACAGAACCCUCGCGGCGAGGUCUCACUGGAACCCAGCUCACCCCAUGAUCGCCGCCUGCAUCAACGGAGAUGAUCAGAGCGGCCACGAAGGCCAAGGAAAAGAUAAUCGCUGAGGAAUUGGCCAUAGGUUUUGGUAUGGUCUGUGUUUUUAGCUGCCAACUUGUAUUUUGUUGUACGCCUGUUUAAUUACUGAGGGAGACAGAUGGGGCGGCAAGAGAGAGAAGAGUUGGUGAAUUCUGAUGUAUAUAUUAUUGCACUCUAUUGUGUUAUUUAUAGUAGUAAAAAGUAUAAAAAAGGGAAAGUCCUAAGGGAAAAUCCUUAUCUUUCAGGCAAUCCAUCUUAAAUAACACACAAUCUACAAGAUAUUCUGCAGUCCCAUAAGGAUUUUUUACACAAAAAUUCCUAGUAAGUUUGGACUUUGAUACAUUUAAAUUUGAUUAAAUGGAAAAUUGGAUGCUGAUUUCUUCAAGGAGGUGAUUGUGGAUGCAAAUUUCUUCCUCCUUGAUCUUGGACAAAAUUGGACCUACAAAACAAUUAACACCUUAGGGUCAAGGCCAAGAGCCUCACGUGUCCACGAUGAACGCGGGGGGGGGGGCUUUGGCCGUUUGGCCGAAGAACCUCUGAUGCCAAAGUUAGAAUUUAGAGAGAAAAGUGUUUAGAGAGUAUUGGGAAUUUUGCGUGUUGGACCUAGGUUUUGGUGAAAAUGGGAGCCAAUACAUAGGGCAUAGGGUGUAACUUAUGGUUUAAUGUGUGAUUUAAUGGAUUAAUUAGGCAAUUAAUCGAUUAAUUGGUUAAUCAACACAUUUUUGGCAUAAAUAUUUUGGGGGUUAUGUAAUUUAUACCUUGUGGAAAAUAUAGGAUGAGGAUGGAUGAAAUAACUUUGAAUUUGUUACUUAUUUUGGGCAUGCUUGAUUUGGUUGAAGGAUGAUUGCCCGCUACUCGCGCGUAGGAAUCCCGUUGUACCUCAAGGGUAUUUUUGUCUUCUUUUGUCCAAAAAUCCACGUGUCGCCUUGUGAUUAUUUUUGGCUCCAUAGUGAUUACUUAAAUGACUUGCACUAAUUAGCCUUAGGGCUAGUUUGGUAUUACUGUGCUUUGAAAAAAACUGCUUCUGCUGUGCUGCGAAAAUAAACAACUGUGAAAUAAAGCGGUAGAGUGUUUGGUAAACUUUUUUGUAAAAAUGCUUUUAGCAAAAAAAUCAGUGUUAAAGUGUUUGGUAAAUUUUUAUAUAAAACUGCUGUGAUUAGGUUAAAUGACUAAAAAUGAUAUAAUGUUAAAUUUAAUAUAUAAUUUUUUAUUUUUUAAUCUCUAUAAUUGUUGAGUCAUCCAAACUCUUCCAUUUUCCAAAUCCCAUUUAUAAUUCUAGAGUCAUCCUUUUCGCCUAAUUUUUUUUUUCAUCUGACGUUCAGAUCCGAUACGUUAGCGUUCCGUUGGUUAUCAGACAGGAUCAAACUAAGCGUAGGCUGUUUCCGGAUCAGAUCUAGUCGAAGAGCUCUCCCCUAUCGUACUUAACUUGAAUAAGGCAGUUUCCCACUAGCCGCUUAAAGGAGUACUCAAGGAUUACCCUAUUACCGAUCUCGAACUGGCCUCCUACUGUCCUCGCUAAGAAAGAGUCUGCCCGCUUAAUUCAAUGAAGUAGUUGAUAUUUAUCUAUUAAAGUAAUUUAUCAAUUACGGCAUUCAAGGUCGGAUGAUAACAGUUCUCUUUACCCAAGAAGCUCGGGGAAAGGAAACAGAAGCCAUGCAGACUGAAAUUGACGAACUCCCCACCCACACUAAAAAGCAAAUAAAGACCCAUGUUUAGCGUCCUCCACUCUAAGGACCACAUCAUCCAGAAGUUCAAUCUCAUUUACCUCAAGAUCAUCGACAAGAUCGAUCUUCCAAUUUCUGAGACUGAUAUUUCUACCAUUUUUUCCCCUAGUUAUAUAACUUCCACUACCACUAGUUUCCCAGUUUCAUCUCCCCUACCAUCCAUGGCGUCUGCAAGCUCUCACAAACACCCAUCUCUUCUGUCAUCCAUUACUUUCCCCAUCACUUUCCCACCUUCCUCUUGGAGUUGCAGAAGGAGCUUGCUAUGAAGAUCUGUUGUGUGAAAUUGUGCAUCUUGGAUCGAGCACUUUUUUGACAACUGGGUUUUGGAUUUGUUUCCUGGUCUACAAUGCCACGAUGAGUUGAAAAAUACUCUGAUCAGAUUUCGAUUUCGAAAAUUGAAAUCCGACAAAACAAAAAUAUCAAUGAUGAAGAUUCAAUCUCAACCCAGCGAGAAGGAGAAACGGAGGAGAGUAUUUUUGAGAUUGUGAAAGUUUCAUUAAAAUAUACUGUUCACCCGCCUCCUUGAAAAAAUAAGUUGGUUUUGAGAAAUAACAAAAUGUAGCUUCUGUUUUUUGCCACUUUUCAGCUUUUAAUGAUCUGUGACUUUUAAAAUAAGCAGUGUUACCAAGCACAAAUUGUACUCCAAUUUUUUUUCAUCCCAGCUUUUAAAAUAAUUUAAGCAGUACCAAACCUUACCUUAUUCUAAUUGCAACAAAGAAAGCUGAAAUUGGAAUAAUUCGUGAUUUGUUCAAACCAAGAAUACAAAAGCAACAACCUACUAGAAAAUAUGCUCGUAGAGAUUUACGGGUUGUUUCUGCAAGUAAUUUUGCUAAAAGCGCUUUUAUUAGAACAACAUUGAGAAAUCAAUUUUAUAAUGAUAUGAGCAUGCCAAGAGAUUAAACUAGUUUACAACAUCAAUAUUAUAAUGAUAGUACUCUCAGUUCAUUCUUGCUCAUAGAAUUAAAGAGAGAAACCGAACUAAACAACAAUGCGGACUAGCUUGGUCAACUCUCAGGCCUUUAUUCUUGAAGAUAGCAAAAUUACUCAAAGUUCCAUAUCAUAUGUAUGCAUAAAUCUUGUGCUUGGCACUUAUUCCUUGAGAAGAUGUGCAUCAAUAUCUUUAAUGACAUUGACCAUAAAGCUGAGGUACUUCUGUGGAGGCGGAUCGUUCUCGUUGAGUUUUUCAUAUUCUAAAGUAAUUUUCACAAAACCUCCUUCACUCUUUGGAGUGACCUGGAAAAUGAUCUUGUAGCUUUUGUAAUUGUCCAGCACAUGUGAUCCUUCCAGAGCUGUAAGACUCACCCACUUGUUUACUUCAUCUAUUUCCACCUUUUCCUUGAAUGUCUCGACAUUUCCAUCUACACGUCACAUGGAAAAUUACAAUGAUACAUCUAUUCAUGGAGAGAUUUUUCAAUGCUCAGAACACUGGGUGGUACAACACAUGUUAUUAUACAAACGAAUGAAAAUUAUUUUCAAAUGUCUCUUCACUUAUAUAAUGAAAUAUAAUUUAUAUAUCCAUGUUCUGAGCACACUAAAAAUUCUCUCCUGUCCAUGAUCCGAUUCUUUAUAUAUUCAUCGUCAGGUAAUGCAAACCUAAUGGCGCAUGGAUGGCCUGGUCAAUAUAUUUCAGUUUUAAUUCUAGAAGAAUCUUAUACGUACAUAUACAUAUCACGUUAGCAUGUUUAUUUCAUAGCAGGUUAGUUUGUGUUAUUCAAUAAUAAUAAUAAUAAUAAUAAUAAUGUUACAGUAUUAACUAUAAACGUAACAUUAUUAUUAUACAACUUUUUUUAACAAACAAUAUUAUCUACAUUAAGGGAAAGAGGUGAGCUUAGCCUCACAAUGUUUGAAUGAUGGAAAUAAAUUUGGACUUUUGACAAAAUUUAGAAUUUAUAAAUUAACAUGCACCAAUUCUCUUGUCUAGAUUCAUAAACAUAGAAAUUUAGAAUUUCCGCGUGAAAAAAAGGGAGAAUUUGAGACCUCCAAUUCCCAAGUUUAAAUUUCAUGUAAAUAAGUCACUCAGUACUACGGUCUUGUAGUAUUUCUCUUCACUUGAAAGUGAGAGGUUAUAAGUUCGAAUCUUGUUGAUGACGAAUUUGAUACCAAAUUAGGCUACCCAUUGUGUGGCUUUGCCGAACUCCUUAGUGUAAAAAUAUCGAUGUACUAAAAAAAAUCAUGUAAAUAGGUGUUAUUCCAAAUUUUUAUGAGUGAGAGUUUAAAGAUAACAAAAUCUAUAUUGAAUUUAUAUUAUUCUUUUAAGUUAGUCAAACAAGAAAAUUUACAAAUUCUAGAAAUAAAAUUUCUUAGUAAUUUUAAAUUUUCUCAUCCAAACAGAAUGUUAGAGUCAUGAUGUAACACCCGUCGCUUUUUAUUUAACAAAAUUAAUUAUUAGUUUAACUAGGUUAGGAGGAGAGAGGAGGGUGAUUAAUUUCAUAUUACCUAGGGUGUAUUUCCAGAGCUUGACAGAGCCAGAAGUUUCCCAGUCACCUUCAUGUACUGCAACAUCGUGUAUUUUAUCAGAGGCUGCUUUGGGGACGUCGUGGUGCUGGUUGCUGAUGACUUUGUACAACUUAUCAGCGUUGGCUUUGAUCUCUACCUCAGCCUCCACAGUCAGCUUGCAAGCACCAGCUCCACUCACUGCCAUUUUCUUUUAUUUGUUAUUAGUAAUAUGUGAUUAGUCUGGGGAAAUUGUAGGAGACGUAUACUAACCUACAGGUUUCAACUUCUUAUAUAGAGUCGCAAAGUUGUAAAUUAACAUGUUAUAAACUGAUAGUUAUGGAGGCAGCGUGUGGAUAUGAUCCGAUCACUUAAUUAAAUAGUUAUAUAAUAAUAUUGUGUCUGUGGAUCUUCCAGGCAGAGUUUUAUUAAUUAUUACAUCUAGGGGUGGAAUUUUUUCCCGAAAAUCCCGAACCGUCCCGAUCCCGUCCCGAAAUUUGACUGAAAAAUUCCCGAACCGAAUUUUCCGAAACAUUCGGUACCCGAAACCGAACCCGUCCCGAAAGUUUUGGGUUGGGAUUUGGCCACAGCUUUGAAAGCUUUCGGUAAUCCCGAACCGAACCGAUUAUUAUAUAUAUUUAUUUUUAAUUUUUAAUUAGAAAUUACUUGAACCGUUGGAUUUGUUAAAAUCUAAUCCAACCGUCCAUUAGUUAGGUCAUUUUAUUAGGUUGUGAUCAGAUCUCUCGGACUCACUCACUCUCGGUCUCUCCGCUCCACUCUCGCUCACUCUCUGCGCUCCGCUGUCACUCACUCUCUCCGCUCUCUCUUGCUCACAGUCUCAGUCUCCCUCACACGCACUCUCACAAACAGUCUCGCCGCCCGUGCUCCCGCCGCUCUACUCCUCCGUCGAAUCCACGCUGCUCCUCAUCCUCCACAACUCACGCAAACACAGGAAGGAACCAAUUGAGUCCCAAAAUCCAGGAUAGGGUUUUUAAUUUUCACUGGGGUUUUGUCCUUUCUCUCUCUUUAACUCUUCAGACAGCAUUUCACAGAAACCCAAUUAAACAUAUGAAAAUAUACAAGCAACAACCUGUAAAAUUUAACAUAAAUAAACAAUGGUAAACUACAAUUAACAUAAAAAUUGCUCACAGAGAGAGAGAGAGAGAGUUCUUACAUGAGGUGCUGCAAUUGCUUGAGAGAGUUCUUACAUGUGGCUUUGUAGCUAGUGUGGAUUGUGACCUACUUAUUUGUGUGUUUAGAUACGCAAGCUAAGUAUAGCUGAUUGGUUUCGUAUCUGUUUGAGAUUUUUAUUUUAUUUUAUUUUGCUGUCAUAAUGUGCAGGACAAUCCCAAUUUCGAGGGUGAAACAUGUAGGAUCACUACUAGAAAUUUCCACUUUGCCGACAAAAAUAGUUUGUAGGCAAAAGUCAAAAUUCGUCGGCAAAGAGCCUUUCCCAACGAAAAAUUUUGUCGGCAAUUUUGUCGCUAAAAGCAUGUCGCGCAAGAUCUUUCUCGACAAAUCUUGAUAUUUCGUCGGCUCAUUUUUAAGGCGACAAAUCUCAGCCGUCAAACUGUGCCCAUCACCAAAACAACAUUGCGACAAAAUAUUUUGUCAGCAUAGGUUGUUUCUUCGCGAUGAAAUUAUUUGUCGGCUUAGUGAUCUUGUCGCGACAAAAUAUUUGUCGGCUGAGUAAUCUUGUUGCGACAAAACAUUUUGACGGCUAAGUAAUCUUGUCGUGACAAAAUGGUUUUUCGGCUAUGUAGUCCUAUGACAACAAAUUGGUUUGUCAGCUCAAAUGACUUGUGUAGACAAAAUAAUUAGUUGGUUGAAUCUUUUGUGAACAAAAACAUUUGUCGGCUAAUUAAUUUUGUGCCGACAAAACAUGUCAAGUCCAAUAUUUUCUAAUUUUUAAUAAUAUUUUUAACCAUCACAAACAAGCAAGCUUAAGAGAUCGAGAAGGGGCGUGAAUGAAGAAUUAAUGUAGGAACAACACAAAAUUCAUGUAAUAUAAACUAAUGUAAGGUUCACAAUUCGGUGUAGCUACAAAAUACAAAAAUAUCUAUGUUUUCAUUUCGAGAUUACUAUAAUAUAGAUAAAAUAUCCUUAAGUAUCACCAUUCUCACUAUAGUCCUCAUCAAGUUGAUAUGCAGCAUCAUGAAAUCGGGAAACGAUAAGGAUCAUCAUGAAACACUCCAGUAUCAAACAACUGUAGAAGAAAAACAAAUUAAAAAACUUGAUUAGCAAACGUUAAGGGUGCUAAAUAUCAUUGACAUUAAGGAACGCAAGGCCACACUAGUGGUAUUUCUAAACAAAUAACUUAUGAAACCAUAAAUGUGUAAACAACAAGAUAAAGAUAUCUACUAAUCAAGUUAACUUACCAACGCCAUGCAGCAUCACAACCUAGCAAAAUUACAUGUUUAAUAGAUACCAGGUAAUAACCAAGUUAACAUCAACUACUUAUAUGUCAUUCAUCAUUGUAAACAACAAGAUAAACAUUAUAAACAGCAAGGCAACAUGAUUAUCACUCUGUAAACAAGGCAGCAUGAUAAGUAGAUCAUAUAAAUCCUUGAAAGGUAUAUAAUUUAUAUAAACAUAACAAUACCAAUCACCUAUCUAAGUAGGUUAUAACUCUAGAACAUAAGCAUAUGCACCUGGAAACAUAAAUAAACUAUACUAAAGCAUCCUAAUUCAUCAUUGUUUAUAAUCUUUAUCAGUGUAAACAAGAAGAUAUAGACAUCUACUAAUCAAGUUAAUCCUCAAAUAUCAAAAUUACCUGGUGUGAAUGAUCCUCACAUUGGUCUCCAUGCCGUGCUGAUACCAGUUGUAAGCUAUCUAGCCCAGAAUUCCACUGAGCCAUAGACAACCUGCAAGUGUUAUAGAAAGGAAAAACAAAUAUGUCAAACCUAGACCACAAUAUCGAAAAAUUACAGUGGAAAUCUGGAAUUAAAGUCAAAGGACAUUGUUUUCACCAAUAUUAUACAAAUGGAUUGCCAAAUCAACCAAAAAUUGGAAACCUAGAUCAUAAAACUCGAACCCAAAUGAAAUAGUUCAAUUAAGAACAUGUUUUUCAUCCAUAUAUGCGAUUCAAUCAAAGCAAAUACAAUUAUUUCAUUUUCCAAUAAAAACAUGGAAAACGAAUACAAAAACAAACAAACAAGUUAGCAAAUUAAUGUGGUAAGGAAAAUGCAUAUACAAAAUCAUGAUAAAACCUGCAAUCAUGAUAAAAAAAUAUAAUAUUACAAAGAUAGAAAAAAAUUCCAGCCUUGAAUAUUUAUAACACAAAGAGAAUGAAAACUUCAUUUUAUAUCCAAUUCUACUCUCUCACUGACUGAUUAAUUAUGUGUGUUCCCCAUUUCCCAUAUACCAUUCCAUUCCAUUAGUUUUAAUAGGAAAGAUCAUCCAAAUCAUCUAAAACAAUGAAAACUUCAUUUUAUAUCCAUGAACAAAAGCUCCAAACUCUGAAAAACAAAACCAAUUUUAAUUCAUUCCAGAGCAACUGAAUAAAACAGAACUAAACACAACUGAGAAGAAAAACUGUUUAAGCCAAUCACACAGACUAUAUUAAAUCUUUACAAACCAACCGAAUGAUGCAGAAAUGCUUAAUAACAAAAUAGUUAAGCAACAAAUCAUGUAAAAUAAUCAUAAGUCAACUCAACAAAACCAAACAAAACACCGACACCACUGAAUAAACCCUGCCCAUUGGAAAAAAAUAAUACCUAACAAAGAACCCAACCACUGCAAGUGUAAAUUCAAAAGACAUAAGCGUUCAAACACUGCAAAAAUAAGUGGAAGAAAAACACAAAGUCACCAAAGACAAAAGCUUCCUAAAACGAAAAAUCAAACCAGAUGGAACAACCAUAGACAAAUGAUCACAAAAUAGAAGAAAACAUUUGAAAGAAAGAGCUAACAGACCUUUAUUCGAAAGGGCUUGCAACGCUGUUCACAAAACCCCCAAACUCUGGAGACCAAUAUUUUCUGCAACACAAAAGCCAAUCAGAUUAGGGAACCACACCGAAAUCACUAAAAAAAUAACCAAACAAUGAAUGAAAAACGCUAAAAGUUCAAUUUCACACCGAUCAAGCAAUAAUGUAUAGGAAAACCCUAAACCCGAAAGACCCAAAUUUCCCAAAACGAAAAAUCGAAUUAGAUCGAACAGCCACACCAAAAUAAGCAGAAAAAAAGAAGAAAACAUUCGAAACAAAAAACUUACAGACCUUAAUCACAUAUGCUCUGCAAGACUAUUCCCAAAAACCCUAAAAUUCACACACCAACUUUUGCUGAAACCAAAAACCCAAUCGGAUUAAACAAACACGCUAAAAACAAAGAAAAAAUUAGGAAACAACCAAUAUAACACAAACACUCUAAUUUUACAGGCAUCAAUCUGCAAAUUUUCUUCCCAAUCAAAGAAAACACACACACACACACACAAAAAAAAAAAAAAAAAAGAGAAACGACCUCAAACAGCGCAAUGAAUCAGAAAAAGAAACUCUUCAGACAACAGAGGAUCGAUGCAGAGAGAUAAGCAGAGACACGAAAGAUCAAGGCAGGCGGAAGAACACAUAAACAAAGAGGAAGAAAAAAGGGAAAGCUACGGAAGAAAAUAAGCGAUCCCUCGCUUCCGCACCAAAAACGACGGAGACCACGUGGUAGAUGCAGCAAUUGAAAUUAAACAGACCAAGCAGGGGCAAUUGCGUCACAACACUGUUACUUUCACUGUUCAUCAACAGUGUUCCACCCGUUUGGGUUUUAGUAUAUAUAGAAUUUAUACUUUCAUUAAGUAUAACAUAAGAAUCUGUGGUAUCCACAAGUGUAAAUAUUUUAAAUUGAAGAUCGAGCUCAUUCAUUGUAUUCAUAUAGGAUCAAGGAGUGUAGCUGUACAAAAUCAUCAAAAUCGAAGUUAAAAUAACCGUUAAAUCAUGAUUUUUCGUUUAUAACCGUCAGAACGUUUUGUCUCCUUACAUGAUCUCUGAAGGUUUUUUUUUUGCAAUUUUUGGCGUAUACGAUCUCGAAACAUAUAUAAACAAGUUUGACGGUUGGAUCGUUGAAACUAGUUUCGUAUAAUGCGUAUCCUAUGAAAAUGAUAGAUUCACUAACACUUAGAGUUUAUUUAUACUUUCAUUAAGUAUAACAUAAGAAUUUGUGGUAUCCACAAGUGUAAAUAUUUUAAAUUGAAGAUCGAGCUCAUUCAUUGUAUUGAUAUAGGAUCAAGGAGUGUAGCUGUAAAAAAUCAUCAAAAUUGGAGUUAAAAUAACCGUUAAAUCGUGAUUUUUCGUUUAUAGCCAUCAAAAAAUUUUGUCUCCUUACAUGAUCUCUGAAUGUUUGUUUUUUGCAAUUUUUGGCGUAUGCGAUCUCGAAACAUAUAUAAACAAGUUUGACGGUUGGAUCGUUGAAAUUAGUUUCGUAGAAUGUGUAUCCCAUGAAAAUGAUAGAUUCACUAACACUUAGAGUUUAUUUAUACUUUCAUUAAGUAUAACAUAAGAAUUUGUGGUAUCCACAAGUGUAAAUAUUUUAAAUUGAAGAUCGAGCUCAUUCAUUGUAUUCAUAUAGGAUCAAGGAGUGUAGUUGUAAAAAAUCAUCAAAAUUGGAGUUAAAAUAACCAUUAAAUCGUGAUUUUUCGUUUAUAGCCGUCAAAAAGUUUUGUCUCCUUACAUGAUCUCUGAAUGUUUGUUUUUUGCAAUUUUUGGCAUAUGCGAUCUCGAAACAUAUAUAAACAAGUUUGACGGUUAGAUCGUUGAAAUUAGUUUCGUAGAAUGUGUAUCCCAUGAAAAUGAUAGAUUCACUAACACUUAGAGUUUAUUUAUACUUUCAUUAAGUAUAACAUAAGAAUUUGUGGUAUCCACAAGUGUAAAUAUUUUAAAUUGAAGAUCGAGCUCAUUCAUUGUAUUCAUAUAGGAUCAAGGAGUGUAGCUGUAAAAAAUCAUCAAAAUUGGAGUUAAAAUAACCGUUAAAUCGUGAUUUUUCGUUUAUAGCCGUCAAAAGGUUUUGUCUCCUUACAUGAUCUCUGAAUAUUUGUUUUUUGUAAUUUUUGGUGUAUGCGAUCUCGAAACAUAUAUAAACAAGUUUGACGGUUGGAUUGUUGAAAUUAGUUUCGUAGAAUGUGUAUCCCAUGAAAAUGAUAAAUUCACUAACACUUAGUUUAUUUAUACUUUCAUUAAGUAUAACAUAAGAAUUUGUGGUAUCCACAAGUGUAAAUAUUUUAAAUUGAAGAUCGAGCUCAUUCAUUGUAAAUAUUUUAAACUGAAGCCCUUUUGUGACGCCAGCAUUAGUGUCGCUAUUCCAAUCCGACAUUACAUUGUUUUAUGUCAGAUUUUUUUCUAAAUUUCCGAUAGAAAUUGGGUUUCUUGUCGGUUUUUGCUUCGCCACUGAUAAGGUAUAUUGCAGUAGUGGGUGUUGGUACCAAGUAACAGAUUCAUGAUAAAUCGUUCAUUUAUUUGAUUCACAUACAUUAUCUCUGAGCGGGAAGAUCCCCGCCAAAAUAUUACAUGAUAUUUUAAAUGAUUUUUCGUUAGUUUUCAUUUUUUAUUAAAGUGUAACAAGGUAUGUUUAUAUCUUUCGCCAAAAAAGUAACCAAAAAUUGUUAGAGAAGGGAGACAGAUAAUAGGGGCGUGGAUGAUAAUCAGUUAAGAGUGCAAGAAUCGUAAACCUAGGGAUAGAAAUCGUCAAAAUUGUUUCUGAGCGGGAAAGACCCCGCCAAAUUGUUAGAAGAUAAAUAAGAAUUCUUAUCAAACUGAAAUCGGAUGGCGUGAGCGAAGAAUGUGGGAGGGAAGUCAUGAGCAAUUGGGAUUAGCAUGCAAUUGGGAGGGAGAUCAUGAGGCGACAAAAUAGGAAUAGCAUGCAAUGGGAGGGAGAUCAGGCAAUUGGGGGAUGUGAACCGACAAUUGAGGGAUGUGAACUGACAAUUGGAAUAAUAGAAAUAUUAUGGGAGGGAGAUCAUGAGGCGGCAAAAUAGGAUUAGACAAAAUAUGGGAGGGAGAUCAUGCAAUUGGCAGAUGUGAACCGACAAAUUAGGUUUGGAUUGCCACGGGAAAUUUAUAAGUUUGUUCUUAUAAUCAUAUGUUAUGUUUUUAGAAAACUUGGCAUGCUUGUCGAAUUAGAAUGGAUGAUUACAUACAACUGUAUUCAAAUUUACAAUUGUAAUUGCUAAUAAUUGAUCAUAGCCUAAACCAAGUUAUAUGUUGCUAGAAAGUAGUUUGGAGUUAGAAUUGAUAGGAAGAACUUUUUCAAACACUCACAUAUUAUGAAAUCAAAUUGUCAAUAUAGAUUAUUGAUGGCAUAAAACUACAAUCCAGAAAUAUGAAAUGCUAGAUAUCUCUUUAUCUAUGCUCCCGUUCAUAUAGAGAAACAAGAGAGAAUGACAGCAUAAAUAGUUGCCAAGAGCUUUGAUUGUGUUCCCCGGAAAAAAAUGGAUAGGUGCACUGGUGAAAACCUCUCACGUAGAGUUAUUAAUACCUUACCAAUGACAUACUUUAUUGCCUCUCUAAUCAAUUUGCCGAUGAAAUACUUUGUUGCCUCACAUCAUCGGCUAAUAUUUCAAUAUAGUGGGAAAAGUUCCCGCCAAAGUUUACCCGUCAAAACAAAAUUUGUCAGGGUAUCGAAUUUACGCCUACAAAAUGAUCGUCGGCUAACGUUUCAAUUUUCUCGGCUAAGAUUGGCAUUGUAAAUUGGUUCUAGUGUGAGUAUUCAGCCGACAAAUUAAAAAUUUCGUCGAGAAAGGACUCUUGUGCCGACAAAAUUUUGCUUUGUCGGUUUAAUUUGUCGGCAAAAUUAUAAUUUCUAGUAGUGGAUAUGCAUGAAUGCAAUAAUCGACAGGGGUGUUCUCGAUUGCUGCCAGCAUUGGUAUGUGCUUUAGUGUGGUUUUGUGUGUGUGAGAGAGAGAGAGAGAGAGAGGAAUUUUAUUUUAUGACAUGGGUUCAUCUUGGGGUUUUCAGGUUCUGUUUCUCAUGCAUUGACAAUUGGGCUACCAUUACAAACCUCUGCCCGCUUUGCCAGAAUGAAUUUCAAAUGAUCACAUGUGUUUCGGAGAGUGAUGCAAAUAAACAGUUAUCGCUUUAGUAUUAUUUCUGUUAUGAUUGCUAUGGAUUAUAGAAUGGUAUUAAUGUACAACCAGUUUAAAGCACAGUUGUUACUUUGAUUUCUUAACUAUCUGUUUUCAAUAGUUUUCUUUUUGUUGCAAACAGAAUUUUUAUUUUGAAGUUUUCUCAAAAUAACGAUUUGAUGCUGGUUUGAAGUGGCACUAAAUCAUAAGAGUUUGAUUUGUAUGUGAAGGUAUACGAUACUAUUGGGAGCAUCAAAGCGGACGAGGACUCAACUUAUAGGUACUUUCAUAAUUAUGGAUAAUGUGUUUAAGUCUAUUGGUGAGGGUUCUUUGUUCACAUUUAUGCGGCACAUGUUCCCAAUUUGGAAGCUUGGUUUGUAAAACUUAACUUAUUUCAUUUUGGUUGCAUGCACUUUUAAUUAAAUAGUUUGGUAGACAAAUACAAUUGUGAACUUAAGCUUAACUUGUUAGUUGCUUCCUUUGUAUGAAAAUUGAAACAUGUGGUAUUGUGAUAUUCAUAUUGUGGUGAAAUUGAAACAGGUGGGCUGGGCAGUGGCUGUGUAACCUUAAUUUUUUUUUUUUUUGGGGGCAGUGGCUGGCUGCAAUCUUAAAAGCCCAACAUUUUGGGCUUCAAGGCCCAAUCCCGAAGUAUCCCGAAAAUCCCGAAACACUUUCGGGAAUCCCGAAUUUCGGGAAAUGCACAUAUUCGGUUCGGUUUCGGGAUAUAAAAGCCCAUCCUGAAAUGUUUUGGUUUGGGAUUCGGGAAAGGAGUUUCGGUUCGGGAUCCCGACCCGAACCACCCCUAAUUACACCUACCAAACUUAAGAGCACGCGCAAACUUGAUGAGACAUAUAUCAACACGUGAGAACAAUGAUUGAUCAACAUUACCUCCAUAGUAUUAUUAGAGUGAAUGAUUGUAUGAUAUUAAUUUACUAGAGUGAAUGAUUGUAUGAUAUUAAUUAUGCGUUAAGAUCUUGGGAAUUUUAAUGAAAAAUUACUGGUAUUAUUCAUUUUAAUAAAAAAUUACAUUUUUACAUUAAAAAGUCAAUCUUAGUACUAUUCACUUUAUUCUUUAUUUUGUCCUUAUUGUUAAAACUCAAAGUUUUCAAGUCAUUUUCAUUAAUUUUCCUUAAGAUCUUUUGAUUUGGCAUGCGGAAGUGUGUGUGUUUGUAUAUUAUAUAGGGAUAAUACUAAGUUAGGUUCAUAUUAUCUUAACUAGUGAUAAAUUAAGGGUUCUUUCGAGUUAUUCGAAACAGUGGUUUAUAUUAUCUUGACUUACGUGCAACCUAAACACAAAAAAGAGAGGCUGUACUGGCUUCCAAAAUAAAACUAGAUGCAAACAAUAAUGUGGAGUUCCGGUUACUCUUUUGGAAUCAACCAAAGCUGAAUCAUUGAUGCCUAAUUUCAGAAAGUUUUCCUUUUCUGCAUGCAGAUCUUUUCAAUGGAUGUAGCUCAGUUUUGGGAGGUAACCACUUACUUCAUCGAGUUCAUUAAUUUUAAUCAAUCUAAAGUAAUUUAACUAAGUUUAUUAACCUUACAAUGUUGAGCGUUAAUACCCAAUUUUGGAGGAAUUGCAUCACGUUUAUGUAAAGGUAAUCGAAAUAAUAGAGCGGAAUUAAAUUCCAAUUACGGAAUACUCCAGUAUUUACCAAAUAUUGGAGAAUAAAAAAUUUGAUAGCACCCACUCAAUUUUUUAAUCCAAUACUAAUUCAUAUUCAAAUUUUGGAAUAAAAAAUCUAAUACUAAUUCGUACUCAUCAAAUGAAAGUAAAAUCUAAUUCUUCAUUUUUUAAGUAAUUAUUGUAAUGUGAGUAAACGCAUGAAAAUCAUGAUUUAGAAUAUUUUCUAAUGCAGACUCUAAGUCUGAAAUUGAAAUAUAAAGAUAGCCGUUGACGGGUCGAUUCUGGUUAAUCUAGGCAUGAGAAUACGAAAAAAAUACACACAAAGUUAUUAAGAUAGCUUUCCUUUUUUAUAUUUUAGCGAUAGUCUAGUCUAAUCCAACAUUAGACCACAUUCAGUGAUUCAAACUAAGAGAAGGGGGAUUCAAACUUGGCUACACUCGGAUUCUCAUAUGAGGAUUGAUUCUGAAGUAAAAGAAUAUAACCAAGUUGAUCAAGAAAUUUCAAAAUUUCUAAUGGAAACUUAUUAGAAAUUUUUUGUGAAGGUGUUGAAGUUGGGAUUUUUUUGUUUGUUUUCGUAUUGAAGUUGGGAUUGAAACAGAAGAUAAAGCAUAAUAUAAAGUUUCAUUACAAUUAACAACAUGUUCUAUUAAAUGAAAGUGACUAAAUAUUGAAAAACAUGCUACGCCGCGUUGAUCAACUCCGGCAACGAGCAUUGGCACUGCAUCCGUGGUUGUAGGGGUUGCUCUGAUUCUGAGCACCCGGCUUGCAGUUGUUGGAGGAAGCACCUCUCUGAGAGCAAGGAACAGUGUUUCUCUGCAGCGCUUCAUAGCUUAUGUUUCGUGAGGUGGCCAAGAUGCGUCUGCUAAUCUCCGAGUCCAUGCCAAACUCAUCAUCACGAUCAUCCAUGCACUCUGCUACAGAACCCUCGCAGCGAGGUCUCACUGGAACCCAGCUCACCCCAUGAUCGCCGCCUGCAUCAACGGAGAUGACCAGAGCGGCCACGAAAAUCAACGAAAAGAUAAUCGCAGAGGAAUUAGCCAUAGGUUUUGGUACGGUCUGUGUUUUUAGCUGCCAACUUGUAUUUUGUUGUACGCCUGUUAAUUACAGAGGGAGAGAGAGGGGGCGGCAAGAAAGAGAGAGAUAAUCGGUGAAAUUUUGAUGUGUAUAUUAUUUCACCCUAUUGUGCUAUUUAUAGUAGUAAAAAGGGAAAAUUUUUGUCUUUCAAGUAAUUCAUAGGAGUUAGGGAAAAUCCUUGUCUUUCAAGUAAUCCAUCUAAAAUAGGACACUACGUAAAAGAUAUUAUACAAUUCCAUAAGGAUUUACACAAUCACAUUCCUAAUUAAAUUAAGACUCUGACAUUUUUAAGUUUGGUUAAAUAAAAAUUGGAUGUUGAUUUCUUCAAGGAGAUAAUUACUUAAUUGACAUGCUUUAAUUCAACCUUAUUCCAAUUGCAACAAAGAAAGCUGAAAUUGGAAUAAUUCGUGAUUUAUUCAAAACCUACCAAGAAAACAAAAUCAACAACUACUACAAAAUAUGCUCGUAGAGAUUUCCGGGAUGUUUCUGCUCUUAAGUGUUUUUGCUAAAAGCUCUUUUAUCAGCACAAGGUUGAGACUUUAAUUAAAAAACUAAGUUUUUCUCGAAAAAAUAUAAGCAUGCCAAUAGAUUGAACUUGUUUACAACAUCAGCAUUAUAAUAAUAUUGUUGGAAAAUAUUAGGUUUACUUUAAUGUUUGGUUUUCUGGGCUUAGCCCGUUAGUAUUAGGGUUUCGUUUUCUUGCUUAUUAGGGUUAUGUUAGUUCUCUAUAUAUAUGGUGUUUUGUAGCUUGUAUGAUUAACAAGUUAGUCACAAUGUAGUCUCUAGGGUUUUUGUAGCCGUCUCGGCAUUCUAUGUUUGAUAUCAAUAAUAUUUCUAGUUUUGUAAUCCGUUUGUUUGUUCAUUGUGGUAUGUGCACUCUGAUAUUCAACUUGGUAUCAGAGCGGGUUUGAUUCCUCGGAAUUUAAUCUGUUUUGGAUGGAUAUCAAUUUGUUCAUCUGUUUGUCCACUGCGUAUCAGUUCGUCAUGGUAUGUUUUGUUGGUUUGUCUGUCUAGUAGUAGUUAGGGUUUUGUUAUAUGUUUAAAAAAAAAAAAAAAUUGAAUCAGUUUGCUGCGUCAUGUCAUCGUCCUCUGCUAAACUUGGAAUCGCCGCCACGAACCCCACAUCACCAGCGUGCUCCUACCAUCAGGACAUCACCGCGCCAACCCGCCAUGCCUGCACCCAGUGCCACCAUGUCCCGCCUACAACCCCGUUGUCUUACCACCACCUGCUGUAAACCCACAUCGCUCGCCUGCUUGCGCGCCGUGCAGACGGGAUUUGAUAAAGCCACACCAACUUGCUGCAAAUACAUGCAGUUGAUCCGUACCCAUGAGCCUGCUUGAAUCUCCGCACCCGACCCGCUUGUCGCCUGCACCCACUGCUUGCUUGCCGUUCCCAUUGUUCGUUGACCAGAACUCGCGCUUGGUUUACGCGUUCUGGAGAAAACCAUUGGAAAAAAGGAAGCAGAAUAAAAAGUAAGAAAAAGAAAAAAAAAGUGAUGUUUGAGGAAAAGGAAAAAAGAAAAAAAAGAAAAAGAAAUGCAAAAGUAUUAGAAGUUGGGCUUGCCGUUGGUCUUGUUGAUUGUUUUGGAGAAUGACUAUGGUCGUCUGCUAUUGUACCCACAACGAUUGUUCGAGUGCUUGGAUUGUUGAUUACUCGAGUGAUUAUUGUUGAGGUUUUCGUCUGCUUGUUUGUUGCCGUUGGGCUAUUGGAAUCUCGUCCGUUUAGUGACAAGGUCCAUGCUCAAACGAAAUAUGUCUGCCCUCUGCCAUGUGAAUCUAUAUCCACCUGCCUGUCUGUCUGUCCGCGUUGCGGAGCCUGCCUGCCUGUCUGUCUGUCCGCGUUGCGGAGCCUGCCUGUCUGUCCGCGUUGCGGAGCCUGUCUGCCUGUCUGCCUGUCUGUCUGUCCCCCUAACGGAGCCAGUCCACAUCUGCUUGUUUGCAAACCCAUGUCGUAUACCGCCAUGAGUUUGACUGGGGGUGUUGGAAAAUAUUAGGCACACUCAAUUCAUUCUUGCUCAUAGAAUUAAAGACAAACCAAAUCGGAAACCGAAAUAAGCAACAGUGCUAACUAGCUUGCUCAGCUCUCAGGCCUUUAUUCUUGAAGAUAGUUAUAUUACUCAAUGUUCCAUAUCGUAUGUAUGCAUAAAUCUUGUGCUUGGCGCUUAUUCCUUGAUAAGAUGUGCAUCAACAUCUUUAAUGACAUUGAAUAGAAAGCUGAGGUACUUCUGUGGAGGCGGAUCGUUCUCGUUGAGUUUUUUAUAUUCUAAAGUAAUUUUCACAGAACCUCCUUCACUAUUUGGAGUGACCUGGAAAAUGAUCUUGUAGCUUUUGUAAUUGUCCAGCACAUGUGAUCCUUCCAAACCUGUAAGACUCACCCGCUUGUUUGCUUCAUCUAUUUCCACCUUUUCCUUGUAA
This 106229-nucleotide long non-coding RNA is filed under the name Malus domestica (apple). Its description in RNAcentral is "long non-coding RNA (MDOM_LNC016009)". The record is from RNAcentral. Lineage: Eukaryota; Viridiplantae; Streptophyta; Magnoliopsida; Rosales; Rosaceae.